AUCAGGGUCUUUUCCAGGGAGUCUUCUGUUCUCAUGAGGUGGCCAAAGUAUUGGAGUCUCAGCUUCAGGAUCUGUCCUUCCAGUGAGCACUCAGGGCUGAUUUCCUUCAGAAUGGAUGCGUCUGAUCUUCUUGCAGUUCAUGGGACUCUCAAGAGUCUCCUCCAGCACCAGAAUUCAAAAGCAUCCAUUCUUCGGCAAUCAGCCUUCUUGAUGGUCCAGCUCUCACUUCCAUACAUCACUACUGGGAAAACCAUGGCUUUAACUAGACGGACCUUUGUUGGCAAGGUGAUGUCUCUGCUUUUUAAGAUGCUGUCGUUUGAUUUGCCUUUAAAUGCGAAUGGAAUUGAAUUGUUCCCCAUUGUCAUGGGCCAGGAGUCAGCUUCACCUGUUGAGCAGCAGCCUGAAGGAGCAGAGGGCGAAGGGGCUCCACCUGCUGCUGAUCAGCCUUUAUUGCUCCUGAUGAGAAGCAGCUGGCUCCAGCUUUCUGAAGCAGCGUUCUUGCCCUGACCUUGCUGCUUCUUGUGGCCUUGGACCCUCAGCUUUCUUGACUCCCAGAUCAUCUGACUAUGUGAACUGCGAAACACCUGGCCUUAAGACUGAACUCUGCCCCCAGGUAAGUACCCCCUGGUUGCCUCCACUGACCUCUGCCAUGGCUGGCAGCGCAGGACUAUGACAGCCACCCCUAGCCAGGCAGCUGACUUCCGGGAGUGUGCUGUUCUCCCUCCCAUCUCAAGUGAUCUGCCUCACUUUUCCGCAUUGCAGAGGGUUGGCCUAGAUGACCGUUGGGGGUCCCUUUCAGCUCUUCAAUUCUGUGAGUCAGAGUCACUCACCCAGCUCCCAUGUUUUGCUGCUAACUCAAAGCUGUAGCUUGGUUUGGGGGCGGUGGAAAUUGGAGACAAUGAGCCACUGCGUGAAAAGAUUACGCCAAUCAUCUAGGGCGCUUAUCUGCAUUUUCUGUUCAGGGGUGUUUUUUUCCUUUAUUUUUCUCUCUUCGCAUGGAGGUGUUUAUUUGCAUAGCACUGCAAAAUGUGGCAGUUUAAGGGCAGCAGAGCAUGCAGAGGAAUUCAGAAAGGUAGAGGCUUUCCAAGAGAGCAGGAUUUCUCUUUUUUUUGGGGGGGGGGUUGUCCUAAAUUAAAGGAGAAGGAGGCACCCAUUUUUUCAUGCUCCCACGUUCUGGGGUGGUGCCAGAAGUCAAGAUGAACCAGGGAAACUGUGGCUUAUGAGGAAUGGUUGGGUGUUCUGAGUCUGGAGAAAAGACGGAAAGGUGAGACAAUAGAAUCAGGAUUCAAGAUGAACUUAACAGAUUGGGGGAACUGGGCCAAAAUGAACCAAAUGAUUGCUGAUCGGGACAAAAGUAAGGUUCUACACGUGGCCAGGAAGAACCCAAAGUGCAAAUAUAAGAAUGGGAGGCACAUGGCUUGAGAUCAGUACAUGUGAAAAGGAUCCGGGGUGACUUAGCAGACCUCAAGCUGAACAUGAGUCCACAGUGUGAUGCAGCAGCAAAUAAAGCUAAUGCUAUUCUAGGCUGCAUAGCAGAAGUCUAGUGUCCAGGUCAAGAGAAGUAAUAGUGCUGCUUUAUUGAUCCUUAGUAAGACCACACCUGGAGUCCUGUGUCCAAUUCUGGGCACCACAAUUUAAGAAGGAUGUUGACAAACUGGAACAUGCGCAGAGGAGGGUGACCGAUAUGAUCAAGGGUCUAGAAGCCAAGCCUGAUGAGGAACGGCUGAGGGAGAUGGGUCUGUUUAGCCUGGAAAAGAGGACACUGAGAUAUGAGAGCCAUCUUCAGAUAUCUGAAGGGCUAUCUCAUGGAAGAGGGAGCAAGCUUGUUUUUUCCUCCUCUGGAGGGUAGGACUCAAACCCAUGGCUUCAGGUUGCAAGAAAGGAGAUUCCGACUAAAUGUCAGGGAGAAUUUUGACCGUGGAACAGACUCCCUUGGGAGAUGGUGGGCUCUCCUUCCUUGGGGGUUUUUAAGCUGAGGUUGGACGGCCAUCUGUCAUGGAUGCUGUAGCUGAGAUUCCUGCAUUGCAGGGGGUUGGACUAGAUGACCCUCGGGGGUCCCUUCCAACUCUACAUUUCUGUGAUUCUACAGCUGAGAUUUUAACCCUGGCCUUUCAGGUCCUAGUCUGACAACCUAACCACCCCACCACACUGGCAUGGGUGGGUCAUGUUGUGACUCUGGCACCAAAGCGUGGGCUGUGUGAAGGUCCCUUUCCCAUUUAUGUAAGGAUAUGUUCGCAUUUAGCUAAUCCUGCCCAGAAAUUUGCAUCUGACUACCUUCCCCCUUUCAGAACCUCUCGACUCAUCUGUCAUGAAUACUGUUUUCAAAAAAUAAUAAUUAAAAGAUGGGGAAAGAGCAAAACCCUGUCCUGGAGUCAGGGAGAUCAUUUAUUGCCUGCAAUGGCAGAGCCUAAGAAGACUGCAGUAUGUUUCUCUCUGCUUAUCGUGGUAAAAUCAUUUCCUUAGAUACCAGUAAUACAGUUAUGUCAGGUCAUUACUCUGUGCUGUUGUGUAAAUGGAGGUCAGAAAAAACCCUGGCAUUUCAGCUCCUCUUUUUCUUCCGGGAAGAGCUGCCAGAGAUAUUUUCAUAAUAGUCUAUUCUCUAUUAGGACUGUGAGUGGCUUUGCCAAAUGUUAUGGGGGGACGGGACACAUUUUCAAUCUGUUUCAGGCUUGUGAAUUAGCCGUGCGACCAACAAAGAGGGAGUGGAGGAGGGUGAGAAACGGUGUCCUGCCUGCCUUUUGUGGAAAAUGGGUUCCCUUUAUUUCAUAAUGGAAUUUUUGCCAUACAAAUAUUUGGGCAGAAAGAUGAUUGAUUGAUUGAUUACUCACCCUUCACCUUAAGGUCCCAGAGUACAUUAUGACAAAACAAACCCAAUGCUAAAAACAGCUUAAAAUGGCUUAACCAUUUAACAGAGAUGAGGUGGGUCAUCAAAUUGUAUUACUGGAUGGGGCUCCCAAGGGUCAUCCAGACCAACCCUCUACAAGGCAGGUGCUAAAAGAAUUAGGACUACCUGAGAAGGUCCUUCGUUGGAGGUUUUAAAGCAGAGUUGGGAUGGCUAUCUGUCAUGGAUGCUUUAGCUGUGAUACAAGCAUUGCAGGGGGUUGGACCGGAUGACCCCAGUGGCCCCUUCCAACUUUACAGUUCUAUGAUUCUAUGAAGAUGCUAUUCUCAGAGGUGGGAAAUUUAGCAGAGGAUGCAGAGAUGUUCUCUUCAUGCUCUGCAGCAAACGCAGACUUGAUUUCUUCCCCUCGGCCUCUCAGCGAAGCAAAUGGAUUUCACACUUCCCCCUCUCUGAGAGAUGUCUGAGCUGUCAGGAAAACACCGGAAAGUUGUGCUAGGUGAGCGGUGCCCAGCAAAACAAAAAUUGCCUCCCCGUAUCGGGCAGAUGGAAAUACUUGCCUGUCAGGGCUCCUUCCUGUUUUUUGAGCAACGCCUGUCUAAUUCUUCCUGUCAGCAUCUAGCAAUCACACAAGCUUUUCUCUCGUUGCCUCUGCGUCUUUUCCACGGGCUUUGACACCUGACACGUAUACCUGUUCAAGACCCGCUUUGUUUUGUGUGACUGUUUUUUAAUUGUGAGUUUUUUAAAACUGCUUUAAACUGCGCUUUAAAAUGCUGUGAUGUGCUCUGGGAGCCUAGAGCAGGGGUCAGCAAACUUUUUCAGCAGUGGCCGGUCCACUGUCCCUCAGACCGUAUGGGGGGCUGGACUAUAUUUUGAAAAAAAAUAAUGAAUGAAUGCCUAUGCCCCACAAAUAACCCAGAGAUGCACUUUAAAUAAAAGCACACAUUCAACUAAUAAUAAUAAUAAUAAAUUUUAUUUAUACCCAGCCCUCCCCGGCCAGAGCCGGGUCAGGGCAGCAAACACCAAUAAAAUUUCAGUAAAAACAUAAUGAGAAACAAAACAACAAUUUAAAAUGCAGCCUCAAAACCAUAAGGGGAGGGAAACAUAAUGCUAAAACAUAAUCAUGUAAAAACAUGCUGGUUCCCGUACUGUCCAUGGGCCGGAUUUAGAAGGUGAUUGGGCCAGAUCCGGCCCCCGGGCCUUAGGUUGCCUACCCAUGGCCUAGAGUGAAAGACAGGUAACAUAAGAAGAACUGACCUGAAUCCAAGGAAACUGCAGGUGUCAUCUCAGAGCCUGUGCCUUUAUCUUUCAGUUGCAUAUUUUGCCUAAGGUCGAGGGACCGUCUCCUCCAGCAUCCUGUUCUCACAGUGGCCAUACAGAUGCAUCAAUGGGGGGAAAGCAAGCAGGAUCUGAGCACAAGAGCAUCUUUCCCCCUCCUGUGGUUUGUAGAAAUGGCUUUCAGAAGCAUUGCUCCUUCUGACUGCGGAGACAGAGCCGAGCCAUCGUGCCAGGUAGCCAUUGAUAGCUGUCUCCUCCAUCAAUUUAUCCAACCCUCUUUUAAAGCCAUCCAGUUUUUCCGAGCACAAUUCAAAGUGUUGGUGCUGACCUUUAACGCCCUAAACGGCCUUAGUCCUUUAUACCUGAAGGAGCAUCUCCACCCCCAUCGUUCUGCCCAGCUUCCAAACUUGGCUUUGUAUUGUUGCUUGCUGCCCCAAUCACAGAGUGCUGAGAGACUCCAACAGUCCCAGGUGUGGGAAUGUUCAGGGAUGCAGGAGAGGAUAUAUUAUUUGAUUAUAGCCUUUCCAACUUGUGUUAACAAGUUCACAAUUUAGCAGAGUAACAUUCCCCUUUUUAAACUCACAGCAGAUGCGUUUGCUCAGGCUCGCUAAAGCCUCUAUAAUAACUGUUCUGGUAUUUUCCCCUUAUUCCCUCAUAAAAGAUAAGACACGACACAGUCUUCUAUAAAAGUAUAAAAAGAGUUUACUCACUCACAUUCUGUUCACAAUUGGAUCCCAGAAGGCAGACUUAGCUUAGAAAAGUAACAUACACCUGGAAGCUAUCUCAUAAGGAGACAGUCCCUUUGUCCUUUCUUGGCUUCCAGCUUUGGCUAAGUAGAUGCUGCUUCUUUAACAAAUGGAGUCAGAGAGAGAUGGCGGCCUCCGCUGAGGUAUUUUGUUACCUGCACAGGUGAGGCCACGCCCACCUCUGGUCCCAUGUAGAGGAAGUCUGUCCCAGCGCUGAAGGAAACAGGAAGUUUACCUGCUGGCUGGACAAACAUUCCUCCUCAUGUGUAAACAUGUUCACUCUAGGAAUGUUGUACUUGACUGCUCUGUGUUUCACAUCCCACACCCCUAAACAUUUUUUUAGAAGAAAAACACUGCCUGGAACAUUUAGGGGACUAGUCUAGUCCUCCUAGCCCACUGACCGCACACCAUUGCUCCAAGCUGAGUUAAAAAUGUAUAGCGCUGUUUAAUUUCUUCAGCUCCCCGUUCUGCCUAAGGUCGAGGGAGCUCAGAAGCAGAGUUUAUGGAAACUGUCUCCUGCAAAGCUUUGAAAUCUCUCUCUGAUUCACACUGGGGCUGCCACACUUUCUGAAAGUGAUCCUGCUGGAGGGUUUCAUGGGAAGUGCUAAUUGCUGGCCUCCCCCAGGGGGACUGUAGGCGGCUGAUGAACCUCUCCAAAGAGUUUGAGAUCCGUGCAGCUCUGGGGAGGCACCGGCUGCCGCACAGCAGUCGUGUCCCCACGGGGGUCUUGAGAGGCAAUCAGAAAAGCAUUAAAAGACUCGAUCAAGGGAAGAGGGCUGCAUCGCAACUCAGCACUGCUGUGUGCAGGCACAGUGUGUGUGCGUCCAUGCGCACUUAGAGUUCGGUGGGACCCCUGCGGGUCAUCUAGCCCAACCCCCAGCAAUGCAGGGAUAUGUCUGUCGGAGGAAGGCAACAUCUUGUUCAAAGGGCUGUGCUAAAUUUUAGUUUUAAAUGCACAAAAAUUCCCCCAAAAGCCCCACAACGUCAUAUAUUUGGGUAAGGUAAAGGACCCCUGAAAGUUAAGUCGAAUUGCGGACGACUCUGGAGUUGCAGCUCUCAUCUCGCUUUACAGGCUGAGGGAGCUGGCGUUUGUCUGCAGGCAGUUUUUCCGGGUCAUGUGGCCAGCAGGACUAAGCCGCUUCUGGCGAACCAGAGCAGCGCACGGAAACGCCGUUUACCUUCCCACCGGAGCGGUACCUAUUUAUCUACUUGCACCGGCGUGCUUUCGAACUGCUAGGUUGGCAGGAGCAGGGACCGAGCAACGGGAGCUCACCCCGUCGCGGGGAUUCGAACCGCUGACCUUCUGAUCGGCAAGCCCAAGAGGCUCUGUGCCACCCGCGUCCCCCGUGUCCCUUUAUAUUUGGGUAGAUGUUGCCAAAAAAAGCUCCACAACUUUGAAAAAACAAACAACUUUGUCCGGAUUUUCACUUUUGGGAAUAUGGCAACCCUAACUGUGCGCUAGUUUUGACCAGGGAGAUCUGCAGACUUUACAUGAUGAUCUGUGAGGGAUUCUUUAGGUGUGAUUCCUGCAUUGCAGGGGGUUGAACUAGAUGUCCCUUGGGGUUCCUUCCAGCCAAUCUUACGAUUCUGUGAUAAAGGCGUGAUGGAGCAGAUCCGUGGAUUCCAAACUUUUUCAGGCCAUCAUUGCAUAAACGUAUUCCCAGUGUCCCCUAAACAAACAUCAGUCAGAAUGGGGGUUUGCAUGGCUCACCAGAUAAUCGCUUAAAUAAAAUCCACACAGUAACAAUUAAUUGCACGUAUGUUCAAAACACGAUUAAAACUAUUUAGUUGAAUUAAUUCAACUUGGCCCGCUGCUACCGGCUUAGGGCCCUUGUAUUUACGGGACCGCCUCUCCUGGUAUGCCCCACAGAGGACCUUAAGGUCCAUGAAUAAUCAUAGUUUAGAGGUCCCGGGCCCUUAGGAAGUCAGAUUAUCCUCCCUCAGGGCCAGGGCCUUCUCAGCGAUGGCUCCGACCUGGUGGAAUGCUCUGUCCCAUGAGACCAGGGCCCUGCAGGAUUUAACUUCCUUCUGCAGGGCCUGUAAGACAGAGCUAUUCCGCCUGGCCUUUAAUUUAAACUUAGCCUGAUCUUUCCCCCCCCUUCCUUCCCUCCCCCUCCCCUUUUUAUGAUUACCCGCUCUGGGAUCCCACAGCUAAUUCUCCCCUGGUCUCCUCCCAAAUAGGACUAAUUUAGCCAGCUAGCCCUGGGGAUCAUCUAAUGUUUAUUGGAUGGAUUUCUGAAUGUAUUGUUAUUCACGUUUUAUACUGUAUUUUGUGCUGUUUUGGUUGCAUCAAUUAAGUGUUUUAAAUUUGUUGUUAGCUGCCCUGAUCCUGGUUUUCUGAACCGGGAAGGGUGAGAUAUAAAUAAAAUUUUAUUAUUAUUAUUAUUAGCCAUUUACAUAUCCAGGGGCACCUGUCUCCUUGCCCCUUAGCAGCCCUGGGUAAUUCCACCCAGCCUAGGGUUGUGAGGAAGGAUUUCUGGCCAGAGGUGAUGGUGGUCUCUGGGCAAAUGGGAGCACCGCUGACUCUCUGCGCAGAAAUUGCCUGUGGGGGAGCAGAGAGUACCCAGCUUCUAUUGAUUACGCUUUUCCUGUAGCUAAGCAACAGGAGAAUUUGACUCCAGCGCUUUCCCGCUUUCCCGGCAUCUUUCCACUUUAGAUCUGAGAGAGGAGCUGCUGGUGAUGAUGGAAGGCUUUCUCACUGGCCUCAGACUGGUGGAAUCCCCCUGCCCAAGACUUAACCCAUUAUUGUCAAUGGUCAAUGGCAACUAGCUCUGCCUCCGUGGGUCUCAAGUAGCCAUGCUGGAAGUAACAGGAGAGGGCUCUUGUGUUCGAAUCCUGCUUGCAGGUUUCCCACAGGCUUUUUGUCGGUCACUGCAAGAACAGGAUGCUGGACAAGAUGGGCCAUUGGCCUGAUCCUGCAGUGGACUCUUCUUAUGACUUCCGUAGAACCAUAGAAAUGUGGGGAACACCGGGACAAGAUGCUUGGAGCCCAUUGGACUGAUCCUGCCCCGACUGCACUGGCUGCCAUUUAGCUUCUGGGCCCAAUUCAGAGUGAUGCCUUAAAGAGCUCAGGACUGCAAUAUCUGAAGAACUGCCUCUCCCAGGGUUGCUAUAUUUCAAAAGGUAAAAUUCCUGACACCCACUAAGUUGUUGAAUUUUUUUUUUUAUAGGAAGACCUCAACAUUGCGGAGCUUUUUUGGGGAAACCUAACCCCAAAAUAGUGAUUCUAAGCAUUUUGAGCUGUUUCACUGUUAUUUUCCAUUGCGUUGCGGUACAUCCGGGUUUCCCCUGAUAUUUUGCCGGUCUGGCAAAAUUCCCCCCAACGCCUUUUUUGCACCCGAAAACCACAACAUGUCAGGGAUUUUCCUGACAUUUGGCAAGCCUAGCCUCUCCCCAUAUAUACCACCCCUGACUGUGUCCAUCCUCUGAGACCCUCCUUCGCAUGCCACCUUCUUUGUGCCAACAUGAAAACGGGGCCUUUUCUGUGGUGGCUCCCCAGAUGCUGUCCCCAGGGAGGCUCACCUGGAACCUUCAUUAUACAUCUUUAGGCACCAGGCAAAAACGUUCCUCUUCAACCAGGUUUUGGGCUGAUUUGCAUCUGAUACCCUUCUAAAUGUGGUUGUGGGAGGUGGUGUGUAGGAACAGCAAACCCUCCAACACGACACAGCCCAAAGCCAGGACACCGUCUUCCGGAAUCGAAAUCUUGUAUGAGUCAUGUGGCCCACGAGAGAUCACGGACCCCCCCAAAAGCACAUGAUGCAACCCCCAAAUGUUUUUUCAGGGUGAGAUCUCAGUGUGAAAUUGUGCGAGAGCAAGGUGCCCCAAAUGGCUGCCAUGCUCUUGCAUUGAAAAAAGGGAUGCCCCAGUUUUUCUGGGGCAGUUAAUGGGUAGGGAGGCAGGGUUAUUAUUUUGUUUUGCUUUUAUUAUUAUGUAUUUUGUGUGUGGGUUUUUAAAUCUUGUAUUUUUAUGCUGUCUAUCGCCCUGAGAUCUACAGAUGAAGGGCAGUAUAGUGGCACCUUAGGUUACAGACGCUUCAGGUUACAUACGCUUCAGGUUACAGACUCCGCUAACCCAGAAAUAGUGCUUCAGGUGAAGAACUUUGCUUCAGGAUGAGAACAGAAAUCGUGCUCUGGCGGCGCAGUGGCAGCGGGAGGCCUCAUUAGCUAAAGUGGUGCUUCAGGCUAAGAACACUUACAGGUUAAGAACGGACCUCUGGAACGAAUUAAGUACUUAAACCGAGGUACCACUGUAUACAAAUUGCAACAACAACAUCAUAAGCCAGGCUUUAGAGACUGGUGCAUAUUGUUUAGGUUUGUUAAUUCAGCCUUUGGCAACCUGGUGCCCUCUGGCUGUUUUGGACUACAACUCCCAUCAGUCUGAUGUAGUUCAAAACAUCAGGCUGGAUAGCUCAGUUGGUUAGAGUGUGGUGCUGCUAAUGUCAAGGUUGCUGGUUCAAUUCCCGUAUGGGACUGUUGCAUAUUCUUGCAUUGCAUUGAGCAAAAUUCAAAGUGUUGGUGCUGACCUUGAAAGCCCUAAACGACCUUGGUCCAGUAUACCUGAAGGAGCAUCUCCACCUCCAUCGUUCUGCACGGACCCUGAGGUCCAGAGCUGAGGGCCUUCUGGCAGUUCCCUCACUGCGAGAAGCAAAGCUACAGGGAACCAGGCAGAGGGCCUUCUCGGUGGUGGCUCCCUCCCUGUGGAAUGCCCUCCCACCAGAUGUCAAAGAGAUAAACAACUACCAGACUUUUAGAAGACAUCUGAAGGCAGCCCUGUUUAGGGAAGCUUUUAAUGUUUAAUAGGUUAUUGUAUUUUAAUACAGUGGUACCUCGGGUUAAGUACUUAAUUCAUUCCGGAGGUCUGUACUUAACCUGAAACUGUUCUUAACCUGAAGCACCACUUUAGCUAAUGGGACCUCCUGCUGCUGCCAUGCCGCAGGAGCACAAUUUCUGUUCUCAUCCUGAAGCAAAGUUCUUAACCUGAAGCACUAUUUCUGGGUUAGCGGAGUCUGUAACCUGAAGCGUAUGUAACCCGAGGUACCACUGUAUUCUGUUGGAAGCUGCCCAGAGUGGCUGGGGAAACCCAGCCAGAUGGGCAGGGUAUAAAUUAUUAUUAUUAUUAUUAUUAUUAUUAUUAUUAUUAUUGCAAAGGGUUGGACUGAAUGAUCCUUAUGGUCCCAUCCAACUCUGCAAUUCUGAUUCUCUCCAAAGAGCACCAGGUUGCCGAAGGCUGACUCAGAGGCACCUUCCGGAAAUGGCUCCUCCGCGCUGCCGUUUUGCGGGUCCCGAGUUCAAAUCUGCCUCCCCCAAUGGGCUUCCUCCGUCUCCCCGUCCAAAGAGGCCAGCUGGGUCAGAUGUCGAGUCUUUCAAAUCAGGCUGGUAGCUCCGCUUCUGCUGGUGGAUGAAAUGAUGCCCAGAGGGAGCAUAGCAGGUUCUGCGCGGAAGGAAAGGCCUAAUCGAAAUGUGAUAUAUGAGCGUGGUCUUGCACGGCGCAUCGCGUACCGACGGGGCUGGGGAUUAAUGCACACUUGUCUGCUGUGGGAAGUGGGGGAAUGGAUAUUGAUUUGCAACGGCUGGCUCACCUGGAGAUUCCCACCUCUGCCAUUCUUGAGAUGUUAGUGUCACAGUCCGGUUUAUGGGUUAUCGAAGUCCUGGCUGAGGACGUUGGGACCGGGGGCAAGAUGGCAGGGUGGGAGCAGGAAUGAGAGUCCAGAAGCCAGGAGUCAGUAAGCCAAAGGUUGGAGGGUCAAAGAGCCAGGAGUCACAAAGCCAAGGGUCCGAGAAUCAGGAAGUAAGAAGCCAAACGCAGCUAGGCAGGAAACGUGUUGCUGUGGCAAAGAGCCAAAGGGAAAUGCUGACCUUAUAUCCCUUCCUGGCUCUUGCCACCAGGUGCAGUGAGUUAUCAAUCGGCUUCAUCUGUGCGGCCACGCCUUGCCUCUCCAGAACAAACUUAGGAAAGCCCCAGUCCUGCGAAGCCCUACUGAUCACAGGGCCUGGCUGCUGCAUGCGCUCGUGACAGUUAGCAGCCUUUUGCAGAGCACAAUGGGAUCAGCACCAUCACGAACCUGCCCAGGACAGUUCAGAAAGGAUGGGAUGCUCAGUGUGGGGUGAUGGGUCCUCCACUUCUCUUUGGCAAUCCCUUGUAGCUGAGUAAGAUUGUCUUCCAUAAACACGGUUUUAAAAGUGAGUCCGUAAGUGUCUGUGGAGGCCAAUUCUGGAUCUACACAUCCUUCCACAGUGCGGACAUUGGUUUCCGGGCAGGAGUUGAUCACGGUGUGGAUUUGCCAAGCGUGCCUUCCUCUUAGCACAUUUCUCCCUUUUGUCCUGAGUUUGAGUGUUUUCAAACCCAUGACACCUUUGGUAAAGGCUGUUCUCCAAUUGGAGCACUCACAGGCCAGUGUUUCCCAAUUGUUGGUGUUUAUACUACAUUUUUUUAGAUUUGCCUUGAGAGAGUCUUUGAACCUCUUUUGUUGACCACCAGCAUUACGCUUUCCAUUUUUAAGUUAGAUUAGUUGCUUUGGAAGUUGAUAAUUAGGCAUCCACACAACAUGACCAGUCCAAUGAAGUUGAUGUUGAAGACCCAUUGCUUCAGCAAGGGCGAUCUUUGCUUCUUCCAGUACACUGGUAUUAGUUCGCCUGUCUUCCCAAGUGAUGUGUAAAAAUUUUCAGAGACACCGUUGGUGGAAUCUUUUGAGGAGGUGGAGAUGGCCUCCCACUCAUAUCCCUUUUCGUCAUAAUACUAUAAGUUUGGGGGAGGUUAGGGAACCAGUCAGGCAAGUUUCUCCAAAGACAACAGCAGCUGAGCACUUUAGUGCCCUGAUCAGAACAAUAGAUUGUAGAGUUGGGACGCCAAGAGGACAUCUAGUCCAACCCCCUGCAAUGCAGGAAUUACAGCAAAGUAUCCCUGGCAGGUCGUUACCCAACCUGUGUAUAAAACCCUCCAAGGAAGAGUCCACAACCUCCCAAGGGAGACUGAUCCAUGGUCAAACAGCUCUUACUGUCAGAAAGUUGGGACGGUUCACAUCUUAUUGUGUUGGACAAGAUCUACCUGUGAGUGAAGACUUUGCAUUCUUCUUUCCUCCUCUUCUUUUUUUGUUUGUUUGUUUGUUUAGAUUUUAAUGUGUUUUAAUGUUUAGUUGGGAACUCCUUUCUUGUCAUUUGAGCAGAGCAGCAGGUCAUAUGACAGCCCUUCAGAUAUUUGAAGAUGGCUAGAAUUGCAUUAGCUUUUUUGCUGCUGCAUCACAUGGAGACUUGUGAGGCAGGUGGGGGUCUGUGUUUUCGUCUGUGUUUGCAUGUGAGCAGUGAGAAUUUGGUGGUUUCUCAGUGAAAUGCAAACAAAAUAGAUUUCCUCCUCCAUCCCUAUUGUGGCAGCAAUCGGGGGCCAUGGUUGUGUGGCAAAAUGCAAAUGACUACCUAGGGUUCUCCUCCUUCUCCUUCUCCUUUUCUCCUUCUCCUUCUCCUUUUCUCCUUCUCCUUCUCCUUCUCCUUCUCCUUCUCCUUCUCCUUGGAAAGGAGAUCCCGACAUAACAUCAGGAAGCACUUUCUGACCGUAAAGUGGAAUCUCAAGGUAAAAGGUAAAGGGACCCCUGACCAUUAGGUCCAGUCAUGGAUGACUCUGGGGUUGCGGCGCUCAUCUCGCUUUAUUGUCCAAGGGAGCCGGCGUACAGCUUCCGGGUCAUGUGGCCAGCAGGACUAAGCCACUUCUGGAGAACCAGAGUAGCGCACCGAAACGUCGUUUACCUUCCCGCCGGAGCGGUACCUAUUUAUCUACUUGCACUUUGACGUGCUUUCAAACUGCUAGGUUGGCAGGAGCAGGGACUGAGCAACGGGAGCUCACGCUGUCACAGGGAUUUGAACCCCCAACCUUCUGAUUGGCAAGUCCUAGGCUCUGUGGUUUAACCCACAGCGCCACCCGCAUCCCACCAAGGUGGAAUCUACACACAUGCUAAAAGCGUUGUGAAAACCCUUUCUUCAAAAAUCGUUCUGAAAAAUGCAUUGAAUUUGCUAUAGCUCACGGCCGCCAUCUAGUGUCACAACUGUAUAUUGCACUUUACAGCACACUCCAAUCCUUUUCUUUGCAGCUGUAUAGCUGAGUCCUAAGAGCUGUUUGACACUGGAAUGGUCUCCCUCGGAAGAUGGUAGACUCUCGUUCCUUGGAGGGUUUAAAGCAGAGGUUGAAUGGUCCUCUGUCUUGGAUGCUUUAGUUGAGAUGCCUGCAUUGCAAGGGGUUGGACUAGAUGACCCUAGGGUACCCUUCCCACUCUGCAAUUCUGUGAUUCUCGUCCUCCUCCUCCUUAAUUCCAGCACAUUUGGGUCCGGUGCCUUCCCCUUGUUGACGCCGCUUCCAAGCCGCCACUUAAGUUUCUCUCGAGCGCACACAAAACCAGCUGGAACGCCCGCUUUGCUCUGCCACAAUUUCCCGCUCUGGGUUGUUGUCGAAAAGUGCUUAUUUCAGGCAGCUGGAGCGCUACACUUUACCUGCCAGGGGGCUGUCAGUGCCAGCAGGGGUGGGGAAGCAGCGGCAGCCCAGCUAUUACUUACUGUACCCUAUCAUCACGGCGGCUUCUGCUGCCACGGCGCAUUUGCAUCCAGACAGAUGCCAAAGGCGUUCUCUUGGAUCCUUCAAAAGAGCCUUGCGAGCACUGCUGGGAAACACAGCUCCUCCAUCUUCCUAGAUUUCCCCUCCACCGUUGUGUCUCUGAGGUCGCCUUCUGGACAAAUAAACAACUCUGCCAAUGGUAGCCAGAGAGUCCUUUUCCUUCGGGCAUCUUUUGUUGUUGUUUAAUCGCUUAGUCGUGUCCGACUCUUCGUGACCCCAGGGACCAGAGCACGCCAGGCACUCCUGUCUUCCACUGCUUCCUGCAGUUUGGUCAAACUCAUGCUCGUAGCUUCGAGAACACUGUCCGACCAUCUCGUCCUCUGUCAUCUGAAGUGAAGGCCCAAGACAGGUGCUGAUCAUCAUGUGAGCUGCGCACAGGUGGUCUGAAGCGAGCGAGCGAGCUACCACCAUUCCUGUGGAGCCUCUUUUUAUUGAGACAAAUAUGCAAGCUAGGCAAAUACAUUUUUGGGCUGUGACCUUUACACAUCUUCCGUCCCGAAAUCGUGGGGUGGUACAAACCUAUUUUGGCACCUGUUCCACAGCGUCAUUUUCCCCUUGCACAGUGUAUGACGUAGGAGACAAAAGGUCUCAGGGAAAAACUUACAGACAGGACACCGCUGACUCUGAGACCCCAAAAGGUCAGACAUGGGUGGAACGAUGUACAGACAGCUGUGGCUUGUCUGGGGGGGCGGGGUUUGCCCUGCACCCCAAGGUCACGCGUGCAGGCCGACCGUGGCUGCUUGCUGGUAGGAAAGUGUGCUCCCUCCAGACCCCACUGUCCCACCAUCUCGUCCUCCGUCGUCCCCUUCUCCUUGUGCCCUCCAUCUUUCCCAACAUCAGGGUCUUUUCCAGGGAGUCUUCUCUUCUCAUGAGGUGGCCAAAGUCUUGGAGCCUCAGCUUCACGAUCUGUCCUUACAGUGAGCACUCAGGGCUGAUUUCCUUAAGAAUGGAGAGGUUUGAUCUUCUUGCAGUCCAUGGGACUCUCAAGAGUCUCCUCCAGCACCAGAAUUCAAAAGCAUCCAUUCUUCGGCGAUCAGCCUUCUUUAUGGUCCAGCUCUCACUUCCAUACAUCACUACUGGGAAAACCAGAGCUUUAACUAUAUGGACCUUUGUUGGCAAGUGCCUGUUGUCUUUGUCCACGGAGUUUUCUUGGCAGGGAUACUGGAGUGGCUUGCCGGUUCCUGCUCCAGGUGGAUCACGUUUGGUCAAAACUCUCCACUAUGACCUGUCUAUGACCUUGUGUGGCCCUGCACGGCAUAGCUCAUAGCUUCUCUGAGUUAUUCAAGCCCCUUCGCCAUGGCAAGGCAGUGAUCCAUGAAGGGGCAUCUUGUCCACCACUAAAUUCCAGACCUGCUUUGGCAUGUAGAAGGUCCCAGACUGGAUGGCUGCCAUCUCCAGGGAGGGCUGCGAAAGACUCCUGAAUGAAACUCUGGACAGCCGCUGCCAGUCGGUUGGAAGGUUGGGGAUAGGCUAAAGAAAGUGCUUCUUCCUGCAGAGCACAGUUACUGUAGAGCAAGAGAUUAUUCGUAGAAUUGUAAAGUUGGAAGGGACACCCCGAAGGUCAUCUAGUCCAACCCCCUGCAAUGCCAGAAUCUUGAUGUUCUUGUGGGAAUGUUGUGGAUAGUAGGAGAGGAUAUGUUGAUUAAAUAUUACCCUUCCUCACUCACGCUAGUGAGGUGGUAGCAGAGCACAUUCCUUUUCACAUUGCUGGAAGCAAGUUGAUGGAUUUGUUACCAUCAUUUAAGUUGAGCAAACCAGUCUGGCUUGUCCAGAUUAGGUCAUUCCUGGCAAAUUCCCCUUUAGUCAUAGCUGUCAUUUUCUUGCAAGGAAACCUAUUCGGAAUAAGGGAAUUUCCCUUUAAAAAAGGGAAACGUUGACAGCUAUGCCCUUUAGCUCCUUCUUAAAACCAGUAACGACAUGACAGUCUUCUUUUAAAAGUAAUGGUAAAGUUUACUUACAUUCAGCUCACAGUAUUGCCUUGAAGGGCAGGCUUUAUCUUAUAGUUACAGGUACAGUGGUACCUCGGGUUACAGACGCUUCAGGUUACAGACUCAGCUAUAAGAACUUUGCUUCAGGAUGAGAACAGAAAUCGUAAUGGGAGGCCCCAUUAGCUGAAGUGGUACCUCAGGUUAAGAACAGUUUCAGGUUAAAAACGGACCUCCAGAACGAAUUAAGUUCUUAACCCGAGGUACCACUGUACACCUGUAGAGAAAAGAAGCCUGAGCUAGGUCUCAGACUUUCUACCUUGUGGCUUCCAUCCUCUGUAAGGAUGAGCCGUGUGCUGCUGGCUAACACCCAGCAGAAGGAAGAUAAUAAUAAUUUAUAAUAUUUAUUAUUUAUACCCCGCCCAUCUGGCUGGGUUUCCCCAGCCACUCUGGGCGGCUUCCAACAAAACACUAAAAUACAAUAACCUAUUAAACAUUAAAAGCUUCCCUAAACAGGGCUGCCUUUAGAUGUCUUCUAAAAGUUUGGUAGUUAUUUUUCUCUUUGACAUCUGAUGGGAGGGCGUUCCACAGGGCGGGUGCCACAACUGAGAAGGCCCUCUGCCUGGUUCCCUGUAACUUGGCUUCUCGCAGCGAGGGAACCGCCAGAAGGCCCUCGGAGCUGGACCUCAGUGUCCGGGCAGAACGAUGGGGGUGGAGACACUCCUUCAGAUACUGGACCGAGACUGUUUAGGGCUUUAAAGGUCAGCACCAACACUUUGAAUUGUGCUCAGAAAUGUACUGGGAGCCAGUGUAGGUCUUUCAAGACCGGUGUUAUGUGGUCUCGGCAGCCGCUCCCAGUCACCAGUCUAGCUGCCGCAUUCUUGAUUAAUUGCAGUUUCCAGGUCACCUUCAAAGGUAGCCCCACGUAGAGCACAUGGCAGUAGUCCAAGUGGGAGAUAACCAGAGCAUGCACCACUCUGGACAGUCAGUCUGCGGGCAGAUAGGGUCUCAUCCUGCGUACCAGAUGGAGCUGAUAAACAGCUGCCCUGGACACACAAUUGACCUGUGCCUCCAUGGACAACUGUGAGUCCAGAAUGACUCCCAGGCUGCGCACCUGGUCCUUCAGGGGCACAGUUGCCCUAUUCAGGACCAGGGAGUCCUCCACACCUGCCCACCCCCUGUCCCCAUCGGGCAGAACGAUGGGGGUGGGGACGCUCCUUCAGGUCUACUGGACCAAGGUUCCAAUAUGGCAGCUGAGGUUCCCUUUGCUUGCCCUGUCCUCAGGGCAGCUCAGCCAAUUGCUGCCCACUCCAAAACAGCAGCAGCCCGAAAGCUCCCUCAGAAGGUGUGUAGAAGGUGAGACGUUUGAAAGUAGGGAAGAGGCUGGAUUCUGCAAAACAUACAGGGCAAAGCGAUGCUGCCAAGCCAAGUAAAUACAGAAAGACCUUCACGAAUCUUCCGCUCAGCAUCAGUAUUCUUUUUUUCAUGUGCCCAGAUUAGAAUUCCAAUUUAUUUCUUUGCCACUGGAAAAAAAAAAGAGGAUUCAAAGGGGAGAGCCUCAAAACCUGGAGAGUAGAUUAUGAAGAGCCUGGGGAAUGUCAGUUUAAAACGAACUUUCCUUUGGCAUCAGUUGUCAGGGCAGAGAACAUGGAAGGGAAGUUGGCAGGCAGGGCGAUGACCAGGCCAGAGGACUCUGUUGCCCCAAGGCCGCUUGCUGGUUUCCCGUUGAGGUACCUGGGAGGACAAUCUGCUCUCUUGGCCUGAUCCUGCUGCAGGACUCUUCUGACGCGUUCUUGGGGCCAUUUCUCCCAAGAAAGCAAAAGCAGAUGUUUCACCAUCGACAGAGGCAUUGCACGUGUGUGGGGUGGGGGGAAGCAGGGGCCACUGUCCUGGCUGCACAUUCAGAAGGGCGCAACUGGGCCGCAGUGGUCCUGAAGGUACCGCGAAAAUGGGAGGGAUGUGGCUCCCUUUUUUGGCCUGGCAAAGCAUAGCGCAUGUGUUUCCUGGGUGGUGGGAUGGGUUGUAAGUGUCAGGAGUUCAGCCUACACUCGAGUAGGACCCUGGCGGAGACACAUGCCCGACUGGCAUGUUUCCUCCCUCCUGGUCGAUUGUUCGGGAGCUUCAAAAGCUUUCUUCAGCCCGAACAUCACAGCGACCGAUGCCAACAGACACCGGCACACUUAGGGAUCUGCAGAGUCUUCGCAGCUUGCGUGACAGACCUCAGCCACUCAGCAUUUUGGCUAAUCUACUUUAUUUACAUAGAAACACACACGGAGCACUGCAACAUGGCUUCCUCUCUCUCUAGCAUCAGACAGCAAAGAGAGAAAGAACAAAGGACAAUAGUCCCACUUCACGGAACACAGGAACACAAACAUCCUGUCUCCGUCACUUCCCACUCUGUGGAGUUUAAACAUAUACUGUCAUGUGAUAGACAACAAUCCCAUGACUGCAAUCAUGGAGCAGGAAUUCUAACAGUGACUGGAGAGUGGGCAGCCUGCCAUGCGGAGCCCCUCUGUUUGCCCAUCCCCUUCAGCACCUUGGGACGGUGCACGCCACCCGCUUCUCAUGCCAUGGCUGGUGCCACCGUUCUGCGUGCUGGGCUGCUGCUGUGCGGGGCAGCCUCUUUGGCUGUCUCCUGCCCAGGUGCCACCACAGAACUCCCAGCGAAGGCCCCCAUAUGGGAGCAGGCAGCUGCAGGCACGGCGGGGCACUGCCAAAGUGCCUGACACAGACACAGGUGAGCUGCGGUUCCUGUCUCUUUUGCUCCUUGCCCCGGGCACUGGCAACUGACGAUACGCCACUUGGCCCACAAGCUUGAUCCCCAUUGCACCCAGCAACUGAUAUGUGCCAAAACUCGGACCAUCACAAUAAAAAGCCCCUGUGGGGAUGCUGAGGUACAUGGACCAGUGGCCUGAUCCUGCAGGCUUGCCCUGAACUCAGACAUUGCCUCUUGCUCGUCUGGAGACGGUAUGUGAGCCUGCUGUGCAAAGGUAACAUUGGCACAGCCUUCUUUUGCUUUCUUGGGAGAAAUGGCCCCAAGAAUGUCAGAAGAGUCCUGCAGCCGGAUCAGGCCAAUGGAGCAUUUUGUCCUCCCAGGGGCCAACUGUCAGGAGUUGAGCCUACACUCGAGUAGGACCCUGGCAGAGACACAUGCCCGACUGGCAUGUUCCCUCCCUCCUGGUCUUUCGUUUGGGAGCUUCAAAAGCUUUCUUCAGCCCGAACAUCAGUGACUGAUGCCAACCGACACCAGCACACUUAGGGAUGCACAGAGUUUGCACAACUUGCACGUGACAGACCUCAGCAACUCAGCAUUUUGGCUAAUCUACUUUAUUUACAUAUAAACACACACGGAGCACUGCAACAUGGCUCCCUCUCUCUCUAGCAUCAGACAGCAAAGAGAGAAAGAACAAAGGACAAUAGUCCCACUUCACGGAACACAGGAACACAAACAUCCUGUCUCCGUCACUUCCCACUCUGUGGAGUCAAAACAUGCACCGUCAUGUGAUAGACAACAAUCCCAUGACUGCAGUCAUGGAGCAGGAAUUCUAACAUCUACCAGGGGCCUCAACGGGAAGCAGCCUUGGAGCACAAGAGCCCUCUUGCCUGGGUGUCACCCUGCCUGCCAAGUUCCCUUCCAUGCUCUCUGCUUACUUUUGAAGGUGGUUCAGAUCCAGCCAACUCUUCUCCCUUCCUUAGCAUGCCAAUGACUUGACAGGCGAGCUGUCUGGGAGGCAGGGUGAAUUCCUUCCUUUUGAAGAGAGGAGCAGUGGCGCUGCGCUGCUGGCAAGAGGCCGCUGCUCUCCGUGCCAGAGCAAGGAUGUUCGACACAUGUUCCCUCAUUACCGAAAGGUGCAUUUGCUGCUCGGACGCUUGGCUUACAGCUUUAUGAGUCAGAAAGACGAGGCUUCUGGGAGGGAAAGGGAUGGAGCUCUCAGCUGGGAGAGGCUAGGCUGAUUCGAGCCUUUCCCCAGCCCCAGUUUUGGGAAAUUGAAAGGAAUACUCUCCUUCCAGCGACUCCCACCAGUGUAGAGGCUAAAGUGCUGAACUAGGACCUGAGUUCGAAUCCCGUGAAGCUACCUUACAGGGUUGUCGUGGGGAUGAAACAAGAAGCAUGUAUGCCACCUUGUGCUCCUUGGGAUAGAAAGGCAAUGGAGAAAAGGAAAUAAAUCAGAAACAGAGGCUUUGCUAGCAAUGGUUGCAGAAGGCACAGAUCCUUGCAGGCAGCUCAGGGAGAGGGGGCGGGCGGUGAAAUGGGGCUCCACUUUACCAAAGGCCGAAAUGGAAGGAUUUCCAACCCCAACCAUCAGCCUGAACUACCUUGCAAGGUUGUUGUGAGGAAAGCAGGGAGGGAGGGACAGAAAUGCAAUAGUAAAGCAAUUUCGCUGCCCACUGAAACCACAUUUGCAGAAAUGCCGACCCCCUCCUUUCUUUAUUUUGCAAUAUCUGAGGGCAGAAACAACCUCAGUGGGUGCUAUCCGGGUGGGCUCCAGCACUUGGCAUCCCUGGGCAAUGGGAAUCGGAGGUGGGGAGAGCACUGCUCUUGGGCUCAGAUUCCUAGCAGGGCAUCUGGUUGGCCACUGUGAGGAUGGGGUCCUGGACUCAGAUGUGCCCAGGACUUUCCUUCUUCUGUUCACAAGAAAGACAAUCGGGCAACAAUUGUCUGCUCAAGUUUUUCCGCCUGCCAGCUGUUUUCAGAGGCAUAAAGUAACAGGGAGGCAGCACAAAAUAUUUGACUGGCUGACCAGCUAACAAGCUCCCUGUCUUUCAUUUUUUGAGCUGCCCUGGUACCCAGCCCUGGUUUCGGACAACAGCCCUACCACCCGCUCCCAUGCACCCCCUUCAGCACAGCUGGAUCCAGGAUGUACUAUAUCUCUGGACCCGAAAGAGCAUUGCGUCCUUUUUAAUUUUUCGUUUUGCAAGCGGGGGGUGGGGUGGGGGGUGGGCCUCUAAUUUUAGCACAGCACGGAUUGACUCACCGCUGACAAUGAACACUCCCACACUGGGAAGGAUAGCUUUCCUUUGCAGUGUGAGUAACACUGCUCCACACACCUGCCAGCUCUGGGAAAAUCCAGAAAGGAGGGGGGGGGCUCUAGGGCUUUCUUGCCUGAUCUUCCAACACCCCCCCCUCCCCACAACUGCAAGGCAAAUGAAACAUCACAGGCAGUUAAAUACAGUCAGGCCAGCCUUGAAGGGUCAGACUGGGGUGCAAUGGGGUGGGGAGAGCUGGCGUUUAUUGGGACGGGGGUUGGAUUGGAUGACCUUUGGAGUCCCCUUCCAACUCCACAGUUCUAUGAUUCAAAGAAAAGGGAGCCCAGUGGAGCAGCCUCUGUUGUCAAGGUGGGCCCAUCUAUGCCAUUUCAUUUAUUUGCUUCACUGGAUUUGUACUCCGCUUGAUGGUAAACAAACAAGCCUAUGAGACUCUCAAUCUCUAGGUCGUGGGUUUGAGCCCCACAUUGGGCAAAAGAUUCAUGCAUUGCCUGGGGUUGGGCUAGAGGACCCAUAGGGGUCCCUCACAACUCUGCAAUUCUAUCACACUAAUAAAUUAUCAAGGGGGGGGGAGGAGAAUUGGCAACAAAUAAUUUAUGGCUUUGUUGGUGAUGGUUCAACAAUACCUGGUUGGGGGAGCAGGUUUCCCACCCUCCCUUUUUGCACAUGUUGGUUUUGCUGUGAGCAUUAAGAGGUUCUGCGCAUGGUCUCUUGAUUAAUAAUGUUGUAUGCGCUCCAAUGGGACGCGGGUGGCGCUGUGGUCUAAACCACAGAGCCUGGGGCUUGCUGAUCAGGUUGAAUCGCCGUGACAGGGUGAGCUCCCGUUGCUCGGUCCCUGCUUCUGCCCACCUAGCAGUUCGAAAGCACAUCAAAGUGCAAGUAGAUAUAUAGGUACCGCUCUGGCGGGAAGGUAAACGGUGUUCCGUGCCCUGCUCUGGUUUCACCAGAAGCAGCUUAGUCAUGCUGGCCACAUGACCUGGAAGCUGUACGCCGGCUCCCUCAGCCAGUAAACCGAGAUGAGCGCCGCAACCCCAGAGUCGGCCACGACUGGACCUAAGGGUCAGGGGUCCCUUUACCUUUACCAUUAUGCGCUCCAAUAUUUGAGUGGUGAGAGAUUCCAGCUCUUACCCAAGUUUGGUUUCCUUGGAAUGAAGGGCUAGUGCUUUGGGGGCAUAUGGUUUUAUUUGCACAUAUAUAGGAUGGAAGGGCUCACAGCAUUAACAUCCCAGAAAAUCUUGCUUCUCUGUUAGAUAUUUUUUUGGGGGGGGAUCCCUCUGAAGCCUUCGCUUUGGUGUCAGCAGAGAUAGAAAGUCCGGCCUCUCUGCCUUUCCACCUUUCAGCCCCCGGCCAAGAAGAAGCGCACUCACUCUGGAGAUUGUUCUCCUACUUGCAAGAAGAUGCUGUCUCCAGCCAGGUGGGAAGGAAGGCCGGCCCGCCUCUGAGAGCAUCCUCUCCCAGCUGUCUCUAUGGCAACCUCUUCAGUCGUACAGAGGGGGGUACUUAACUGGGCCAGCUAGGAAAAAGAAAAUGGUUUGACUAGUUCAGUUUCUCCUAUAGACCCCCAUGUGGUAGAGGCAUGUGUGGGACCCAUAGGCACAAACCAAACCAACCUCCCAUCAAACCUAGCAAAAAUGCUUCAGGAUUUUUUGGGGGGAAAGGUAUAUCUAAACAUCUUUUAAAAUUCAUUAUAGAUCAAUUCCCAAAAUGUUUUUACUUUGUCACACGUCCACCACAUAUGGUAAAAGUCUCCGUCCCAGCAGAACUAUUCUUGCACCCUUACAUCCUGAAAUGCUGUUCUCUUGGGCCGGGAGCUGAUGGGAGUUCUAGUUUGAAAUGUUUGCAGAGCAAAACCCUGGAGGGAGGGGGGUGACUUUGAUGUGAGUGCGGAAAUCAACAGAGGGAGCAGAGUUCCUAAAAAACAAAAAACAAUAUUCAGCUUUACUGGGUUCUAGUUCUAGUCUUAAAAAGCAGAGACAUCAACUUGCUAACAAAGGUCCGUAAAGUUAAAGCUCUGGUUUUCCCAGUAGUGAUGUAUGGAAGUGAGAGCUGGACCACAAAGAAGGCUGAUCGCCAAAGAAUUGAUGCUUUUGAAUUAUGGUGCUGGAGGAGACACUUGAGAGUCCCAUGGACUGCAAGAAGAUCAGACUGAUCCAUUCUGAAGGAAAUCAGCCCUGAGUGCUCACUGGAAGGACAGAUCCUGAAGCUGAGGCUCCAAGACUUUGGCCACCUCAUGAGAAGAGAAGACUCCCUGUUGGGAAAGAUGGAGGGCACAAGGAGAAGGGGACGACAGAGGACGAGAUGGUGUGACAGUGUUCUCGAAGCUACCAACAUGAGUUUGACCAAACUGCGGGAGGCAGUGGAAGACAGGAGUGCCUGGCGUGCUCUGGUCCAGGGGGUCACGAAGAGUCGGACACGACUAAACGACAACAAUGAAUUUGGUGAAAGGCUACAUCUGAGCUUCCCUUGCCUAAGCCAGCCGUGUCCAUUUGUGACGACAGAGUGACUAACCAGCAUCCUUGAAAGCUAAUUAGAGCCGACUGAACGUUUGACCUCACUCUGCUUUACCCUUUCCUUGGCAACGAUCUGCGCCAGAGAAUGGGGAAAAAAGGGAGAAGAAGGAGUUCAGUUAUGAAAUUGCCACUUGUGGAGAUGAAAGUCAACGCGCGAGAGAGGAUAAUGAGCCACAAAGCAUUGUAGAAAAGCAACGCCACGCAGGCGGUAGUUGUGGGUUUUGUAGGCUGUGUGUGUGUGUGUGUGUGUGUUUUAAAAAGAAGUAAUGUACACAGCAACCCAAAUUAACGGGAACAUGAAUGCCACCUGAAGGAGGAGAAGUUGUUUUCAAGGGAGCUUGACGCUCAGAGAGAAGAUGGGCAAUUUGAUGCUGAUUUAGGGGGGCUCUGCAGGACCCCAGAUUCUGGUGUGCAGCCAAAGCCUUUCCUAUCGGGGUUCAAGAGACAACCGAUUUGAAAACAUUGCUGGGCGAGGCAGGUUGUUGGCAAAAAGAGAGAUGACUGAAAGAGGCAGCUCUUUAACAGGAACAGGAGCUGAGGGUGGGAGGGAGGGAGGAAGGAAGGAGGAAGGAGCCUCACCUCCACCCAACAGCCACUAGAGGGCAGCUGUGUUCCCUAGAAUCACAAAAAUUGUAGAACCAGAGAGUUGAAAGGGACCCCCAAGGGCCAUCUAGUCUGACCCCCUACAAUGCAGGAACCACAGCUCAAGGAUCCCUGGCGGAUGGGCAUCAAAUCUCUACUUAAGGACCUCCAGUGUAGGAGAGUCCACACAACCUCCCUGGGGAGACUGUUUCUCUGUCCAGCAGCUCUUGCUGCCAGAAGGUUCAACUUCCAAUGGCAGAAUAGACCAGAUAGCCAGCUUCAAAUAUCUCAAGGGCUGUUACACAGAGGAGGGAGCAGGCUUGUUUUCUCCCACUCUGGAAGGCAGAACUCGAACCAUGGCUUCGAGUUGCAAGAAAGGAGGUUCCAGCUAAACAUACGGAAGGAACUUUCUGAUGGCAAGAGCUCUUCGACGGUGGAACCGUCUCCCUUGGAAGGUUGUGGACUCUCCUUGGACCUUUUUAACAGAGGCUGGGUGGCCAUCCAUCAUGGAUGCUUUAGGUGAGAUUCCUGGGUUGGUCUAGAUGACCCUCGGGGUCCCUUCCAACUCUAUGAUUCUAGGAUUUUGAGGGAGGGGGUUGUUCUUCUGGUCCUUUCUUCUUCUUUUUUUUUGCCCUUGGUGAGUUUUGUGCUUGCUGCUUGUUAGUCUUCUGGCCGGAGGAAGGCUCAAUUCCACCACAAGGGGGCGCUCUGGGACAGCUCAGAGCACCAGGCAGGUAGAAGAUGGAUCUUUCUUCUGGGUAAACUGCACUGCUAGUUUCUGCUAGUUUCCCUGUGCAAAACUUAGGGUUUUAUUUGAAUCAGAACGUCACAGGUUGCCUUCUGCUGUGUCAGACCCUUGGACUAAUGAGUCUGGCAUCUCUGCUCUUCUAGGCUUUCAGACAUUGGAGCUUUUCUCAGUCCUGCUGUAGAAUGAAUCAGGGACCUUCUGCAUUCAAAGCAGCUGUUCUGCCAGUGAACGACAGGCGCUUGUCCCCAUCUUCUUCCUCAUUAACUUCUAAAUAGGGGAGGUGAGAAUGUGGUAGCAGAGCUUCAGGAACUCUUUCUAUCAACAGUGCAAGAGCGAUAGAAGAGACCAACUGGAUGCCCCUUUUCUGCAAGCCUGCAAGCAGGAUUCGAACACAAGAGGAACUCUCCCCUCCUGUGGCUUCCAGCAACAUGUAUUCAGAAGCAUUGCUACCUUCAGAGCCGUCCUAGUAGCCUUUGAUAGCCCUCUUCUCCUCCAUGAAUUUAUACAGCCCUCUUUUAAAGCCACCCAGGUUGGUUAUGCACCACGGGUUCCGGUGGGAGGGAGUUCCAUAGUCUAUCUAUGCAGUUUUUGUUUUUUUUAAAUGACACUACUUAAAAUUGCCAUUUAUUUCCGAUUGUAUUUCUACAUUUACUGCAUCUGCAGAUAAAUAGAAAUCCCGCUCUGGCUAGAAUAUACAUGGGAGUUUUUAAGCCAUGCCCUUCUUCUUCCUCCCUCUUUUCAAUGACAUUCACAAGUCAUGAAGUCCAGAACCCUGGUCAGCAACUGCUUUGAGGAAGAACCACUUCUGGUGUGGGGUGCUGUGCAAGUCAGACCACUACAUAUUCCACUGUGGCAAGAUCAGGGCCUCCCCCUGAGGUCUAAGAGUCCAGACAGGUUCAUACAGGAGAAUAUGAUCUUUCAGAUAGACUGGAUCUAAACUGUAUUGGGCUUUACAGGUCAUAACCAGCACUUUGCACUGUGCCCAGAAACAGGUCAGAAGCCAGCUGUCAACAAAGCAGUGGCCGCCGAGACCACAUAACACCAGUCCUGAAAGACCUUCACUGGCUCCCAGUACGUUUCCGAGCACAAUUCAAAGUGUUGGUGCUGACCUUGAAAGCCCUAAACGGCCUCGGUCCAGUAUACCUGAAGGAGCGUCUCCAUCCCCAUCGUCCAGCCUGGACACUGAGGCCCAGCUCCGAGGGCCUUCUGGCGGUUCCCUCAUUGCAAGGUUACAGGGAACCAGGCAGAGGGCCUUCUCGAUGGUGGUGCCCACCCUGUGGAACGCCCUCCCAUCAGAUGUCAAAGAAAUAAACAACUAUCUGACUUUUAGAAGACAUCUGAAGGUAGCCCUGUUUAGGGAAGCUUUUAAUGACUGAUGCUUUAAUGUAUUUUUAAUCUUUUGUUGGAAGCUGCCCAGAGUGGCUGGGCAAACCCAGCCAGAUGGGCGGGGUAUAAAUAAUAAAUUGGUUUUUUAUUAUUAUUAAUAUCAUCAUCAUCUGCUCCCUGUAACCCUAGAGGUUUCCUGCCCCAGAAGCUGAAGAUUCAGUAGUCUGACUCAGUAGAAGGCAGUUCCCCACAUCCCUAUGAGUGCACAAUGCAACUGCUGGGAGAUGCCAAGCACCCCAUAGAAUUGUAGCGUUGGAAGGGACCCCGAGGGUCAUCUAGUCCAACCCCCUGCAAUGCAGCGAUCUCAACUCAAGCAUCUGAGCCAGAUGGCCACCCAAGCUCUGCUUACAAACCUCCAAGGAAGGAGAGUUGGCCACCUUCUGAGAAAGCCUAUUCCACUGCCAAACAGCUCCUGGUCUCAGAAAGUUCUUCCUAGUGUUUAGUCACUCUCCUUUCACGUAACUUGAAGCCGUUGGUUUGGAUCCUGCCCUCUGGAGUGACAGAAAACAUGUGACAGCCUUGGCUAUCGUAUUGCCUCUCAGUCUCCUCUUUUCCAGGCUAGACACACCCAGAUCCUUCAACUGCUCCUCAUAAAGCAGGGCCGUCUUAAGCAUAUCCGGCGCUGUGGUUCAAAGAUCCCUCUGGUGCCCCCCACCCUUCCCAGAGUUGUCGACCUUUCCCCAAGCCUCUGCGGGGAUCGCUCUCCUCCCGAGGAGCCUUGGGAGGCAAGCUCCCCCCCCUCCAGCCAUACAGUUGACGGGGCACCGCUGGUGUGCGUGCAGGGAAAGGGGAGGCCACCGGCAAAACUGCGCAGCUCCCCCACUCGCUGGGGUGCCCCUGAGAGGCCGGUGCCCUGGCGCAAUGCGCCAGUAAGCCCAAUAGGAAAGACGGCUCUGCCAUAAAGCUUCGUCUCCAGACCUUUGAUCAUCUUGGUCACCCCUCCUCUUCACAUGUUCCAGUUUGUCAACGUCCUUCUUAAAUUGUGGCGCCCAAAACUGGACACGGUUUUCCAGGUGCGGUCUGACCGAGGCAGAAGAGAGAGAGAAAGACUAUGACUUUCUUCAAAUAAAAACGUCUUGGAGGUCCUGGGCCACAGGGAGGUUAGGCUGGCCUCGACCCGAGACAGGGCUUUUUCGGCCGUGGCCCCGAUCUGGUAGAACGAUCUGUCACAAGAGACUCGGGCCCUGCGGGACUUGACAUCUUUCCGCAGGGCCUGCAAGACGGAGCUGUUCCACCAGGCCUUUGGCCAGGGCACAGCCUGACCCCCUCCUUUGGUCACCCACACAGAAGUCUGGCCCAAUGGUUGCCAUUAAUUUGAUUCUGAAUUGAUUUUAGAUUGUAUUUCAAUUAAUUGACUGUGGUUUUAUGUAAACUGGGCUAUUUUUACUGUUGUUAGCUGCUCUGAGCCCGGCUUUGGCUGGGGAGGGCGGGAUAUUCAUUAAUAAUAAUAACAAUAUUCCCUUGAUCUGGACACUCGACUUCUGUUGAUGCAACCUAGAAUAGGACUCAUGUCAAGUUUGUGGUCUACUGAGACCCUCUAGAUUCUUUUCACGGCUAUCAAGUCGGGCAACCCCCCAUCUUCUAUCUUCCAUUUGUGCAUCUAGUUCUUCCUGCGUGAGUGCAGGACUUGUCCCUGUUGGCAGAUCAGGCCUGGCCCGACUGCAGGGAGGGAGAAGUUGCUGAAGAGCGAGCAGGAGAACGAGAUCUCCCUGGCUCUGCUUUUGCACUUUGGCCUUGGGUCUUGUCCUCAUGGACCACACGGAUGAUCCACACGCCGGAGCCUCUGCGCGAAGCAGUCAUUUCCAUAACAAGCAUGCAGGAUCCCUGGGACGCCGUCAUGUGGGCAGAUAAGCAUGCAAAUUGAGUUGAUGUGCAGCAGCUGCUUUGCACGCAUGGCCUUGUCCCUGGAAGAGUGUGAGCGUGUGUCUCACAGGUGAGAUAUUGGCAAAGCGGAAGAGAGACGGUGUUUUCGAUGAGCCAGAGUGAACUUGGGCUGAGUGCUGCGCCUAGGCCUCAAGUGCCUAGUUCAGUGCUGGAAGAUAUGAACAGGAGGACUCCUGAGUAUGAGCAGAGUGUUCAUUCCUCUAUUAUUCAGUAUACCUGAAGGAGCGUCUCCACCCCCAUUGUUCAGCCCAGACACUGAGGUCCACCUCCGAGGGCCUUCUGGCAGUUCCCUCACUGCGAGAGGUGAGGUUACAGGGAACCAGGCAGAGGGCCUUCUUGGUGGUGGCACCCACCCUAUGGAACGCCCUCCCACAAGAUGUCAAAGAGAAAAACAACUACCUGACAUUUAGAAGACAUCUGAAGGCAGUCCUGUUUAAGGAAGUUUUUAAUGUUUGAUGUUUUAUCGUGUUUUUAAUACUCUGUUGGGAACCACCCAGAGUGGCUGGGGAGGGAGGCCCGGCCAGAUGGGUGAGAUAUAAGUAAUAAAUUAUUAUUAUUAUUAUUAUUAUUAUUAUUAUUAUUAUUAUUUAUUAGACUGGAAAGGAAAAGUCUUUGGAACAGGGUGUUGAUGUAGCAUAAGACGUUUUGGGAGGGAGGUGAAAGCAAAAGGGGGGGUUUGAGGGAAUAUUGGUGUAAUUUUAUACAGUACUGGAAGAAAAUGACAAACUAUUGUAGGAACCUAGGAAGCCACCUGGAUGUUCCUCAGAAAGAGAGAGAGAAAGAGAGAAUGCAGGAAUAUAUGGGCUGAAAGUUAAUGAAUGGAAUGCCUCCCCACCCAGGGGCUCCUCCAAGUCACCCCAGGGUGCUAUGGCACACUGGUUGAAAACCAAUGAGCUGUGAGAACCAAUACCACACCCUGUAUCAGUGGUUCUGAACCUGUGGGUCCCCAGAUGUUGUUGGACUACAACUCCCAUCAUCCCUGAGCUCUGGCCUUACUAGCUAGGGGUGAUGGGAGUUGUAGUCCAAGAACAUCUGGGGAUCUGCAGGUUGAGAAAGGCUGCCCUAUAUCAAUAUUGCAGGUGCCGCUCUUAGUACCACAACCCAGCCAGAAGGGCAGGGUAUAAAUGAAAACAUUAUUAUUAUUAAUUUAUGAGGUGUGAUUUUCCAGCAUUUUGGAGCUUGAGUAGACAUGGAAAAGUCUGAGAACACAUCUGCCCCCAAGGCCUUUUGUUGAUUGAAUUUAUAUUGUAUCUUGAAUAGAUGCUUAUGGGUCUCCCACUGGCAUUCCAAGUGCUUUUUCUCGGUUUGGUUUCCUUGGAACGAAAGUCAGCAGAGACUGUGGUGUCUUUAGGAUAUGUGGUUUUAUUUAUAUACAACUUGACCACAGAGUGGAGGGGCUCACAUCAUUAACACCCCAACAGAUCUUGCUUUGGUUUCCAGGGGAGCCCCCAAGUCUAGUUUAUACUCAGCACGGAUCAAGUUAUAUCUCUGUCUCUCUCCAGUAUCCAGCUUUGGGCUCACAUACACUCAACACCUCUGGCUAUUUUUCUUCUACCUACCAGCCUGGUGAAGUGGGUGGAAAAAGGACCCACCCAUUUGUUUCUAUGGCAACAGAGCAACUUCUUUGGAGAUGCUAAUUUGCGGUACUUAACUACCUGGACAAAGGAACUGGUUUGGAAAACUUCCUCAUUCAUUAUGUUGAUGUUGUUUAGUCAUGUCUGACUCUUCAUGACCCCCCUGGACCAGAGUACGCCAGGCACUCCUGUCUUCCACUGCCUCCCGCAGUUUGGUCAAACUCAUGCUGGUAGUUUCGAGAACACUGACCCACCAUCUCGUCCUCCGUCGUCCCCUUCUCCUUCUGCCCUCCAUCUUUCCCAACAUCAGGAUCUUUUCCAGGGAGUCUUCUUUUCUCAUGAGGUGGCCAAAGUCUUGGAGCCUCAGCUUCAGGAUCUGUCCUUCCAGUGAGCACUCAGGGCUGAUUUCCUUCAGAAUGGAUGUGUUUGAUCUUCUUGCAGUCCAUGGGACUCUCAAGAGUCUCCUCUACCACCGUAAUUCAAAAGCAUCCAUUCUUUGGCGAUCAGCCUUCUUUAUGGUUCAGCUCCCACUUCCAUACAUCACUACAGUGGUACCUCGGGUUAAGAACUUAAUUCAUUCCGGAGGUCCGUUCUUAACCUGAAACUGUUCAUAACCUGAAGCACCACUUUAGCUAAUGGGGUCUCCUGCUGCCACCGCGUGAUUUCUGUUCCCAUCCUGAAGCAAAGUUCUUAACCCGAGGUACUAUUUCUGGGUUAGUGGAGUCUGUAACCUGAAGUGUCUGUAACCCGAGGUACGACUGUACUGGGGAAACCAGAGCUUUAACUAUAUGGACCUUCGUCAGCUUCAGGACCUGUCAUUCAUUCUACCCUCAUGCAUAUGUAAAAAAUAUGUUGUAAAAUCUUCUGUGUGUCUAAGGUUUGGGCACAUGCUGUUGGAAGAUUUAGGGCACAUAAAAGAAAGUCCUCCUUCAUGCGGGGAAUUGUUAACCUAUGGAACUCACUCCCACAGGAGGCAGUGAUGGCCAUUAGCUUGGAUGACUUGAAAAGAGGAUUCAGCAAAUUCACAAAAGAGGAGAAUGCUGUUGAUGGCUACCAGCCACAGCGGCUUUGCUCUCUGCAUCCAUAGUUAGAGGCAGCAGUGCUUUUGAAUGCCAGUGGAUGGAAACCACAGGAAGGGGAGAGGGCUCUUGUGCUUGGAUCCUGCCUGUGGGCUUUCCAUUAAAGCAUCUGGUUGGCCACCAUGAGAAGAGGAUGCUGGACCAGAUGGGCCAUUGGCCUGAUCCAGCAGACUUUCCCUGUGUUCUGAUCUCUCUCUGCCUCUCCCGUGCCCUAAGGAAGUCAGACUAUGCUCCCCAGGGCCAGGGCCUUCUCAGUGAUGGCUCCGACCUGGUGGAAUGCUCUGUCCCAUGAGACCAGGGCCCUGCAGGAUUUAACCUCCUUCCAUUGGGCCUGUAAGACAGAGCUAUUCCACCUGGCCUUUAAUUUGAAUUCAGCCUGAUCUUUUAUUUCCCUUCCCUUCCCUCACCUGCUCUGAGACCCCACAGCUAAUUCUCCCCUGGUCUCCUCGCUGGUCCAAGUAGGACCAAUUCAGCCAGCUAGCCCUGGGGAUUAUCUACCGGUAAUUGAUUUUUGAAUUUUAUUGUUAUUUGUGUUUUUAUACUGUAUUUUAUGCUGCUUUUAUAAUUAAGUGCUUUAAAGUGUUUUAAAUUUGUUGUUAGCCGCCCUGAGCCUGGUUUUUGAACCGGGAAGGGUGGGGUAUAAAUAAAAAUGUAUUAUUAUUCUUAUUCUUCUUAUUAUUAUUCUUAUUACUGCAUAUUAACCUUGCUUAGGGUAGCAAUCACUUGCCAAACAUCCCCGCUCAAAGCAAAUAAUGAAAGGAAGCGUGGAUCUUGGCCCAGGUGGCCAGGCUGACAAAUGCAGUUAGCAUUUGCGAGAGGCUCAACGGCCAACCAAUAACUCUGAAAUGAAAUGGAAGCUCAGCCUCAAGUUAUCAGGCCCGCUUGGCGAGACUCCCUGCAGAGUUUGACAAAUUUGUUUGCUGCGUAGGAAAAGAACACAAACCCGGGACUCUGGGCUCAUUUGUAGCAUUUAAUCUUGAUGAAGCUGGAUUACCUGUGCGCUCAGGGUGAUUCGUUUUGUAUUGUCUCGAUUCAAUGAAUAACAAACAAAAUGGAGAGGAAAAUUCACCAUUUGAACCCAAGGCGAGAUGGACUAUUCCAGAGGGGUUGUGUGGGCUGUUUUGCAAAGAGUUUGGCCGCAUCAACUUUAUUUAUUGAUCGGUUCUCGCCAGCGGUGCAAGGUGUUUCACUACUAGCUGGUUUGCAUGAUUAAAAGGGAUCCCACUCACGGGCGGAGUGGACACGGCUGUCAUCUUGUCCCCGGUACCUGAGGAUGAUUCCCCCUGUCCAUUUCACAUCCUUGCUUCCUGCUUUUGAAAAAGAAUUAUUUAUUUGCAAUCCCCGAGGCUCAGAGGGGCAGCAAUAAUUUAAAUGCGAGGUGGACGGUUAAGAUUGGUUUUGAUCCUUUUGUGCGUAAUCUUCACAAAAUGAAAAUGUCGGAACUAGAGCCCGGCUGACGUGGUGCCCCGCCUCCUAAUCCCCACUGCGCAGAGGACUGCUUCAUAGAAACAUAGAACUGUAGAGUUGAAAGGGGUUCCAGGGGUCAUCCAGACCAACCCCUGCAAUGCUUGUUGCGCUAUGAUGAGGCAAAAGAACUCUGCACGUGAUUUAGUCACCCUCUUCUUUCAUUAGUGAAGCUCCUGGGGGGAACCAGGUUCACGUCCCUACUGGGUGACCUCAGGCCAGAUAUUUACCCCCUGAGGGCCUCCUUAAUUGCCUUUCCCCUAAACUAAAACUCCCCAAGUGCUGUAACUGUUCCACCCUCUUUUCCAGCGACACAAUAUCCUUUUCUGAGGCAAGUCAACCAGAAUUGUACGCAACAUUCCAAGUAUGCUAUCAUCAUAGAUUUGCAUUCUGAAGUACAAGUUUCAGAUAUAAGCUCAUGUAUCCUGGCUAGUCAAGGAUGCGGGUGGUGCUGUGGUCUAAACCACUGAGCCUAGACCUUGUCAGUCGGAAGGCUGGCGGUUCGAACAUAGCUGUCAACCUUCCCCCUUUUUUUGCGGGAAAUUCCCUUAUUCCAGUGCCAUUUCCCGCUGCUAUCCCAGAUUGUUAGAUGUCCCGUAGACUGUCCCCGGGACAGGUGAGGCUGCUGAUCCCUUAUUUUCAAAUCUGAAAGUUGACAGCUAUGGGUUUGAAUCCCAAUGACGGGGUAAGCUCCCAUUGCUCUGUCCCAGCUCCUGCCAAACUAGCAGUUCGAAAGCACGAAGUGCAAGUCGAUAAAUAGGUAUUGUCCGUGGUGUGGAGAAAGGGAACAGAGGAAUUCUCCUCGCUCAUAAAACUAGAAUUCAGGGCCAUCCAAUGAAGCUGAAUUUUGGAAAAUUCAGGACGGAUAAAAGAAAGUGCAUUGUUAGCCUACGGAACUCACUUCCACAGGAGGCAGCGAUCAACACCAACUUGGAUGGCUUUAAAAGUGGAGUGGAAAAUUCAUGGAGGAGAAGGCCAUAAAUGGCUACUGGGCAGGAUGGCUUUGCUCUGCCUCCACAGUUGGAGGCAAAAAUGCUUCUGGAUAGCAGUUGCUGGAACCACAAGAGGGGAGUGUCGCUGCUGUGCCGUGGUCCAUCUUGCAGAUUUCCCGCUAAGGUACCUGGCUUGGCUAAUCUGAGAACAGGAUUCUGGACUAGAUGGGCUAUUGGUCUGAUCCAGCUACAGGGUGGUUCUUACGUGCUUAAUUGUAGGUGCCAGUGUCCUGGGUGCCUGAGCACCCACAAAAUUCCCCAUGAAGGGGCCAGGCACCUACAAAUUUCAGGAACUAGGGCCAUGCAUGUUGCAGGGCACCCACAGUCACAGGGCCAAGCUGUUCCUAAUAGUAAUUGUAUUUGUUCUGGAUGUACGAUAACUGACAGGCUCAUAUAGCUGGAAACCAAUUGUUUGGUGAUGAAACCUGGAAUAGGAAUUGAGUAUAAAGACACCAGAAAAGACUGAGGCAUCAUAUUUCUGAAUUAUUAUAUGUUUGAGUCUCUCUCUCUCUCUCUCUCUCUCUCUCUCUCUCCCCCCAAUUCUCAUUAGCUUUCUUAACUUUACCAGCUUGGUCAUUAUUUCCACUUUCCAAAUUCCAUCCAUCAACUUCCAGAGCUCUCCUCUUUUAAUUCCAGCCAAGCUAUGUUUGAUCCUCAGCACAUUUAGAAACAAUUCUGCUUAAGAUGCGGUUUCUGUUGGUUUAAAUAGUUUUUUUGGGCCACAGCUGAAGGCAGGAACACCUGCUCGGCAUGUCAGAGGACCCAGGUUGUGAAUCUGGGCUUUCGCUGAAAAGGACCGGGUUUCAUGUGAUGGGGAUAAAGAACUUUGUUCGCAGGGGAUCUGCAGAGAAUGUGGCUGCCGCUCAGAACAGACAUUGCUGAGCUAGAACUGGACAGCUUGAUAUGUUCAGUUUCACAUGCAAUAGCUCUAAGACUAAGUCCAACAUCCUCUUCUUACAGUGGCCAGACAGGAUUUGAGCAGAGAAGCACACUGCCGUCCUGUGGUUUCCAGUAACAUUGCUUCCUCUGACCCUGGAUGCAGUCCACAGCCAUCAAGGCUAAUGAAUUUGCCUAAUCCUCUUUUCAAGACAUCGUUUAAAGACAAGAGUGCCAUAUAGUUUAACUAUGUGCUGCAUGGAGAAAUCCUUUUAAAAAAACCAAACUGUCCUGAAUCCUCUAACAUUCAGCUCCACAUGCUCUAAUAUUGGACUGCAACCUAUGCGCAAAACUAUUGGACUGUGUGGAACUUCCUUCUAAGAACACAUGGGAAACAUGCAUGUUGUUAGUUUUAGAGUCAAAUGGUUUAUUAUUUCAUCUCAGGCCUCCUCCAUUGACAUGUUUGUUCCCCGCUCAUCUUAUUUGCCUGCAGAAAGCGUUGUGCAUUACUUAGACUAUGCCCAGCUUUUAUCGAGCAUAUGUUCUGAUUUGCUUACAGGGUGGUUAAACAAUGAUCAUUCAUCCUACGAUCAUCCUGAUUUGCUUGCGGUGUGUUUACACAUCUUCCCUGUUGAAUGACUGGGCCAGUUAUCUGUUGGAGUUCUUUAGUAUGCGAGUAAGCGUUGUGUGGUUAGUAGACUUUGCCUGUUGCAAACACACACACACACACACACACACAGAGAGAGAGAGAGAGAGAGAGAGGAGAGAGAGAUUUGUUGUGCAAAAAAAUAAGAAAUUAAUUUAUUCUAGGAAGUACGUUUAACUUGGUUAUAAAUGAUACCUAGUUCUAGCCUAAACAGCUACUCUAGAGAAGGCAAAGGCAAUCAGGCCAAUGGAACCUUUUGUGUAUUCCUGUCAAAUUCAUGUAUACCUUUAAACCUUAUAGACAAUAAAGCAGAGUUCCCAAACUUGGGUCUCCAACAGUUUAUGGAUUACAAUUCCCAUCAUUCCUGACCACUAGUCCUACUAGUUAGGGAUGAUGUGAGUUGGUCCAAAAACAGCUGGAGACCCCCUUUAAAAGUUUCUUUCCAAAGUCCCCCUCUUCCCCUAGCAUGGAAAAAGGCCAUGCUUGAUAAGUUAAACAUGGUUUACUUACAAACUCCAAAGGUCAGAUUCAUGUGCUUUUCCACACAGCAGUCAGAAAAAGUUGCACAGGCAGUAAAACUUUGUUUAGGUACAAAGUGAUGAAAGUUCUUAAUUUAUUGGUAUAGGAACUCAGGAGUGGCUUCUGAGUGCAUGCAGUUGAGCUGGAGCAACCACCUCAAACCUCUUCUUCACUGGAGCUGUGAGCUAGCUAACCAUUGGGGAAAAAACAAACCCCUCUCAGGUUUACACAUACUAAAUUAAAUUUGAACUUCUACGGGGAAAGAGGAGAGCGCUUGCUUUGAAUUGCUGCUGGUUCCUUCUGGCUUACUACUUCAUUUCUGUAAGAUUAAGUCUGAAGUGAGGAUAGCGCAGCCUUAAUUUAGGGAAGAUGGCGUCUUAUCAUUGCAGUUCCUGAAUCAUAAAUUGACCUUAAAAGCAAUCUUCCAUUUCCAUUUGAGGCCUGGUUCCUGCCUACAGGAGUCUGAUAACUAGAUCUUCCUGGCAAAGGCAAAGAUUAGCACACUGAUCUUUUCUGGAACUGUUAGGCGGUCCAGAAGCUAGUUGUUCUCUGCAGGUCAUGUAUGAGAUAAGAACUUGUACCAGGGUCGGAGAUCGGCUGCACUGACGCCAUGAUCCAUAGAAAUAAACCAUGUGAAAAGUCUAGACUAGCACCUGCCGUUACAUCUCUUCCUGAACACCAUUUCCCCAGCAAGGAAAUCCAAAACCACACAUUCACAAAAUCCUUUCGGGAACGGUUUACUCACUUCUUUUCUGUUCCACUGCACAGCCUUCCCCAACCUGGUGCCCACAUGGUGUGAUAAACUACAACUCCCACACCAAUGGGAGCAUGGCCAAGCUGGUGGGGGGGGUGAUGGGAGUUGUGGGCCAAAACAUCUGGAGUGGAGGGUGGUCAGAUGUUGCCAAAGGCAGCUCACAAACACAAAGGACUCUGCUGGAAGGACUGCCUCCCAGUCUCUAUUUUGCUUGGACUAAAUAUUCUUAGUUCAUUUCUGUAAGCCCUGUCCCCGCCAAAAAAAUAAAUCCUGGCUAGGCCCAUGGUCCUAGGCCUCUGGGAGGGGAUGUAGGGAUCCAGGGAUCCUAAACGGCCUCAGUCCAGUAUACCUGAAGGAGCAUCUCCACCCCCAUUGUUCUGCCCGGACACUGAGGUCCAGCGCUGAGGGCCUUCUGGCGGUUCCCUCACUGCGAGAAGUGAGGCUACAGGGAACCAGGCAGAGGGCCUUCUCGGUAGUGGCCCCCACCCUGUGGAACGCCCUCCCACCAGAUGUCAAAGAAAACAACAACAACCAGACUUUUAGAAGACAUCUGAAGGCAGCCCUGUUUAGGGGAGCUUUUAAUGUUUAAUGCAUUACUGUAUUUAAAUAUUUUGUUGGAAGCCUUCCAGAGUGGCUGGGGAAGCCCAGCCAGAAGGGCGGGGUAUAAUUAAUAAAUUAUUAUUACUAUUAUUAUUAUUAUUAGAGGGUGCCAUUGUUCAAAACCUGAAAAGUUGCAUGCAGUUAAAGAGACACUGGGUGCUUCUGGGCGGGGGGCAGGUUGUCAAAAUAAAAUAAAACGCUGUGUAAGGAUCACUGCUUAUGAGCGAUCGGUAAGAAAGCCAUGGUGUAAAAAAAGUAAAUAAGCAACGGGACUUCUACAGCAGCAGGCGCUGAGGUCUGGGGGAUGGAGGCAGCCCCUCUCUCUGUCUCUCCAGGUUUUUAGGACCCGGGGAAGCCCCUGGGCUCUGCUGCUUCUUGCAUCAAGCCUGCGAAGUCUUCCUCUUUGCUUCUGCCUCUGCUUGGCAGCGAGAGAGCGAUGCCCAGCCGCGCUCCCGGGAGCAGGUGUGCAUGACAAGCCAAGUGUGUGUGACAGAGGCAGGCCGGCCACCGGGAGGGGGGACGGGCGCGCUCUAGCUCUGUAUCUCUCUCUCUGUCUCUCGCUUGCAAAAGUCUCCCGGCUCCAGCGGCGGCCGCGCUCGGUCCUCAGCCGGCUUCUUCUGAAGCCCGGCGGGGCAGCAGAAUGGUCCUGAUCCUGCCGCACAUUCUCAUUGCUGCCCUUCACUUUUUCAGACGGGGCCAGCAGGUCUUCCUGAAGGCGGAGGAGGCGGCGGCCCGAGGCUCGGACACGCUACAGGUAGGUCGCUCUUUUCGGUUCCCCCUUUUUUUUCGGGGGUGGGGGUGACGGGGGUCCCCAAGGUGGUCCCCAAAGGUGGUGACUCUCUUCGCCUGCUCGGGAUGUCCGCCCUUUGCAUGUUCUCGCGGCGCUCUGUGCGUGGCCCGGUGAACUCUUGAUUGCGGUUGAGGAACUCUUGUUGGCGAUCGGCCAAGUUUGUCUCCCCACGACCGCCCAAAUUAACUUGUUUUACUCUGUUCUAAGCAUAGCUGUCAACUUUUCCCUUUUCUUGCGAGGAAUCCAAUUCGGAACAAGGGAAUGUCCCUUUCGAAUGCCACUUCCAUCCUUCCUUCCAUCCAGCAACUCGCGGCUAACUUUGCAAAUGACUUUGGGAUGUCUCAAAAUAUAUUCCAAAGCAUCUUAGCGCUUUGACACUCUCUGUGAUUCCUGCAUUGCAGGCGGUUUGAACGACCCUUUGCGGGGCGGGGGCUCCCUUCCAACUCUUUGAUUCUUCGUAAGCGGACAUGGCGCAAGCACAGUGAAGGUCAUGCGUGGCAUAAACAGAAGACUACUCUUCUGAAGGCGAUCCUUUGAUCACAUCCCUAACAGAUCGUUUCGUAGCUGGCUGGGACAAAGGGUGGCGCUUGUUAACGCGGCCCCCAAAGCAGGGUUCGUCCAGAGGCACUGAGAAGCUUUUACAGUUUUAUUGUCCCGCUAGCAUGUCAGCGCCCAAAGAUUUGUUCUCAACUAAGCAUGGGAAAAGACCUAGGAUUGCUGGUACCUCCAUCUCUGAUGAGUAGGAGGAGUGCGCUCUCUUGAUAUUUCAGAAGCGACCAAGUCCUGUUUGUAAUUGACCAAAAACACCCCCCUCCUCUCUCUCUCUCUCUCUCUCUCUCUCUCUCUCUCCUUCCUUCCUUCCUUCCUUCCUUCCUUCCUUCCUUCCCUCUGUUGGCCAAAACACCUUUUAUUCACAUUAUUUAUCCUUUCCCUCUCCUUUAUGUCUUCUCCUUCCUAUUCUCAAGCGCUCCCUCUCCUCUUAUUGGACCAUCUAUGGGGCUCUGACUAGCUUUCUUUUCCUCGCCUGAUUCUCCACGGCUCGAGUUCUCAAUGGAAGAGCUCUUUGCGCCACGGGCUCGCCUUGAGAAACGCCUCCCGUUUCUGCAGGACCACCCCAUGCACCCCCCCCCCCUUUUCGCGAGGCAGCGAGGCUGCCAGCUACGACCCUCGCGGCGGCUCGGCAGGGCCCGGGAGGCGCGUGGCGCGCUCCUGCCAGCCGCAGGCAGAGCGGGCUCGCUGCAAUGCAGGCGUGCUCUGCUCGGCACCGCUCCUGCGAGCAGAGCAGAGGCCCUGGAAGUCUCUGAAAGUUGCUGGCUGCUGUUGGCAAGCAGAGAAGCAGCUUCAGAGCGUUGGCUUGGCGUCUGUAUCUCCCUCUCCUCCUCUGCAAGCACCCAGAGGACUCUGCGGGACACACACACACACACACACACACACACACACACACACCAUUUUUCUAUUUCCAAGCACCUGCUUCUCUACCCGCCAGCACCCCAAAGCUGUGUGCAUGGAAACNNNNNNNNNNNNNNNNNNNNNNNNNNNNNNNNNNNNNNNNNNNNNNNNNNNNNNNNNNNNNNNNNNNNNNNNNNNNNNNNNNNNNNNNNNNNNNNNNNNNAUGGGUGGCAAAUCAUUAUUAUUAUUAUUAUUAUUAUUAUUUUGAUAUCCCUCCUUUCCUCCUCCAAGGAGCUCAAGGUUCUCUCCCCUCCUCAUUUAGUUCCCACAAGGACCCUACCAGGUAGGUUAAGCUGAGAGGCAGGGACAGAUAGCUCAACUGGUACAGCAUGAGACCCCUUAAUGUCAGGGUUGUGUGUUCAAGUCCCACGUUGGGCAAAGUAUGACUAGAUGACCCUUGUGUGUCCCCUUCCAACUCUACAAUUCGGUGAUUCUAUCACUGGCCCCCAAGGUCACGCCCAGGAAACUUCAUGGCCAAGCGGGGUUUUGAACCCUGGUUUCCCGAGUCAUAAUCUGACGCUCUAACCAUUACGCCGCACUGGCACUCCACAGGCAGCUCUGGGUCUUUUGAAACCCGCAGGCUGGUUCCUGGGGUGAAUCGUCAAAUUCUGUGAUUCUGCAUUGCUGGUGCAAAACUUUGGCCUUUCUUGAAAGCUGUUGUGUUGUGCGCAGGGAGUUGGCCAUUUGGUCAGUAGUUAAUUCUUACAGAUAAGGUAACAUCAUCCUAAAGAGGGAACCCCAUAUUGGAAAGAGAAACACCGCUUUCUGUAUGGUGUGGUUUAAUUUUAUUAAAGUUUAUUCAAUAUUUUAUUGAAGAUGGCUUCCGUGCACCAGCUUCUCACGGGACUCUGUGGAAGAACAUUUUGUGUUGAUUUCUUCUUGCUGUGUGGCAGCACUUUGCAUCUUUAUUCCAAUGUACUAUUUUUUUAAUGCCGUCUCUGUACUUUGGGGGAGGGAGUGGCCUGGCAAUAAUGUUAUUAUUUUCUUAGUUCUGUUAUAUCUGAAUAUCAAUAAAAUACAGAGUUUUUUUAUUAUUUUAAAUAAGGAAUCAGAACUGGACCUUUUGACAUGUGGGGUAGUGCAUGCAAGUUUAUUUUGGGUAGAUUCCAGCCAGAAUGCAAAGGCGUUGAAUGCAAAGGCGUUCUACAACAUUUGCCGGCAGAAGAGUUCUAGGAAUCGAAAGCCAUGCCUGUUUCUCAUAGAGUUGUAGAGUUGGAAGGGACCUAAAGGCUGUGGGAAUGUUCAGGGAUGCAGAAGAGGAUAUAUUGUCUGAUUAUAGCCUUUCCAACUUGUGUUAAGAAGUUCACAAUUUAGCAGAGUAACAUUCCCCUUUUUAAACUUGCAGCGGAUGCGUUUCCUCAGGCUCGCUAAAGCCUCUAUAAUAACUGUCCUGGUAUUUUCCCCUUAUUCCCUCAUAAAAAGAUAAGACAUGAUACAGUCUUCUUUAAAUUAUAAAAAGGUUUACUCAUACACCAUUCUGUUCACAAUAGGAUCCCAGAAGGCAGACUUAGCUUAGAUAAGUAACAUACACCUGGAAACUAUCUCAUAAGGAGACAGUCCCUUUGUCCUCUCUUGGCUGGAAGCCAAGAGAGCAUCUUAGGCUAAGCAGAUGUUGCUUCUUCGACGAAUGGAGUCAGAGAGAGAUGGCGGCCUCCACUCAGGUAUUUUGUUACCUGCACAGGUGAGGCCACGCCCACCUCUUGUCACAUGUAGAGGAAGUCUGUCCCAGCCCAGAAGGAAACAGGAAGUUUACCUCCUGGCUGGACAAACAUUCCUCCCCAUGUAUAAACAUGUUCACUCUGGGAAUGUUGUACUUGACUGCUCUUGUGUUUCACAUCCCACAUAGACUCAUCUAGUCCAACCCCCUGUGAUGCAGACAACAGCAACCAAGAUGCUUGAGGGCUUGGCAGGUCCCACUUGUGAGUUUCCCACAGGCAUCUGCAUGGCCACAGUGAGGACUAUUUGGCUGGUCCAGUGUCUCCAGGAAGCCCACAAGCAAUAAACAACUCCUUGCACUCUAACAGGUGGUAUUCAGUGAAAGAUUCCCCCUGACUCUGGGGAUUCUACAGAGCUAUAAUUGAUGAUUACCAUUGAUAUUCUCCUCCUCCUUUUCUCCAUGAAUUGGUGUAACAAACAUCCUUUCCCACCCUCCUCAGCUAGCAGCCCUUGUCACGCCUUCUGAAUUCCAUAGAUUAAUUCAUAUAUAUAUAUGAAUUAAUGUAUAUAUACAUUUUUAUUGAUGUUUUAACUUAUCAGUUCCAACAGUCAUACAACACAUCUUCUCAUCUUAUACAAUAUUUUAGACUUCCGUCAACACCUCUGAUGAUUUUCCAUUCUUUGUCACUUAUUCUGCAUUUCUUAAUUUCUAUAUUACAUUUAAUUAUCCUUAACUAAUAAUUCUCUUCAUAGUCUUUCUUGCAGUAUUUCAAAUAAUCCACCUUACAAAACUUCUUGCAGUCCUACUAGCAUAAUCUGUCCAUCACAAUUACUUUUCAAAUAAUUAAUAUAUUUACUCCAGUCUUCUAAGAAUCUCUGAUGCUGCAGGUUUCGAAUCCUUCCUGUUAAUUUAUCUAAUUCUGCAUAGCCCAUCAACUUCAACCUCCAUUCUUCUUUUGUCGGUAGUUCUUCUUGCUUCCAUUUUUGUGCCAAUAAUAUUCUUGCUGCUGUCAUUGCAUAUAAAAACAACUUACAAUCCUGUCUAUUAAUAUCUCCUACAAUGCCAAGUAAAAAUGCUUCUGGUUUCUUAAUUAAUGUAUAUUUCAACAUCUUUUUCCUCUCAUUACAUAUCAUUUCCCAGAAGUUUUUCCAUAGAUUAAUUCAAUGUUACAUGAAGUCCUCUUUGGAGGUCUUUAAGCAGAGGCUUGACAACCAUAUGUCAGGAGUGCUCUGAUGGUGUUUCCUGCUUGGCAGGGGGUUGGACUCGAUGGCCCUUGUGGUCUCUUCCAACUCUAUGAUUCUAUGAUUCUAAGUCCCCAUCAAUGAUAUCAGGUGAACAAAGACCUAGAACACGUUUGUCUACUUUAGAUCUCUUUUUGCUGAGCACCUUCUGAACUACACCUUAUGACCACCAGCCAACUCAGUCCCUGUGAUUUCUCCCUUCUGUGCUGCACAUUUUCCUAGCACUUUUGAAAACAUCUUUCCCCCAUAGAAUUGUAGAGUUGCAGGGGGACCCCAUGGGUCAUCUAGUCCAGCCCCCUACAACACAGCUAAAGAAUCCCUGGCAGGUGGCCAUCCAACCUCUGCUCAGAAACUUCGGACGAAGGAGAAUCCACCUUCUGAGAGAGUCUGCUGCACUGUCAAACAGCUCUCACCCUCAGAAAGUUCUUCCCAAUGUUGAGUCAGAAUCUCCUUUCUUGUCAUUUGAAUUAAUUGGUUCAAAUCCUCCCUUCUGGAGUAGCCGAAAACAGGCUUGCUCCAUCUUCCACACGACAGCUCUUUAGAUGGCUAUCACCUCUCCUCUCAGCCUCCUCUUUCAAAGACUAAAUAUGCGCAGUUCCCUCCACCAUUCCUUAUAAGGCUGGGUUUCCAAAUCAUUUUCGGUCUCCUUCCUCAGCACACCUUCCAGCUUGUCAAUAUUUUUUGAAAACAUUCUGUGCUCAUAACCUUUCCGUGCCGCAGAACCUGGUCUGGACUUUGUGUCCCCUUCGCGUGGAGAGAGAUACCCCAGCUCUGCACCUCAUCAAUUUGUCCAGAUGGCAACCAUUUGGCUUGAGGUUUUGAGGAUGUUUGCAUCAACCUCAAAUCGUGGGACUUGUCAUCCUCCGCUGGCUCAUCUCCAAAGAGGAGAUAAUGAUGUUCAGAUGCUUCUGAAGGAUUAUUUACCAGUGGAAUAGACUGGCCUUGAUAGCAUCACGGGAUACCUUGUCUGGAAGCAGGUGACAUUCAGCAAUGGUUUUUAAACAUUCAUUGGAGGCUUUUAAACAGAGGUUGGGUACCCACCUCUCAAGCAUACUACUCCUACUACUACUCCUACUAACAACAACAGCAAUAGAAUCCUGGAGUUGAAAGGGAUCCUGAGGGUCAUCUAGUCCAACCCCCUGCAAUGCAGGAUAGAUAGAUAGAGAGAUAGAUGAUAGAUAGAUAAUCAGUCAAUCAAUCAAUCUGUACCCCACCCAUCUUACUGGGUUUUCCCAGCCACUCUGGAUGACUUCCAACAUAAUAUAAAAACACAACUAAACAUCAGGCAUUCAAAACUCCCUGAUACAGGGCUGCCUUCAUGUAAUUGGUUAUCUCCUUGUCAUCUGAUGGGAGGGCAUUCCAUAGGGCAGGCGCCACCACCGAGAAGGCCCUCUGCCUGGUUCCCUGUAGCUUCACUUCUCGCAGGGAGGGAACCGCCAGAAGGCCCUCGGUGCUGGACCUCAGUGUCCGGGCUGAACGAUGGGGGUGGAGAUGUUCCUUCAGGUAUACAGGAUACUUUAGCUGUGAUCCUGCCCUUGCAAGGACUAGAUGACUUUUGGGGUCCCUUCCAAUUGUAGAAUUCUAUGGUUCUUUGUUCCAGAUCAUUCUGCAUGUAGGCAUUGCUCAUUCUUCCUCCUAAGGCACCAGAGCAGGCUGCAACAUUAUAGCACAACAUUAAGAACAGUUUAAAAGCCUUCUGCGUUCCCCAGAAGUUGCAUGAUGAAGGUGCCAGGAAAGUUCUGCAGGAGGGGGUUCCUCAGCCUGGGCAUCUGGUUGCUGCCCAUGAGAACAGGAUGCUGGCACUGGCCUGAUCCAGCAACCUCUUUUUAUGUCCUUAUCCUUUCCAGCAAGCCAUCCCCGUUGGCAGCACACAGUAACAGAGAGCAAUAAAGUCCGCUAUCUGCUAGAUGAGAGUAAUUGACUUUGCCCUCGAAGGGUUGCUAAAGACUCCUAAAGCGCGUUGCCAAUUAAAAAAAUGGCAAAUUGCACCGGCGACAUCCUCCUGUUGGCUGCGCCUCUCCGGUUUUAUGGCAGGCAAAUGUUCUGUUCCACAAAAGGAGUGCUAUGCGCAUGAGAGGAGGCAGCGCCAGUCAGCUGAGAAGGUCACCCGCCCGUGUGGCUUGUCGGGAUCCAAGACGCACAGCAGCCCUGGAAGGCGGGCUCUGCCUGGUUGUCAGGAAUUCCGUUCUAUUCUGGCAACAAGCACACGCUGCUCUCCUUCUGCUGUGGAGAGUAACUGGAACCUCAGGAAGACAGCGGGGAUGGCAGGCAGGCGGUGGCAGCAGAGAGUGGAGGUGUUCUUGUUUGUUCUGCUUAAUGGGAUGUGUGGCUAUUUUAUUGCUCUUGGAGCUGGCCGAGGGGGCACGACUGGCAAGCUUUAUCUGCGGAAAGCCAGGCUGAACAGACUCUGGAGGACUGCUGGGGAAACCCACUGUUUUCAUGCAAUAUAUUCUCACAGGUGGAUUUUCCCAAGCAAACGUAUUACAGUAGUACCUCGGGUUACAGACGCUUUAGCUUCCAGACUCUGCUAACUCAGAAAUAGUACUUUGGGUUAAGAACUUUGCUUCAGGAUGAGAACAGAAAUCAUGCAGCAGCAGUGGGAGGCCCCAUUAGCUAAAGUAGUGCUUCAGGUUAAGAACAGUUUCAGGUUAAGAACGGACCUCCAGAACGAAUUAAGUUCUUAACCUGAGGUACCACAUUAGGCCAAUGGGCAGCAUUGCUAGAUCAGGUGAUGGUUCAUAGAAUCAUAGAACUGUGGAGUUGUAAGGGACACCAGGGGGACGCGGGUGGCGCUGUGGGUUAAACCACUGAGCCUAGGGCUUGCCGAUCAGAAGGUCGGCAGUUUGAAUCUCCACGACGGGGUGAGCUCCCAUUGCUCAGUCCCUGAUCCUGCCAACCUAGCAGUUCGAAAGCACGUCAAAGUGCAUGUGGAUAAAUAGGUACCGCUCUGGCGGGAAGGUAAACAGCGUUUCCUAAGCGGCUUAGUCAUGCUGGCCACAUGACCCGGAAGCUGUACGCCGGCUCCCUCGGCCAGUAAAGCGAGAUGAGGGCCGCAACCCCAGAGUCAUCUGCGACUGAACCUAACCGUCAGGGGUCCCUUUACCUUUAAGGGACACCAAGGUUCAUCUAGUCCAACCCCCUGCAAUGCAGGAAACUCAGCUAGGUUCACCUAGCCCAGCAUCCUGUUCUCCCAGUGGCCAGUCAGAUACCUAUAUGGGAAACUGGCAAGCAGGUUUUGAGCACAAGAGCAACUCUCCCCUCCUGUGGUUUCCAGCAACUGGUAUUCAGAAGCAGCGCACCCGAUAGCUGUCUCCUCCUCCAUGAAAUUGUCCAAUCCUCUUUUAAAUCCAUCCAUGUUGGUGGCCAUCAUUGCCUCUUGUGGCAGGGAGUUCCACAGUUUAUAUAUGUGCUGUGUGGAGCACUUCCUUUUCUGUUUCCCGAAUCUUUCAAUGUUCAGCUUAAUUGGAAGUCCAUGAGUUCUAGUGCUAUGAAGACAAAGGAAAACCUUUCGCUCUCCCCCUUUUCUCUGCCAUGCACAAUCUUAUAAACUUUUUUUUAAUAUAUAAAAUUUAUUUAUAUUUUUCGGGUUUAUAGAUUUCACUAAUUACAAUCAUUUUAACAUUUCAAAACUUGACUUCCUCCCCCCUCUUUCUCAAUUUCCUUAAAUUUAUUUUUAAUAUCUUCUGUAUAUCCAAAUUAAUUUAAUUUGCUCAUUUAUUCAUCUACUUUAAAUAUAUAUACUCUUAUAAAAUUGCAGGUUAUUGCAAUAAUCCUGCCAAUGCUCUUCCGGUAAGUUUCAUUAUUUCUGCAUAUUCCAUAACUUUUUGUAUCCAUUCUUCCUUUGCUGGGACUUCUGCUUCUUUCCAUUUUUGGGUGAGUAACGUUCUUGCCACCUAUACAUGAAUAAGUUUCUAUACAGUUUAGGUAGUUCUGUCCCUAUAAUUCCCCAAGGAAAAGCUGCUGCUGCUGCUGCUGCUGCUGCUGCUGCUGCUUCUUCUUCUUCUUCUUCUUCUUCUUCUUCUUCUUCUUCUUCUUCUUCUUCUUCUUCUCCUCCUCUUCUUCUUCUUCUUCUUCUUCUUCUUCUUCUUCUUCUUCUUCUUCUUUGUUUUACACAAAUGUUAUUUUAAACAUCCUUUUCAAUUCAUUCUAUAUCAUUUCCCAGUAAGCUUUAAUCUUACUACAAGACCGCCACAUACGAUAAAAAGAACCUUCUUUCUCUUUACAUUUCCAACAUAUAAACUUCUAUCAGGUCGCUUCCUUGCUUUCCACUAAAUUAAAAACUCCCAAAUGCUGCAACCUUUCUUCGCAGGGGAAUCGCUCCCUCUCCUGGCUCAUCUUGUUUGCUCUUCCCUGAAGCUUUUCCAACUUGAUCUCAGCCAUGCAGCCAGGAGGCAAAGAUUCCCAUGCUUGGUUCUGGUGCUGUUUUGCUCACCAUCCAGGGGGUCGUAUGCACGCUGGGAGGCAGUGUGGCGCCGCUCCUGUUGCUUCUAGUUUAGCAGGCAGAAAAAGCAAUGCCGAGAGAGAGAGAGAGAGAGAGAGAGAGAGAGAGGCAGGUCAGAUGAGCAGAGCUGGGCUAUCCACUCUUAAAUAAAUGGCUUUGCACCCACUUUGAGAAGCGCUUUGUUAGCAGAGGGGCCUGGGAAGAGCCUUCUGAAAAUCUCACAACUGUGAUAUUGACACACUGUUGCACCUGGAGCAACACAGGCUGGGUUAGUGUAGGGUUAUUGUAGAUGUCCCCGUUUCCCGGGGUCAGUCCCCGGAUUUGCGAAUAAGUCCCCGGACAAAUACCAUCCCUGGAAUGUCCCCGGAUUUCAUCUAACGUCCCCGGGAAACGCAGCGGCGGCAGUCUCAGCAGCCCGGAGCAGUUGGCUCUGGCUGGCUUCAGGAGCUGCUUGGAAGUCCCCAUAUGAUGGUGUCGCAGGGGCUCCAAGAUGCAGCUUCCGGGCUGCCUCCACCUUCCUGACCCAGCAACUAAGCUGUGAAGGGAGGCUUCAUGAUGCCUAUCAGAACAGCCUCCCAACUCCUACUUGCGUGCAAGCAAGCGGGGCGGGGAUCUCUCAGCUGUGAAGGGGGCCUUCACGCUGCCUAUCAGAGCUUGAGUGCAAGCCGGAGGGGGCAGGGACCUCUCAGUUAAGCAACGGGAAGCCUCCCUUCCCAGCUGAGAAAUCCCCGCCCCCUCCUGCUUACACACAAGUAGGAAUGGGAUUGGGACUGCUCUGAUGGGAAAGGAGGCAUUGUGCUACCCAAGCCUUGUUGCCACCCAGGCUUAUGGAGAAAGGAGAUAGAAGCCUCAGAGGAAGGGGAAACAUGGUGGUUGAGGUCAAGGCGUUGGCCGUCCCUCCACCACCGCCAUUGCUGCAGCAUCAACAUCCCGAACGUGUAUGUAUGUAUGUAUGUACCGUAUUUUUCGCCCUAUAGGAUGCACCAUCCCAUAAGGCGCACCUAGUUUUUUGGGGGGGAAAUAAAGGGGAAAAAAUUAUUUCCCCCCCCCAGGCGCGGGGCUGGGGCGGGGGAAGCCCGAGCUUCCCCCGACCCCAGCCCCCAAACAGCGCUGGCUCCCGCUGCUUGCGGAGAGGUCCGCGAAGCCUGGACGUGCUGAGCUCAGCGAGCGCAGGCUUCAGCAUGCAGGCAACUCUCCGCAAGCAGCGGGAGCGGAGCGCUGCUUGCGGAGAGGUGCGCGAAGCCUGCAUUCGCCCCAUAGGACGCACAUACAUUUCCCCUUCAUUUUUGGAGGGGAAAAAGUGCGUCCUAUAGGGCGAAAAAUACGGUAUGUAUUUAUUUAUUUAUUGUGUCCCCAGAUUCAUUGAAAAAAAUCUGGUAACCUUAGGUUAUGGACAUUGGACAGGUCUCUGAAAAAGGACAGGGUGGUAAGGUAGAAGAUACAUGGCAAUGUUGAGAUCACCAUUUUUGGAUUUCCUGAUGUCACGGGAUGGUGUCGACAGUGGAAUAGGCUCCCUCAGAAGGUGGUGGACUCUCUUUCCUUGGAGGCUUUCAAACAGAGGUGGGAUGGGCAUCUGUCAGGGAUUCCUGAGCCGCGGUUCCUGCAUUGCAGGGGGCUGGACUAGGUGACUCUUGACUAGAUGACUACAGCAUGGUGUAGUGGUUAGGAGCGGUAGACUCGUAAUCUGGUGAACCGGGUUCGCGUCUCCGCUCCUCCACCUGCAGCUGCUGGGUGACCUUGGGCCAGUCACACUUCUCUGAAGUCUCUCAGCCCCACUCACCUCACAGAGUGUUUGUUGUGGGGGAGGAAGGGAAAUGAGAAUGUGAGCCGCUUUGAGACUCCUUAGGGUAGUGAUAAAGCGGGAUAUCAAGUCCAAACAGACUUCUAAAAUGGCAGAGGAGACAUGGACCUAGACUAAAUUGCCGGCAGAGCAGAAAGAUGGGAAGAGGUUUUGCCCAGGCAGGUAAGAGAAGCUACAGCUAAGUCCUCCUGCUGUCAGGGCACAAAAGGAGUAUCUCUCAGAGUUCUCUCUAGCAAACUUGCAGGAAAAUUCUGCGAGCUUCAGCUCCUGUCAUGUGCAUAUGUAACAUGGCAUCAUAGACUCAUUCAGGAUGGAUGGGAGUAUGGGUGAAAUAUUGAAGGCCCGAAUGCAGGCGAUACCAACAAGAAAGAGAAGUGGGAGGCAUCUAAGAAAACCGGUGUGGCUGCAUAAGGAGCUUACAGACCAGCUGAGAUUUAACAAGGGCAUGGAAGAAAGGAGGAAAUAGCAAAACGUGAAUUGAGAAUAUCUCACAAGGCUGAGAGGCUGUCACUGGCCCAAAUUCAUUGGCCACCUUGGCCGAGUGGGGAUUUGAACCUAGAUAUUUUACACAUGUGCCAUUUCACAUAGAUCUGCCCCUGACAUUGCAGGGGACGGCAAGCCAAGCCCCUGGCCAACCUUGUGAGUGACUUUGCAGGGAGGGCGGUUUCCACUGACAGGGGCAGAGUUGAGGAACUAGUUGGUGCUCAUAGCAUCAGGACAAGAAGAUAAUAAAAGCACCCUUAAAGAGGCCUGGAGUGACCCUGAAUUGUAGCAUUGGGGGAGACGAUAAGAGUCACUUCUCCCCCCAACUUUCUCUUGAAAGAGCAUGCCUGAUUUCAUAAGGGUGUGUGUCUAAACUAGGCAUCCCCAAACUCAGCCCUCCAGGUGUUUUGAGACUACAGUUCCCAUCACCCCUGACCACUGGUCCUGUUAGCUAGGGAUGAUGGGAGUUGUAGUCCCAAAACAUCUGGAGGGCUGAGUUUGCCUAUGCCUGGUCUGAGCACAAGGUAUGGACAGGGACACCUUUCAGUGAACUAGAUUUUUGUUGCCGCAAAAUGAUCUCCGCUCAUGUGUGCUCCCAUGGCAGUGAGUUCUACAGGCUUAUUCUGCGAAGAAGCAUUUCAGACAAGUACCUGGAGAAGUAUGCAUUCCUUAAUUUCAGAGGGUUGGGCUAGAUGACCCCUGGGUCCCUCCCAACUCUAUGAUGCAGGGAGUUGACGGUGAACUGAUUUCAGGCAGUCAGCCCCCUCCCCUUCUAUGCCGCAGAAUUAUUAGUACAGUGGUACCUUGGGUUAAGUACUUAAUUCGUUCCAGAGGUCCGUUCUUAACCUGAAACUGUUCUUAACCUGAAGCACCACUUUAGCUAAUGGGGCCUCCUGCUGCCGCAGCGCCACCGGAACACGAUUUCUGUUCUCAUCCUGAAGCAAAGUUCUUAACCCGAGGUACUAUUUCUGGGUUAGCAGAGUCUGUAACCUGAAGUGUCUGUAACCUGAAGCGUAUGUAACCCGAGGUACCACUGUAUUGCAUUUCUAGCCCACCUUUUCCUCUAGGGAGCUCAAGGUAGCGUAGGUGGUUCUCCUCUUCUCCCCCCUCCCCAUUUAAUCCCCACAACAGCCCGAGAGAUUCAGUGACUGGCCCUAGACCACCCAGGAACAGGGGCUAUGUAGAGAUGAGGAGAAUUUUCUGUGGGCUGCUAACUUUGCUUCCAGAGUCAGGCCACAGAGCAGUCCCUGGCUGACAUCUCGCCCUACAAAACCCCUGCCACCAUGUGCCUCUGUCAGAAGGGGCUGGUUGCACAUAAUGCAAGCCACUGAUUUCAUAGGAAUAGAGGUAAGUGUCUUACAUUGAAUCAGAACACUGGUCAAUCUUGCUUGGUGUUGUCCACACAGACAGGCAGCAGCUCUCCAGGGUAUCAGAGAAGGCUCUUUCCCUGUCCUGUCUGGAGAGGCCAGCGGUGAAACUGAACUUGGUACCUUCCCCUUAACAACAACAACAACAACAACAAUAACAACAACAACAACAGAUUCUCGUCUCUGUGGUUCUACAAAAAGAAAAUAGAGUUGACUUGAGCAGGAGCUGCCUUGUACCUGGGUAGCUCAAUUGGUUGCGUGGUGCUGAUAAAUGCCGAGGCUGCAGGUUCGAUCCCCGUAUGGUAAAAUCGCAUAGUCCUGCAUUGCAGGGGGUUGGACUAGAUGAUCAUGGGGACCCCUUCAAAUUCUGACUCUAUGAUAUAGAGCCAUGGUGUCCAUCUAGCUCAGUAAUGUCUGCUCUGGCUGGCAGCAGGUUGCCCAGGGUUUCCCCGCCCUGCCUGGAUAUAUUAUUGAGACCUUCUGCAUUCAAAGCAGCUGAGCCGCAGCUCCUUCUGCAAUAUGAAAGAGAGCUUCAAUCUCACUUAGAGAGGCGGGUGGAGAGAAGCUGCGCUCUCGCUUUCUGUGCCGGAAAGCGCUCGUGCUUCCUAACUCGCGCAAAAAAACCAGGCUGGUCCUGGUGAGCGAGGCUCCCUCGCCAGGCUCGGCAGAUGAGUUGGGGAGCGGGGGGGGGGGGCUCGGCUUGGCUCGGCGCCCCGUUCCUGCCUCCCUCGCCCGGGCGCACACACUCCUGCAUCAUCCUCGCACAGAGAGAGGCAGCCGCGCGCUCUCGCGCCGAGGGAGAGCCGCCUUGCAGACCGCAGCGGUUGCAGCCGGAGCUUGGAGGAAAUGGGCAGGACGAGACUCCCUCUUCCAGGGCAGCCGAGCUGAGCCCUGUCUCCCCGCAGCCUCAGCACCACUUUCCAGGGACCCAGCAGGCUGGCCGGAUCGCAGGUGAUGGGCUCCGGACAUGGGCACCUUCUUCGAGAGUGUAAGGACCCGUUUUUACUCGAUGCGCUUUGAGGGGCGCUCGGCUGCGCCUCCCAAACUCCCUGCUUGCAACCCUGCCUCCCUCUUUUCCUUGUCCUAGUCUCUUAUAGUUGCGAUUCACAUCCUUUUCGGGGAGAAGGAACGCCCGACUUUAGCUUGCUGGGGGGGUCCCCUGUUCCCGAGAGGGCUCCGGAAUUGCUUCCUGCCUGCCUUUCUGCUUUAGGGCUUUGUGCACGUGUGCAAGCGUAACAACUGUGCUCCGGUUGCGUGUGCGUUUUCCUGUUGGGGAAGUCGAGGUGACUGACUGAGCACUAGCGAGCAUUACGGAGCAUGGUAGGUGGCGAGGCUGAGCAUUUCAGGACAGCCGGAGGAACAUUUCCUCCUUGUCUUCUGGGAGCGAGAACGGCUGCUCCUUAGUGCUUGAUCCGUCAGGGAUCCCGGCAGAUCCACUCACUUUAAACCUCACUCUGCCCUGUCAGGGCAUAUUCCCGCUGUUGCCCCCAGAUCUCUCCGGGUCCGGGUGGGCGUCACAGCUAACCAUCCCCUAUGCCUAAAACAGGAAAAUAACGGUUCGCCGUUGGCCCUGACAUUCUCUGAAAAUGAUUUUGAGCGUAAAAGUUUUUGGACUUGGGUGUUCCCUUCCUUCCUGUUCUGCGCUGCCUUUCAGGUUGGGGAUGAAACGUCUGCCAGGGGAGACCUCCUCCUAGAUGCCUCUUUUAUUGUCCGGUUGUCAUGAUUUGCGCUCUUGAUGGUAUCAGGAGGUUAUACGCAAUCCCACUUUAAUUCUGUUUGAGCUUGCAAAGUUUCAGGGUGGGUGUACUGCAACUUUUCCCAACUGGGGCACUUUCCUGUUGAAACCCUGUAACUUUUUUAGACUGCUAAUGUGGGUUGUUGUGGUUUUAUUUAUUUAUUUUUUGGAGGGGGGUGUAUAUUUGUCACAUUUCCGUUGCUGUGCUCUGACACCAGCAUGUUACAGUCAUUAGCGUGUCUGACUAGCACCAGCGAGACCAGGGUUCUCAUCUCCUGAAGCCAUAGCUGUCAAUGUUUUCCUUUUUUAAAGGGAAAUUCCCUUAUUCCAAAUAGGAUUCCUCACAAGAAAAGGGAAAAACUGACAGCUAUGCAUGAAGCUCGCCAAGUGACUUUGAGCCCGUCCCCAUCUCUCUGCCCAGCCUCCCUCACAGGGCUGUUGUGAGGUUAGCAUGGAGAGGGGGAGAGAAUUGCGUGUGUGCCUCCUCAGGCUCUUUGGAGCAGCAUGUGGCUCCGUUCUGUUUUCUGAAAAAUGGUCUGAUUGCUGGAGCAUCUUGGCACAAAUGCCAUCCCUUCUGCUCUCUGCCUGCAGCAGCAGCCUGUGGGUGAUGUGAACUGAUGGGCGGAAGCCCUGCUGGCUGUGGAUCUCUCCCAGUUCCCUGAUUUCCUGACCGGCGUCUGUUCCGGACCAAGAUUGUGUGAUUCUGGCAGAGAUGUUCAUUUGCUGCAAUGUAUACAUGCAACGUGCUUUCGGUCAGCGCUGGCGUGGCGCGAGGUUAAGAGGAAGCAGCGCUGUGGCUUUCUAAGGCAGCCUUUGCCCAACCUGUUGGAAGUCGUAGUCCGAAAUAUCUGGAAUCUGGAGGGCGCCGGGUUGGCAAAGCCUUUUUAAGGCUUAAGCGGACAUGUGUAUCAUUAUGAAUGAGCAACCGUCAAUCACCAGUGGGGAACAUUCGUCAUACUUGUGGGCGGGGCUGGGUGCAAAAGUAGGAAGAGUGACAGCUGUGGCUCUCACCUUUGUUCAGCGGCCAUUUCAGCCAUACAGAUGGGCCAUAGCUCAGAGGUCCCGGUUCAAUCCGCAACGGUAUCUCCAGGUAGGCUUGGCAAAGAAUGUUGCCUGAACUCCUGGAACUUUCACUGCCAAUCAGGGUAGACCAGGGCUUCCCCAACUCCAACUGAUUUGGAACUACAGCUCCCAUCAUCCCUGAUCACUGGUCCUGCUAGCCAGGGAUGUUGGGAGUGGCAGCCCCAAAACAGCUGGAGACAGUGGCUUAGCGUGGGUUGCCAGCACCCGGAGCAAGGCAAGGAUCCUCAGUGCUGCCUGCCGAUAGGGUGGAAGGGAGGGGCGAUAGCUCAGCGACUGACCUGAGUGGCAGCCGAGGUGCCCCAUGAGCUUUGAGCAUGGAGGAGAGUGGGAUGGGAGAUUGCUCAGAGUGAUUACCUUUCCAAAGUCUGUGCAGAGGGUGCCCUAGAAAAGCGGCCGUCACUCAAAUUCAUUCCUCCAUCUGCCCACGCGAUCGUCAGGAGAUUUUCUCUGUGAGGGGGAGGAUGUGCUAUUUUUUAUUCCUACUUUUUUGUCUUUUGAAAUUUUGUACCCCUAAGAAUUUUGUGCCCAGGGGAGCCUCCCCCCCAUGCUAUGCCAUUGGCUGGAGACCCAAGUAUGAGAAACUCUAGGCAAUAUGAGCUCAGUGAGCCGACGGUCUGACUCUGUAAAACACAGUUUCCUAUGCGCAUGUAAAGGCCAGAGGUUUCUACACAUCCAGGAAUCCAAGAGGCAUACUUCAGUCCAAUGGGGUGGGGUGGGGGGCUGCCUGGGAAGAAGGGGUGUGGUUUAGUUUAGGGAGAGUCCAGUAGAGAGACCUGCAUGGUCCACACCCUGUUAUCACAUCAUGGUAUUUACCACACCAUUGUUUUUUAGAUGCCAGCAACAGAGAAAUGCCACGAUCGAGCUGGUUUUUAGAGGUCUCCGCGGUUUAGCUUGCUGAUGACUGUGUUUCUUGUCUAUGCCGUUUGGUAUCAUAACCUGGCCUGCAAUCUGAGGGUGGAAAUAGGUGUGCAUAAUAAAAAUAAAUCGAUAAAUAAUCUGACUGCAGUACUAAACAAUACUAGAAGCUGUUGGAGACGCCAAACCUCCAAGGGACUCGGCUACUGAAAAGACACUCCUUUUGGUCUGGGGUUUGUGUGUGUGGAGUUGUGGACCAAGUCAAGGGGUGUGGGGACAUGAUUUUUUUUUGGGGGGGGGGAGGACGGUGGCUGUGGAAAAGGGUUUACAGCUCGUCUUCUCGCUCUCCCACCCUUCCCAAUCUCUCAUCGCUUCUGCGCUUGACAUUUAAAGAAAAGCUUUGAGGCUUCUUAAACGUGUUCUUGUGUGAUAACUAUAGUGAGAAACGAUGGCAUUAAACCCUUGUUUCUUUCUGACCUUUCAUGGGUUUUUUUUAAGGGAGCCUGGGCGGUUUGCUGAUGUCUGCCACAUGAAACACACCCAGGGCUACUUCAGACUGAUUUGUUCAGUAUUUAUCCUGAUUUGCUUACUUUGUUGUCAGACUAUUAGCUGAUGUCCAGACUUUAUUGACCAUUCAUUCCACAAAAACAUAAGAAGGGGCUGCUGCUGGCUGAGGUCAACCACCCAGCUAGUCCAUCAUCCUGUUCUUACAGUGGCCAACCAGAUGCCCGUUGUGGGAAACCUGCAAUCAGGAUCUGAGCGCAGGUGCCCUCUCCCUUCCUGUGGUUUCCAGCAACUGUGACCCAUAAGCUUUGCUGACCCCAACUGUGGAGGCAGCCCAAAGCCAUCCUGGCUAGUAGCCUUCGACAGCCCUCUCCUUCUCUAUGAAUUUGUCUGAUCCUCUUUUAGAACCAUCCAUGUUGGUGGCCAUCACCCUCCAGUGGCAGGGAGUUCCAUAGGUUAACUGUCUGCUGAGUGAAGUCUUGUCGGUCUUUUGAGGUGCAAUGAUGCCAUGCAGCUGCCCCUUUCUUCAGAACCACCCUUGGAUAGCCUGUGACUGAAGAAGCCAACAUGGCGCCCUCCGGAUCUUAUAGGACUGCAAGUCCCAUCAUCCUUGACCCUGCUGCCUGGGGCUGAUGGGAGUUGGAGUCAUUCAGUGUCUUUUUUAUAAAAAAUGCUUUUUAUUGGUGUUUCAUUUAAUACAAACAAACAAAAUACAGUAAAAUUCAACAGUCAUUUACCCACACUGCUGAGCAUUGGCUUCCCUCCCUCCCUUCAACAGGUUUUCUUAUGUCAGUUACUUUUCCACAGUUUCUUAUUGUAUCCAAUCCUAUCGACAUUUUCAGAUUUAUUUCAGUCCUGCCAGAGUCUUCAAAUUUCUACAGUUAUUAUUUAUGUAUUCCAUAAAUUUACUCCAAUCUUUUUGGAAUUUUGUUUCCUCCUGAUUUCGGAUUCUACAGGUCAGUUUUGCUAGUUCUGCAUAAUCAACCAUCUUCGUCUGUCAGCCCUCUAUUGUUGGUAAUUCUGGUGCUGUCCAUUUUUGGGCUAACAAAGUUCUGGCAGCAGUCGUAGCAUACAUAAAUAACCUUUGAUCUGCCUUUUCUAUUUCCUGUCCCAUCAAGCCUAGCAAGAAAGCUUUUUCGGGAAAGUGUAUUUAAAUAUCUUUUUCAAUUCGUUAUAAAUCUGUUCCCAAAGUCCUUCAGUGUCUUGAGGGCCCCAUGCCAGCUACCCUGUGGGGUGGAGGUGGGUGCUUAUCAUUGGGGCAUCUGGUUGGCCCCUGUGAGAGCAGGAUUCUGACCUAGAUGGGCCAUUGGGCUGAUCCAGCAGGCUCCACUCAUGUUCAUGAUGCCUGUGGGAAUGUUCAGGGAGGCAGGAGAGGAUAUAUUGUUUAAUUAUAUCCUUCCCAACUUGUGUUAACAAGUUCUACAAUUUAGCAGAGUAACAUUCCCCUUUUAAACUCGUACCAGCGAAUAACGUCUUUGCCAGGCUUGUAUAAGCCUCUAAAAUAAAUUUCCCGGUCAAUUCCCCUUUAUUCCCUCAUAAAAGAUUAGACAUGACACAGUCUUGUAUAAAAGUAUAAAAGAGUUUACUCACACACAUUCUGUUCACAGAUGGAUCCCAGAAGGCAGACUUAAGUUACAAAGUAUAUACACCUGGAAUCUAUCUCAUGAGGAGAUAGUUCCUUUGUCCUCUCAGGGUAAGAAGAUGUUGCUUCUUCGAACAAUGGAGUCAGAGAGAGAGAUGGCAGCCUCCCUUGUGCUAUUUUGUUACCUGUACAGGUGAGGUCAUGCCCACCUCUGGUCACAUGUAGAGGAGGUCUGUCCCAGCCCAGGAGGAAACAGGAAGUUCUGACUGGCUGGUCCAGACAUCCCCUUUUUAUGUCCACUCUAGGAAUGUUCUAUUUGACUGCUUUGUGUUUCACAUCCCACACUGCCAAGGACCGGAGUCGGCCUUCCUUAGAGGUGCGAAGUGUGAUCCUCAGAUGCACAUUGUGUGAGGGUGGGGUGGAAGUGCAAGCAGUAUGGUCAGGGCAGAAGCAAAUGAAAUGCAAAAUUUGCAGACGCUGAGUGUCUGAGCGUGAGGAUCUUUCACUUCCUGUUUCCCUGCUUCUCUGCAACACUCAUUGCAGAAUUUCUUCAUUUCCCCUGCCAGGAAGAGGCAGAAGCUUCCUGCGACAGGAGAAAUUAGAGUUCCCCACUGAAUCUUGCAGAGACGCCUGCGAGCUGCUUGUUCUUUGCUCUUGAAAAUAAGCAGCAGGGCCUAGGAGUUAGCACAGGACCUUCCCCAACCUGGUGCCCUCUGGGUGAGUUGGACUGCAACUCAGAGAAGUCCCAGUUAGCACAGGCCAGAGAGAUGCUUUGGACUACAACUCCCAUCAGCAUGCUGGCUGGGGCUGAUGGGAGUUGUAGUCCAAAAGAUCCUGAGGGCAACAGCUUGGGAAAGGCUGAAUGAGCACCUUGCAUGUGUUCUGGGGUGACUAGUGACCAAACUUCCAGUGGAAAUGCCACUCUUAACAUCUCUCCUGCCCAACUGCUGAUGUCCUUAUUCUUCAACAUUUCGCGAGGAUUUUGCUGUGACCUCCAGUCUCUUAGAAAAAUAACUUCCUAGUCCUCAUGAAUAUGGAGAAAACCCUGUUUUAUCGCAAGAGAAUCAAGGUCCCCAGGGUUCAUUUGUGUUUUCGGGACUUCUCAUGUAUAGUGCCUUGUAAUCCUUACAGCAACGGGGGGGGGGGGGGUAGGUCAGUAAGAUGAUCUCCCCAUAUUUCAGAGUUGCCAAAGCUUGAAACGAAAAGGGCUUUCUGAUGGCCAUUCAGGGAGUCCAUGGCAGAGGAGACAUUUGAACUGUGGACCUCCUGGUUUGUCGUUUAACCUGUUCCCCGUUCUUCCCUUCUGCACCAGCUCUGCAAGGUUCUAAAUCUCCAGCUCAUUAAAAUAUCCCAACAAAAAUGAUUUUAGAAUGAUAAAUAUCCACCGCAACCUGUCUCCUGCAAAGAAAUUGAUCCAGCAACACAAAAGGAUGACCAGUCUCUAGAGGCCUCCAGUCUCUACAAUGGGGGAACCAGCAUGGUUAAUUCCAGAUAUCCUUGGAUCCCUGCCGUACAGCUGGAGGGAAAUGUUUUCGGCCUGGGGCCGUAUUAUCUCAUGGGCUAUCUUCUAGGGGGCAUGUGCCAGUCAGGGCCAGAGGCGAAAGUGGGUACAGCAGUACCAGAGCCUACAUUGGCUCCCAGGAUGUUUCCAAGCACAAUUCAAAGUGUUGGUGCUGACCUUGAAAGCCCUAAACGGCCUUGGCCCAAUAUACCUGAAGGAGCGUCUCCACCCCGAUCAUUCUGCCCAGACACUGAGGUCCAGCUCUGAGGGUCUUCUGGUGGUUCCCUCACUGCAAGAAGUGAGGUUACAGGAAACCAGGCAGAGGGCCUUCUCGGUGGUGGCACCCGCCCUGUGGAACACCCUCCCACCAGAUGUCAAGGAAAGAAACAACUAUCUGACUUUUAGAAGACAUCUGGAGGCAGCCCUAUUUAGGGAAGUUUUUAAUGUUUGAUGCUUUAUCGUGCUUUUAAUAUUCUGUUAGGAGCCUCCCAGAGUGGCUGGGGAAACUCAGCCAGAUGUGGGCGGGGUAUAAAUAAAUACAUUAAUAAUAAUAAUAAUAAUAAUAAUAAUAAUAAUUUUGCCUUUUGUACAAUACAGUGCAUUCACAAGCAUGCAAAGGUCAGAGGUCUCCCCACUACAGACUCCUCUCCCCACACAGGCAGGCAAGAGGCAGCAAUGCCGUCCAAGGAUGUAAUCUGCCAAGCCAGAGCAAUCCGGGGGGGGGGGGGAGGGAUGGAGGGGGGGGCCUGGGAGAGGGGGCAUGGCCAGAAUCCAAAGGGCCGCAUAGACAGGUCUAGAGGUCCACAUUUGCCUCCCAGGUGUUAUUCUGACUUCACCCCUGGAAGUGCACUCCAUUGUCCCAUUAAGUCGAUGUCUCUUAUCGACCUGGGUAGCUCAGUUGCUUACAGCGGGGUGCUGAUAACAUGAAGGUUUACAGGUUUGAUCCCCAUAUGGGACAGCUGCAUAUUCCUGCAUUGCAGGGGGUUGGACUAGAUGACCCUCAGGGUCCCAUCCAACUGUAUUCCAGGACAGAAGUAUGCCAACAAGAACCUUAGGGAGAGCAGACUGGGUUUUAAGGAAAGGGUCUUAGAAGCACCGCAACGCUUUUAUUAUCUGCCUUUUAAUAGAUUUGUUGUUAAUAUUGUUUCAAUUCUAUUCGAAUUUAAUCACCUUUGUAAUGAACUUCCCUGUUUUUAGCUUUUUGUAUUUUCCCUGCAUCGUUUUAAUGUCUUUAAGCUGCCUUGGGUCUGGGAGUAUAAGUCAGGAUAUAAACAAAGGUAACAGAAACACUCAUUGCCCUGGACCGCUGGCCAUGCUGGCUGGCAGAGAUGGGAACCACAUUUGAGGUUGCUACCUCUGGCUAUCCCCAACAACUGGAGCAUAUCCUGGAAGCCAUCCAGGGGUUAGGAUGGAUCUGGUUUUGGGAGUCAUUUCCCACCUACUUUGGGGCCUUAAUUUAGGAGACCGCCAGUCGAAAACUCAGCGGAAAGUCAUGCUUUAAUGGGACGGAUCUCUCUCUCUCUCUCUCUCUCUCUCUCUCUCUCUCUCUCUCUCCCUUCCCCUUCUCCUCCUUUUCUCAGCAGCCCAUGACUUUAGUCCCUUCAGCCACUGGCUAGAAGCUAGAUCUCUCGGCUUGCAGCUCAAUGCAAUUAUCCACUGUCAGUGACACUCUGAUAAAUCACACCCUAAUUGAUAUGUGUUAGCAGCCUGCCUAAAUGGGAAAUAAUCUGAUUGUGAGUCCCUGCUGCUGCUGCUGCUGCAGUUUCUUUUUUAUUUCCAAGCCAGGGGAGCACAGAAAGAGCGAGAGCAUGUCAAAAGGACAAAGGGAAGGACCAACUGACCACCACCUUCUCUUUUUGUUCUAGAGCAGUGAUGGCCAAACUGGCCCUCCAGCUGUUUUGGGACUACCGUUCCCAUCACCCCUGCCCCCUGGUCCUGUUAGCUAGGGAUGAUGGGGGUUGUAGUCCCAAAACAGCUGGAGGGCCGAGUUUGGCCAUCACUGUUCUAGAGGUUAGCUGUAAGCCACACCCACCUAGAAGGGGCAGAGAUGUAAAUCGCUCUGAGCGGCAGCCAGUUUUGCUGUAUCUGAAACUUCCAAAGGUUUAGCAGAUUCUGAACGGCUGCCUUUCCCAAACAAGACGUUCCUUUCAUUUCACUUUUAGGGAAGUUUCUAAAUGUUUGAUGUUUUAUUGUGUUUUUAAUACUCUUGUUGGGAGCCGCCCAGAGUGGCUGGGGAAACCGAGCCAGAUGGGCAGAGUAUGUAUGCAUGCAUGUAUGUAUAAAUAAAUAAAUUAUUAUUAUUAGAAUUUAUAUGCCGCCUUCCUAUAUGGAGAGCCAGUGUGGUGUAGUGGUUAGGAGCGGUAGACUUGUAAUCUGGUGAACCGGGUUCGCGUCUCCGCUCCUCUACCUGCAGCUGCUGGGUGACCUUGGGCCAGUCACACUUCUUUGAAGUCUCUCAGCCCCACUCACCUCACAGAGUGUUUGUUGUGGGGGAGGAAGGGAAAGGAGAUUGUGAGCAGCUUUGAGACUCCUUCGGGUAGUGAUAAAGCGGGAUAUCAAAUCCAAACUCUUCUAUAUUACUAUGCACAAGGCAGCUUACAAAGCUGAAGAAACAACAAAAUAGACAGCAAAAGUCACACUCCUCAUAACAAUCUGACCCAAUACAAAAAGCCACAUUAACUUUAAAAUAAACAACUUAAUCCAUCAGAAUGUAAUAGUAAACAGUAAAAUCAAACAUCAGCAAAUAAAAUUUAAGCAGUUUACAGUGGUACCUCGGGUUAAGAACUUAAUUCAUUCUGAAGGUCCAUUCUUAACCUGAAACUGUUCUUAACCUGAGGUACCACUUUAGCUAAUGGGGCCUCCCCCUGCUGCCGCACUGCCAGCAUGCAAUUUCUGUUCUCAUCCUGAAGCAAAGUUCUUAACCAGAGGUACUACAUCUGGGUUAGCGGAGUCUGUAACCCAAAGCGCCUGUAACCUGAAGCGUCUGUAACCCGAGGUACCACUGUACACUUAUUCUUUGCUAUAAAUAAUUACUAAAGUAUGAUCAAUAAAAACAAUAGCCUGUCGCAGUGCACAAAAUACCACAAAACAUCCAAAACCAUGUGAAAGGAUCAAAUUGGGAAACAAGGGCACACAACUUAUAAAAAUAUUUUUUUAAAAUAUCCCUGAACAGCUUCUGCUGUUUUCAAAGCUGUGGUCUGGGAAAGACUCCUGAGGCUGGAGGGUGGAGCAAGGCAGGUGGGAAAAGCUAUUGCCUGAUGGACAGCAGAAAGUCGACCUCCCCCCUCAUGUUUUGCACUAUAUUUCCCAUCAUCCCUGUUCCAGUGUGGCCAUACUCCCAGGGGCAGAUAAAUGGGAGUUAUAGUUCAAGAUAAUUGGAGGGCACCAGGUCAAGGAAGGGUGGUCUGCAGUGACUUCCUAAAUACAGCUAGUUUCCAAACAUGGAUUUGGCGAUUUAUUGACAUUGGUAACCCCACAGGAAAUGGGGUUAAGAGUUAAAGUCUUAAGAACAUAUAAGUGCCCUGUUGGAUCAGGCCCAUCUAAUCCAAUGGUUUAAUCCUUCCAAUAGACUAAAAGCAGAUUAAAGUUUGCAUCAGCUUUCUGUACAUCUGGGUAAAAUGUUUUCAGCAGGUGCCGAAAGCAGUGAAGGCUCCUGUCUGGCGUUCAAGUGGCAGGGAGUUCCAAAGUGCAGGUGCUGCCUAGUGGAAUGAAACGUCACGUUUUCACAAAUGUGGAACAAAAUGCGGCUGAUGGGCCAGUUUUGCCCAUUGAAGGGUUCGAGUGGGUAAGUCAGUUUCAUGGGUAAACUGGUCUCAAACUGCUAAAGGCUUUGCACAUUCAUAACAACACCCUGAAAUUGUCCUGGCAGCGAAUCGGCAAGCAGUGCGGAUUUCUGAGCCCAGGUGUUAUUUGCUGGCAAGGGCUCACACCUGUUCAGCAAUUGGACUGCAGCAUUCUGCAUGAACUGCAGCUUCUGGAUCAGCUGCAAGGAGAGGAAAGGGAAGAGGUAGGGGAAGGAAGGAAGGAAGGAAGGAAGGAAGGAAGGAAGGAAGGAAGGAAGAUGCAUAGAGGUUCCUGCUGCCGACCACUUGGCAAACCAUUCCAUCUAUAUCAUCUCUUCCAGGACGGAGGAGGACCUUACCCGCUUCUUGGCUUGUUCCCCAGAUUUCUGCUCAUAUCCUCCUUGGCACCUUCACUCCAGCUGUCCAUGUAAACAGCCUCCACUGAGUGUGCUGCCUCUGAGGGCGAUGUAGGGUGACAGCAACGCUCUGUCUUUGGCGAGCAAACUGGACGCUUGCCAGCCCUGCCAUGCGAUGUUGCAGUCAUUAAGGGAUGAGCGUGCCUCUGCCAGUGCUGGCAAGAGUGCUGCUCACAGGUCUGGUUCGGAAAUGGGUGGCACAGGAGAGGGCAACUCCGAAAGGGCAUUCCCUUGGGCUUCCCCAUGUCUGUGCCUGAUUCCCUGACAUUGCCGGGUUAGAACAGUGGUCAGCAAACUGGUGUCUCCAGCGCCGAUCGCGCGGCAGGCCGGAGGGCGGGGGGAGUGUGUGCCCAUACACGUGCACACACGCUAUUUCCGGCGCACUUCCGGGUCGGAGGAACACCGGAAAUAGCUUGUGCGCAUGUGCACGGGCCUCCUCCGACCCGGAUGUGCACUGGAAAUAAUGCUUGCACAUGAGCAAAUAACGCUUGCGCAUGCGCACAAGCUGUUUCCGGUGCUCCUCCGACCCUGAAGUGGGCAGUCACACAGCGCAGCCCGGUAAGAGCGGGCAGUGGCAGCGGGCAGCAGGGGUCACCGCGGGCCGGAUAAACGAGUCCCUCGGGCCUCAUCUGGCCCGCGGGCCUUAGUUUGGGGACCCCUGGAUUAGAAUCACGGAAUCGUAGAAUAGCAAGGUUGGAAGGGAUCCCCACGGGUCCAAACAUUUGCAAUACAAGAAUGACGGGGUUAAUGGGGGAGUUCCCCCACAAAUGACUUUUGUUUUACCUGUCCUGGCCACCUAGUGAAACCCACAGCUGUGUCAGGGAUGUGACAAUGGAGAAGUAAAAGAUUUGGAUCAUCAAAAAAGAUGUGGGAGGAAAUGAUUAAGUUAGGACCCACAAAGCAGAGGGUGGAAGUCCAGGAGGAUGCUUUGCUUUUUGGCAGACCUGUGUCUUUUGCUGAAUUUAUACCAUUCUGUUUUGGUUGGUGAAUUAUACUCGGAGUCGAGUGUGAAUUUCAUGCUCUUUAUUCAGCUUGUAGUAGAAAAGAAUCAAACUUUCCCCAAAAAAUCUAGCUAUAUAUACAUUAUUUACACAAUGGGCCCCACGUGAUUGGCUAAUUCCGGUCUGCUCCUGUAGGCCAAUCAGGUCACUGAUUCACUUCCACCUGGAGCUGGAUUGGGUGGCUCCUGCGGACCAAUCGGACUGCUGCAUUCUGGAUCCUAUUGUUCUAGGAUUCAGCUCAGUACAUAACAGUUGGAACAGUUUUCCUGCUGGACAGUGGAACGGUCUCCCUCAGGAGGAGGCGGACUCUCCUUCCUCGGAGGUUUUUAAGGAGAGGUUGGGGAGCCAUCUGUCAUGGAUGCUUUAGCUGAGUUUUCUGCAUUGAAGGGGAUUGGAGGAGAUUAUCCUCAGGUCCCUCCCAACUCUACAAUUCUGUGAUCCUUAUAUCACAUAUUGGUAUCCCACUCUGGGGACAUUAUGGCAAAGGUCAGAUAAGAGAUCUUGCCAAUGAGUGAAUAAACAAACCUCCAACCGCUGCAUCAUUCUUUUUUUAUAUAUAUAAUUAAUUUUUAUUCAAUUUCCAAUAUACAUUCCAUCCAUGUUUAACAUCCACUUCUAACAUAUACAUCUUUUAGACUUCCCUCAGCCUAUCUGACAAUUUUCCAUAUUAUCACAAUUACUCACAUUUCUUAAAUUUAUAUUGCGCUUUAACAAUCUUAAUCUUAUCAUAUCUUUUAAGCAACAUUUCUAUCAAUCGUUUUCACAGAGCUUCUUGAAAGCCAACAAGCGUUAAUUGCUCCUCACAUACAUUUUUUAUAUACUCUGUAAAUUUAUUCCAGUCCUCGGUGAAUCUCUGAUCGCGUUGGUUUCAGAAUUUUCCCCGUUAAUUUGUCCAUUUCUGCAUAUUCCAUCAAUUUCAUUCUCCAUUCUUCCCUCGUCGGCAUUUCUUCCUGUUUCAAUUUCUGGGCCAUCAAAAUUCUAGCUGCUGUCACUACAUACCUAAAUAACUUCACAUCCUUCUUUUUAAUUUCAUUCCCUAAUAUUCCUAAUAAAAAUGCUUCUGGUUUCUUAACAAAAGUAUAUUUCAACAUUUUCUUCAUCUCAUUAUAAAUCAUUUCCCAGAAACCUUUCACUUUCUUACACUCCCACCACAUGUGAUAAAAUGUUCCUUCUUUUUCCUGACAUUUCCAACAUUUAUUACUGACUUUAUACAUCUUACCAAGUUUCACUGGUGUUACAUACCAUCUAUAUAUCAUUUUCAUAACAUUUUCUUUUAUUGUAGUACAUGCAGUGAAUUUCAUUCCUUCUUUCCACAAUUUUAUCCACUCAUCAAAUUGUAUAUUAUAACCAAAAUCUUUGGCCCACUGAAUCAUAACUGAUUUUACUUCUUCGUCCUUUGUAUGCCACUCAAGUAAUAAUUUAUACAUUUUUGAUAAAAUUUUAACAUCACUAUUCAAGAUUUCUUGAUGAAACCUAGAUUUCUUUUCCUGAAAACCUCUUUCUGACAUCUCUUUUUUGAACAUUGCAUUCAACUGAAAAUAGUGCAACCAAUCAUUCACAUUUUCUUUGACUUCUUCAUAUGGUUUCAAUUUCCAUUUAUUACCUUCUUUGAUUAUCAAAUUCUCAUAUGUAAUCCAUCUCCCUGUCAUAUUGAUCUUUUUCACACUCAUUAUCUCCAGUGGUGAUAACCAAUAUGGAGUUUUAAACUCUAAUAAAUUUUUAUACCUAUUCCAGACUUCAAUCAACGAUCCUCUAAAGAUGUGGUUUUCAAAACCUUUAUGCACUCUAUUCUUUUCACACCAUAAAUACGCGUGCCAACCGAAUCUAUUAUCAUAACCUUCUAAAUCCAACAAUUCUGUGUUUUCUAACUUUAUCCAUUCUUUCACCCAGCAAAGACACGAAGCUUCAUAAUAUAACUUUAAAUCUGGCAGGGCAAAGCCUCCUCUAUCUUUUGCAUCUGUUAAUAUCUUAAAUUUUAUUCUUGGUUUCUUGCCCUGCCAGAUAUAUCUUGACGUUAUUCUUUGCCAUUCUUUGAAUAUUGUCACACCUUUAAUUAUUGGAAUUGUUUGAAACAAAAACAACAUUUUCGGUAGCACGCUCAUCUUUAUCGUUGCAAUUCUUCCCCAUAAUGAUAGUUUCAUUCUUCCCCACACCUCUAGGUCCCGAUUAAUUUUAUUCCAUAUUGGUACAUAGUUGUUUUGAAACAGGUCAAUACUCCUGGGAGUUAACGUAAUCCCUAAAUACUUAACUUUCUUAACCACAUUCAUCUCUGUUUGUUGCUGUAUUUUUUUCUAUUGUCUCUUGAUCCAUAUUCUUAGCAAUUAUUUUAGUUUUUUUCCUAUUUAACUUAAAGCCGGACACCUGACCAAAAUGUUCUAUCUCUUCUAACACCUCUUUGACACUCUAUAGUUAUAACCAAGUCAUCGGCAAAGGCUUUGACCUUGUAUUCAUUACAACCAAGUGUCACACCUUUUAUUUUUUCAUUAUUUCUUAGUGUUCUUAGGAAGACCUCUAGGACCGAAAUGAAUAAUAACGGACAUAAAGGACACCCUUGUCUUGUACCCUUAGUUAUGGCAAUAUUUUCUGUUAUUUUCUGUUAUAACAUUGUUAACAAUUAAUUUUGCUCUCUGCUCCGAAUAUAUUGCCUUUAUACCACUCAGGAAAGAUUGACCCAUAUCCAUAUAUUUCAAAUUCUUCAACAUAAAUUCCCAAGAGAUAUUAUCAAAGGCCUUCUCAGCGUCCACAAAUAUCAACAUCGCUUGUUUAUCUUUCCUGUUUGACAGAUACUCUAUUAUGUUAAUUAUAUUUCUUAUGUUAUCUUUCAUCUGCCUACCAGGAAGGAAACCUGUUUGAUCUUUAUGAAUCAUUUCCUUUAAUACCUUUUUCAUCCUAUUUGCUAGAAUAUUUGCAAACAUUUUAUAGUCGUUAUUCAAUAAUGAAAUUGGCCUGUAAUUUUUAACCUGCGUUAAAUCAGAGUCUUGUUUGGGAAUAAACGUUAUAUAUGCUUCUUUCCAGGUCUCAGGUAUUUCUCCUUCUUUCAAUAUGUUAUUCAUUACUUCUUUCAAUGGUACAAGUAGAGUGUGUUUCAUUUCUUUAUAGUAUCUUGCGCUGAAUCCAUCCGGUCCCGGCGACUUCCCACUCUUCAAAUCCUUUAUUGCCAUUUGAAUUUCUUCUAAUUCUAUUGGUUCAUUCAAUUUAAUUUUAUUACUCUUUGAUAUUUUUUGCACCUUUUUCUUCAUUAAAUACUCCUCCAUUGUCUUUAUGUUGAGUUCUCUUUUCUUUUAUAUAGAUCUCGGUAAAAGUCCACAAAACCUUUCCUUAUUCCUUUCGGAUUCUCAGUCUCUUGAUCUUCUAUUUUGAUUUUAUUAAUUGUGUUCUGUUCUUUCCUUUUUUUAAUUUGCCACGCUAACCAUUUCCCUGAUUUAUUUGCAAAUUCAAAAUUCUUUUGUUUCAUUCUUCUUAUAUUCCAUUCUACUUCUUUAUUGAUUAUCAUCGCAAAUUGCGUCUGGAGCAUUUUUAUACUUGGCUUGACCUUUUCAUCCUUGGGUCUUAUAGUUAAUUUUUUUUCAUUCUCCAUUAUUUGUCUUAAAAUUUCUUUUUUCCCUUUUUCUCUCAUUCUAUUUUUUAUUGCAUUUUGUUGAAUGAAGAAUCCUCUCAUAACAGUUUUGCUCGCAUCCCAAACCGUACUCAUCUUUGUUCCUUUGUUAACAUUAUUUACAAAAUAGUCCAUUAAACAUUUCUGAGCUCUGUCCACAAUCUUCUGAUCAUCUAAAAGACUUUCAUUUAAUCUCCACCGAAAAGAUUUUUCUUCAUUUCCUCUUAAAAUAGCUUUAACCGCAUUGUGGUCUGAUAGAACUUUAGGCUGAAUCUCAGUCUUUAUUAUUCUUGUGGUUAUUUCACUAGAAACCCAUAUCUGAUCAAUUGCCAUCUGAUCCGCUGCAUCAUUCUUGACUACUGGCUCAUGAUUAUCAACUGGUCCUCAUAGAUUGGUGCGGAAUCGAUGGACUGUCUCCUCCUUGUGGGCUUAGAUGAGCUCCUCUUGCCCCAUACAACUUCUUCUCUUCUUCUUAGGUGAUCUCUCAUAGCCGAAUAAGAUUGUCUUCCAUGAACACGGUCUUAACAGUAAGUCUGUAAGUGACUGUGGAGGCCAAUUCUGGAUCCACAUGUCCUUCCACAGUGGGGACAUUGGUUUCUGGGCAGGAGUUGAUCAUGGUGAGGGUUUGCCAAGUGUGUCUUCCUCCUAGCGUGUUUCUCCCUUUUGUCCUGAGCGGGUGUCUUCAAAACCCAUGACACCUUUCUUAAAGGCUGUUCUCCACCCAUAUGUGCAAACCUCCAGGGCUCAAAGUGAAUCCUCUGCAGGUUUGAGCUGCACUUGUGAACGGUCCGCCAAACCCAUGAUGGAUGCAAAGGGGAGGAGACCCUUUGGGUCCCUCCCAUCUCUACAGUUGUGACCUGAUCUGCAGGCAGCCCCUCUUCAGUGAAACGGCGUCCUACUGCGGCAUGACUAACUGAAAUGUGAGCCGUCUCCUUCUGCACAUGAUUGUUACAAAUGCGCUUCCUUAGCAGAUCUAAUGAUCGUGGUGAAUUGCCGCCUGCCUCGGUAAUUAGCCCUUCUGCCAAUAUGGUGCCUAGCAAGGAGGAGGAGGUUUUUCUUGUUAAGGGAUGGUGAGGAUGGUCCUAGCAGCAGAUCAUAGAAUUGAAAGGGGCCACCAAAGGUCAUCUAGUCCCUGCUAUGCAGAAGUGUGUGAAGAGCAGGCAUGGCAGCAGGACUCCUGGGUUUGAUUUUCAUCCCAGGGAGAGGAGCACAGCUUACAGAGGUGCAGGCAGCUGAGAGGAAAGGCUUCUUGUCCUUGCACACGCACACACAAACACAAAACCUCUAUAGAAAAAACCAUUUUUUUAGCUUGCAAAGUUGAAGCCUGCCUUUCAGCUGUGCAGAUGCCGAAAGCAUCCAUCAUCAUCAUCAUCAUCACUUUUAAUUUGUAUACCAUCUUUCUACCUUACAACACUCAAGGCGGUUUACAAGCUGAAGAAACAAAAAAUGUACAUCUUAUAACAAUCAAUGCAAUACAAAAAUGUGAUAAUAAAACAUAACUUUAAAACAAGCAACUUACAUUAAAAAAUGUAAUAUUCAACAAUCAUUAGAAUAGUAUAGACCAGGGGUCAGCAAACUUUUUCAGCAGGGGUCCAGUCCACUGUCCCUCAGAACUUGUGGGGGGCCGGACUAUAUUUUGAAGGGAAAAAAAGGAAUGAAUUCCUGUGCCCCACAAAUAACCCAGAGAUGCAUUUUAAAUAAAAGGACACAUUCUACUCAUGCAAAAACACACUGAUUCCUGGACCAUCCGUGGGCCGGAUUUAGAAGGCGAUUGGGCCGGAUCCGGGCCCCAGGCCUUAGUUUGCCUACCCAUGGCAUAGACUAUAAUUUCAGGCUGCAGACUUUAAUUUCAGGCUCUUGAAAACAGAGGCGCUCUUCCAGCCUUCGACUCGUAGAAUUGUAGAGCUGAAAGGGGCACACAAGGGCCAUCUAGUCAACCCCCUGCAACGCAGGAAGCACUGCUCAAGAUUCCAGCUCCACAAUUCCCUUCCAGCUCUACAGCUCUGUGACUCGGUUGGGAAUAAUUGCACAAACUGAAUUUUCUGGUUUGCGGUCGCCGAAUCCACCCGCAAGCAGUGAGAAUCUGGGAGCGCUCUGGGGCGACAAGGUUCAUUCAGGAGCCGGAACCAGUUCCUCCCUGCUCCCCUCCCACACCCUUGUUUUGUAUCAGCUGUAUUUGCUGACUGAACAGUAAUCUGUCUCCUGCCAAUUUAAAAGCCAGAGGAUGUUUGUUUUCUGGGUUGAUGAUAUGCUAGAAAAACGUAACUGACCUCCGCAAGGUUUUACAACAGUUUGGAACAGGACUCGGCAGCUGCAAGGUGUAAAACAGCUGUGCGGGUGGCUGCCUGGUUAUCUUAGUGCAGUGGUUCUCAACCUCUGGGUGCCCAGAUGUUUUUGGACUGCAGCUCCCAUCAUCCCUGAGCUCUGGCCUUGCUAGCUAGGGGUGAUGGGAGUUGUAGUCCAACAACAUCUGGGGACCCACAGGUUUGAGAAAGGCUGUCUUAGUGCAUCUGCACUUGACUUAGGAACCAAAUCAAAUCAAAUAUCUUUAAUACGGUCAAUGACCAGGAAGCAAUUCAUAAAAUAUGACAUUAAAAGUAGUAUUGUGCUACAAGUAGCAGUAAAAAUAUGGCCAGUUCACAGAAUUGGUGCUUAUAUUUAUGACCAGGUUGCGAGUUUUAAGUUUUUAAAAUUCAAUUCAGGAGUCGCUACUGUUUAUUAUCGUUCCUUCGGUGUUUACAGUUUGAACUCCUUUGUAGACAUCAUUGCUCGUCUUAUUCUUGUUGCAAUGUAACAGUACUUUGCCACGGACCUGUUAAUUUCGGGCUCUUUGUCAGCUAAGAGGUGUCUGAUAUAGGUGUCGUCUGUACUACGAGGUAUUUUCCUCAGAAUCGGUUCGAUCAGCUCUUUUCUUGAGUCUCGAUAUAAUGGGCAGUAUAAGAUGACAUGCCCAAUGGUUUCGAUUUCAUUGCUGUUACAGGGACAUAAUCUUUGUUCGAUCGGUAUUUUAUUGUAUCUUCCCUCUAGAAGAGCUGAAGGGAGAGCGUUAAAGCGGGCCCUGGAAAAUGCCCAUCGGUGUUUAGCGUUGUCUAGAACUUUGAGAUAGUUUGCUAGAUGGGGCCUUUGAGUAUUGUAUAGAAGUUUAUAAGUUAUCGGAAGUUGGUUAAAGUCAUUUUGGGUUUCAAUGUCCCUGAGUCUUUCUUUGAUUAUGUUCUUGGCCCUUCCCCUUUCUAAACUUAAUAAAUACUCUGGAGAGAGACCAUAUGUCUUGGCUUAGGAACUUAAAUCCACAAAAGCUAUGAAGAUGGAUCGGGCCGAAGGAGGUCCAUCUAGUCCAGCAUCCUGUUCUCACAGUGGCCAGCCAGAUACCCCCCGAAAGGAAGCUAAAAGUUGGAAGGUUCCGGGCAGAGAAAACAAGUCCUUCUUCAUGCAGCAUGUAGUUAAACUGCGGAACUCCCUCCCACAGGAAGCUGGGAUGGCCAUGACCCUGGAUGGCUUUGAGAGAGGAUUAGACAACAUUAUGGAGGAGGAGAGGGCUAUCUUGCCACCAGCCAUGGUGAACACACUGACUCCACAGCUGGAGGCAGAGAUGCUUCUGAAUACCAGCUUCUGGAAGCUGCAGGAAGGAGAGUUGCUCUUGUGCUCAGAUCCUGCUUGUGGGUUUCCUGUGCGCAUUUGUUCCUCCAUCACUGUGAGUACAGGAGGCUGGACCAGGUGGACCUUUGACCUGAUUCAGCAGGUUUCUGGAAUCAUAGAGUUGAAGAGUUGGAAAGGGACCGCAAGGGUCCUCUAACCCCCUGAAAUGUACGAAUCUCAACAAAUGCCAGCCAGAUUUUAAGUCAUGACUCUCCAGGUCCAGAAUGUGUGCAUUAUCCAAUGUAAUCCAUUCUCUUAACCAGCACAAGCAGGCUGCCUCAUAAUACAUUUGCAGGUCAGGCAGGGCGAAGCCUCCUUUUCCAUUUAUGUCUAUCACAAUUUUAUGUUUAAUUCUUGGCUUUCCCCCCUGCCAGAUGAAAUAGGAAAUAUCCUCCUUCCAUUUUUUGAAGCAGCCUGAAUUAUUUAUAAUAAUUCAGUAGAUUUUUCUUGGGCAGUAGAUUCAUUUUGGUGGCUGAGAUUUUGCCAAGCAAGGACUGCUUCAUUCUCUCUCCCAGAUCUCCGACUUUUUUUUUAAUCUCUUUUCACAGUUUAACAUAAUUAUUUUCAAAGAAGUUGAGAUUUCUUACUGUGAGCCAGAUUCCCAGAUAUCUAACUUUUAAAAACGUAUUUUCAAACCAAACUGUUUUUCUAACGUAUUUUUUGACACACGGUCCCACAUCCAAUUGAAACCAUAUCAGACCCUCCUUGAAAAUAUCCUAACAUGGUCUUAUGCUACGUACCAGUAUGGCUGAAUACGCUUCCAAGUUGCCUGCUGUAUGUUCAGCAUACAGGGACAGUCCCGGAAUUACGGAAGCCGUCCCGGUUUCUGAUUUGAUCCUGGAAUGUCCCGCUUUUCCUUUCCCCUCCCCUCCGUGUCUCAGAGAACAAUGAAAAGUGUGCGUUUGUAGGUGCAAGACCGGAGUCCUGUUUAUCCUGAACAUAAAAUCCCUGCACCAAAUGGAGGAAAUGGUGACGCUGGCAGAAGAAGUCCUUCCUAUAAUUUUGAAGGGAAACGUCAGCAAUCCACUUUAAAUCCUCUCAUUGAAAUUCUUCCGCAGCCAGCCAUCUCUUAGGAAGUGCAUGGAGUGUUUAUUCCUUUAUUGUAAGUGGAGCCUGACACUGUCUACUGAGAAGUAAGUCCCACUGUAUUCAGUUGAGCUUACUCCCAGGUAACCCAGUAAAGACUGUGUAGCCUUACACUGCAGUCCUAAGCCUUUUUAAAGGUAAAGGUAAAGGGACCCCUGACCAUUAAGUCCAGUCGUGGCCAACUCUGGGGUUGAGGUGCUCAUCUCGCUUUACUGGCCGAGGGAGCCGGCGUGCAGCUUCCGGGUCAUGUGGCCAGCAGGACUAAGCCGCUUCUGGCGAACCAGAGCAGUGCACGGAAACGUCGUUUACCUUCCCGCCAGAGAGGUACCUAUUUAUCUACUUGCACUUUGAUGUGCUUUCGAACUGCUAGGUGGGCAGGAGCUGGGGCAGAACAAUGGGAGCUCACCUCGUCACAGAGAUUCCAACUGCCGACCUUCUGAUCGGCAAGUCCUAGGCUCUGUUUCCGUGCACUGCUCUGGUUCGCUCUGUUUCUGUGCACUGCUCUGGUUCGCCAGAAGCGGCUUAGUCAUGCUGGCCACAUGACCCGGAAAAACUGUCUGCGGACAAACUUCGGUUCCCUUGGCCAGUAAAGUGAGAUGAGCACCGCAGCCCCAGAGUCGGUCACGACUGGACCUAAUGGUCAGGGGCCCCUUUACCUUUACCUUAAAUCCUGCUCUGCUAUGUUCCUCAUCAUUCUCACAGUUUCCAUUAUUAUUAUUAUUAUUAUUAUUAUUAUUAUUAUUACUACCCACCUUUUCCCUGGCAGGCAUGCAAGGCAGCUUACUGCUACAUUUCAUUCCAUUUAUCUGUGGAAGGUGUUGUACACGAUCCUUCUUUCAUACAUUUUUUUUCCUUUACAACAAUCCUGUAAGGUAGGUUUGGUGGAGAGGUUGUCCUUGGCUCAAGGUGACCGAUCUUGAUGUAUACUUGACUUCUAUGUGUGCGGCAAGAUCAAAAGCAGGAGAAGCGAUAAGCGAUGAUCCAUAAUGACUUGGGGGGGAAUGUUUAAAAUUACUUUUCCCCCCAAAACUGAGAGUCCUUUCUGUUGGGGAUAAUUCAGACUGAAAUUCCCAGGUGUCAAAACAGGUUAUUUAUGUAUGCCACCACUGCGGCCCGUGUUUUGUUAGCCCAAAAAUGGAAAACGAGCGAGGUCCCAGGCAAAGAAGAAUGGCAACUUAAGCUGACAGAGUAUGCAAAACUUGCAGACCUAACAUAUAGAAUGAGAGAACAAGAAGAGCGUAAGUUUAGAGAAGAUUGGAAAAUAUAUAGGAAAUAACUGUGUACAGCUGAAAAUGCUGGCAGCGUUAAGAUAAAUUCAGCGGUAUAAAUAAGUUGUGAUGGAUGUAAUAAUGGAAUAUUGAGUGGUAUAGUUUCUGUAAAAUAUGCAGGGAUUUAUGUUAUGUAAAAUGAACCAUGGAAAGAGAAGAAAGGAAGUUGUUGAUAUUCUUUGGAUGCUUAAAUGAAUAUUCUAAAACAGGCAUCCCCAAACUCGGCCCUCCAGAUGUUUUGGGACUACAAUUCCCAUCAUCCCUGACCACUGGUCCUGUUAGCUAGGGAUGAUGGGAAUUGUAGUCCUAAAACAUCGGGAGGGCCGAGUUUGGGGAUGCCUGUUCUCAAAUGUAAGACAGAAAAUUCAAUAAAAAAUUUUUUAUAUACAAACAUGGGAGAAGCUUCCUGGUGCAGAAUAGAAUGCCCCUGUUUUCAUCGGAGAAAUGUUGGAGGGUCUGGAGGCAUGCCUGCCUCUGUGUUCCUUACGUUUUCAAAUCGGAUCAAAGCUGGUCUGGGAGCCAUUGGGGUUUUGGGGUGUGUGUGUGUGUUGUGUAGGUCCUUCCUGAUUUCCUGUGUCAGGCAAAGGCUCCGUAUCUCCCUUUACAGUAUGUGGGGUCACCGCACGCACCCAUUUCUGGGAAGCCAGGAAGAGACCAAGCUUUCCAUGUCAUUGUAUGAAGUCACAGGCUCCUGGCCGCCCUUCCCCUUGCAUUUAUCACCACCAGCCUGAAGAGUCAUGAGAGGAAAUGGUGCGUUGUUGUUGUUUAGUCGUUUAGUCGUGACCCCCUGGACCAGAGCACGCCAGGCACUCCUGUCUUCCACUGCCUCCCGCAGUUUGGUCAAACUCAUGUUCGUAGCUUCGACAACACUGUCCAACUAUCUCGUCCUUUGCUGUCCCCUUCUCCUUGUGCCCUCCAUCUUUCCCAACAUCAGGGUCUUCUCCAGGGAGUCUUCUCUUCUCAUGAGGUGGCCAAAGUCUUGGAGCCUCAGCUUCAGGAUCUGUCCUUCCAGUGAGCACUCAGGGCUGAUUUCCUUCAGAAUGGAUCGGUCUGAUCUUCUUGCUAGCCAGUGUGGUGUAGUGGUUAAGAGCGGUAGUCUCGUAAUCUGGGGAACCGGGUUUGCGUCUCCUCUCCUCCACAUGCAGCUGCUGGGUGACCUUGGGCCAGUCACACUUCUUUGAAGUCUCUCAGCCCCACUCACCUCACAGAGUGUUUGUUGUGGGGGAGGAAAGGAAAGGAGAUUGUUAGCCGCUUUGAGACUCCUUAAAGGGAGUGAAAGGUGGGGUAUCAAGUCCAAACUCCUCUUCUUCUUCUUGCAGUCCAUGGGACUCUCUCAAGAGUCUCUUCCAGCACCAUAAUUCAAAAGCAUCAAUUCUUCAAUGAUCAGCCUUCUUUAUGGUCCAGCUCUCACUUCCAUACAUCACUACUGGGAAAACCAGAGCUUUAACUAGACGGACCUUUGUUGGCAAGGUGAUGUCUCUGCUUUUUAAGAUGCUGCUUAAGGAGAGACAAAUGAGGAACUGGUGGCCGUCUCAACUGGUCACCGCAACCUUGGUCGCUUUGCCGGUUGGGGAUGCCAUGAUCAAACUGGAAGAGCUUAGUUUCCACAAAGCCUCUGCAGUUGCUCAGAAGUCGGGGGCCCAAACUUCAGUGUGUCUCCGUUCCCAAAGUGUGUGUGUGUGGGGGGGUCCCACCCCUGGGGGUACAGUGGCAUCACCUGGGGGGCCCUUAGAGCAGGCAUAGGCAAACUCGGCCCUCCAACUGUUUUGGGAUUACAGUUCCCAUCAUCCCUGACUGCUGGUCCUGUUAGCUAGGGAUGAUGGGAGUUGUAGUCCCAAAACAUCUGGAGGGCAGAGUUUGCCUAUGGCUGCCUUAGAGGCAAGGAGGCAGCGGGGGGAGGCACUGGAAAUGGCUUCCUCCAAGUGCACUGAUCAAUUAUUUUCCAUUCACCAGCCUAGAGCCCAGAGCCAAACAUCUUCCUUAUUUAAACUUUUACUGCUCUUCUUACUUUCAAAGCUGUUGCCUUGCUCAAUGUUGUAUAAAUUAGUUACUGUACAUCUCUGUACAGAUGAAGGUUCGGUAAGUAGUUUUAUAUGAAUGUUUCAAGCUAUAAAUUACGCAAGAAUGCGUAAAAAUAUUUUUCAUGCAAUACUCUUUGCUGCAUAUACCUUUUUUUUUUAAAAAAAACUACAAGAUCAGAUCAGAGCAUAAAUUUAUUUAUCCAAAUUACUUUUUCUGAGAACUUAUACCUACAAAUCGGGUUUUGAAUAAGGGAGCAAUUAAUUAUUGCUGUUUUGAAUUUUAUUAUGUUACUAUAUUCCUGAACGGGUUGUGCGGAUCGCUGUUCUGAGUUAUUUAUUUAUUUCAUGAAAAUUUAUGUGCCACUUGCUUGAUUAUAAAAACAACAGCAACGACACCUCCAAGCGAUUUUUUUGAAAGAUAAAACAAUAAAACUGAGAAGUAGAAAAACCACAACCAUACUUUAAAACAUACAAAAGUUAAAACGCUAAAACAAAUUAAAAUUACUCCGAUAGGGUAGGGGGCAUUGAGGAUAUGUUUAUUGAACCAAGUGUGCAGUUGCCAGAAAAAGUUGGGGAACGUCUAGCAUUGGGGUAAAUGCUGAAAUACAGGAUCUCUUCCAGGCCAGAGGUGGGGGCAGGGCGGGGCGGGACAGGGCGGCAGGACCAGAUUUACCGUAUUUUUCUCUCUAUAGGAUGCACCGGACCAUAGGACGCACCUUGUUUUAGAGGGAGACAACAAGAAAAAAAAUUCUCCCCCUCUCUGCUCAGCGCCCCUUCAGCGAAGCGGCAGGAGAAACGGAGAAGCUUGUGGAGCUGGGGGUGGGGGGAAACGCUGCUUUCCCCCACCGCCAGCCUCAAAGAUCCCUGAAGCCUUUGGAGCGCAGCGGGAACUUGUGCUGCGCUCCGAAGGCUUCAGGCGGCUAUCCCUGAAGCCUGGAUAGUGAGAGGGGUCGGUGCGCACCCUCUGCCCUUCAGAGGCUUCACGUUGCUAUCGCUGAAGCCAAGGAGCCUACAUUCACUCCAUAGGACGCACACACAUUUCCCUUUAAUAUUUGGAGGGGGAAAAGCGUGUCCUAUAGAGAUUUAGGUUUGAUGAGGCCCUAAGCUACUGAAGGUAAUGGGGCCCUUUCUAUGUCCAGCUGUCCUUUGUCAACAACAAAUGGUCACUGUUUUUUCUGUUGAAUAUAUGCUAGAUGGUAAUUUAUGGACCUAGUAGGUAUCUAAAGCAAUUUGCACGUGUUGCCAUGCAACCAGUCCAUGCAGAAUGUAGGCACCCUGUUUAUAGAAAGGAGCAAAGCAGUGAUAUUUUAGGGAGCAGGCUAGCAGGCGGGGCCCAUGACUUAUAUCAUAGGAGCCUACACAACACAAAGCACUGUUGCUGUAUGUAAAGGUAAAGGUAAAGGUAAAGGUAAAGGUAAAGGUAAAGGGACCCCUGACCAUUCGGUCCAGUUGUGACCGACUCUGGGAUUGCGGCGUUCAUCUUGCUUUAUUGGCCGAGGGAGCUGGAGUACAGCUUCCGGGUCAUGUGGCCAGCAUGACUAAGCCGCUUCUGGCGAACCCAGAGCAGCACAGGGAAACGCCGUUUACCUUCCCGCCAGAGCGGUACCUAUUUAUCUACUUGCACUUUGACGUGCUUUCGAACUGCUAGGUUGGCAGGAGCAGGGACCGAGCAACGGGAGCUCACCCUGUGUUGCUGUAUGUCGGUUUUAUCUUAUUUGUUUUUUAUCUUACAUUUUGGAAAUGUACAUCCAGUUUUUUCUCCUUUAAUUUUUUGGGGGGAACUUCGGGUGAGUCAGGCCCUAAGCUACAGCUUAUUUAGCUUAUACGUGAAUCCAGCACUGGGGGUCAGGCAGCAAGGCUUCUGAACACUGGUUGCUGGGGGCGAUAAUUGCUCUUGCCAUUGGCCUCAUCCGGCAGAUUCUUAUGUUCAAUGCAGGAGUGCCAACUUGGCCCUGUGACUGUGGGUGCCCGGGGCCAUAGGUGUCAUGUAGCCCUGGUGCCAAAAUUUGUGGGUGCCUGGCCCCUUCAUGGGGAAUUCUGUGGGCACCCAGGGCCCCAGGGAGCCAGCACCUAUGGUUUAAUGUGUAUGUGCCACUUUGCUAAAAGAGUGAUUUUAUUUUUAUUUUAACAAACGCGGGUGUUAUGUGGCACUUGUUAACAGUGCCAGUAUAUUAGGCCAGUAUAUCUCUGUCCUGAGAUCUUCGGAUGAAGGGGGGGGGGGUGUACAAAUUUAAUAAAGAAAUAUGAAUAAAACGUUAGUUGAAGUUUCAUACCACAAUCUGCAUGUUAGGAGAGACCCAACCCGUUCUGAAUCUCCCAUCCAGCUUCCCACACUUCUUGGUGGAAAGCAAAUUGGACGGGAAUCAGAAAAGUGAGAUCAUCCCUUUGGCACUGAAAUAUCCGCAUUGGACAUCAAAGCUGAAAGGGAUCUGAGAAUUCAGGGAGUGUUGGGUUGGGUGCAGCUUGGGAGGGACCAAAAGAUCCCACCUUCUCACCCGUCUCAAACCCCAAAACCUUUGGGAAGAGGAGAGUGGCAGGUUAAGGGAGGAGGAAGAAAACUCCCCAGCAUUGUCUGAAGGUAGUUAAGGCGUUGCUAGGAAAUUACAAAUUAUUGAGUCGUUCUGGAUGAAUGUGGCAGGAUGGAGUACUUGGCUGACAGGAAGAGAACACCCACCUUGCAAGGAGUUGCCAUGGGGACUGUUGCAUGCUUACAGGCGCCUGUUCAGCCAUGGGGGGGGGGUCAUUUAAAUCGACCCUCUUUAAACUUCCCUGCCCCCCAAGUCUCCUCUGUCUGGCUAAACAGCCUCAGAGAUAUGCCCUGAAGCAUAUGUCCAGCUUCAGCCAAGGGGGGCAAUGUACACCAGCCGUUAACCUCUUCGACCUCUCCUCAACAAUUCUGUCAAAUUCACAAUUUAUUUAUCUUAUUUAUUCACCUCAUUUAUAUCCAACCCUUUUCUCCAAGGAGCUCGAGGUGUCUUUUCGUGGUUCUGCCCCUCUGUUUUAUCCUCCCCACAACCCUGAAAGGUAGGGCAGGCUGAGAGGCAGUAGCUAGCCCAACGAGCUUCACACCCAGCAAGCUUCAUGGAUGAGUGGGGAUUUGGUUUUUUUUUUGGUUUUUUAAUAAUUUUUAUUAAAGUUUCAAUCAAAAAUUGAACAACAAACAAAGAAAGAAAAACAUCAAAAAAGAUACACAAAUACACAAUACAAAUCUCAAGGAGAAAACAAAAAAGACACAAAAAACAAGAAUCAACAACAACAACAACAACAACAAUAAUAAUAAUAAUAAUAAAACAACAACAUAACAAUUAAAAACAAUAUCUCUUUUCCAUUUCCGUUUUUAAAUUUACUUAUUUUCUGGACUUCCUCAUACCUCCCUCUUUUGUAUUCCAAUCCAAAUCGUUUGUCCAGCAAUUUCUUUUCAACUUUUUUAAUCCCAAUCUUUAACUUUAAUAUAAUAUUGUAAUAUAUAACUUCAACUUCUUUAAACCUGAUCUUUAAUCUUAGUAUAAUAUAAUAUAACCUUAAAAUUUUCCCUCUUAAUUGUCAAAUUUCCAUUUCUUUAAACAUUUUUAAUCCUAAUCUUAAUCUUAGUCUAUCAUCAACUUUAACCUGUACAGCUGGAAACCGCUUAUUCUCAGUCCAACAUCACUCUAACAUUCUUUAAUUUUGCAAUGUUUCUGAAGAUAGUCUUUGAAUUUCUUCCAAUCUUCCUCCACCGACUCUUCUCCCUGGUCACGGAUUCUACCAGUCAUUUCCGCCAGUUCCAUAUAGUCCAUAAGUUUCAUCUGCCCAUGGAUGAGUGGGGAUUUGAACCCUGGUCUCCCAGGUCCAAGUCCAACACGCUAACCACUACACCACCUUUUUGCGGUUGGCAUCCAUCUGUCUCAAGAGACAAUGGAGUGGGCCUCUGUGGGAUGUAAUCCACUGGGAGCAGUCAAAUACAACAUUCCUCGUUUUCCUAGAGGGGAUGUUUGGUCCAGCCAGUCGAAACUUCCUUGUUCCUCCUGGCUGGAGCAUCCUUCCUUUUGCAUGUGAUAGAAGGUGGGCGUGACCUAAACUGUCCAGGUAACAAAAGGACGAGUCACGCAGCACACCUCUCUCUGUUUCCUUCUUCUUCGCUCGACCAGCUUCUAGCUAGGACUGCUCUGUUAGCUCUCAGCUAGCAGAAGCACUGGGAUUAUUCCUCAAUAUGGUGUAGAUCCACAUGUACAUAUUUGUAACUAAGUCUGCUUUCAGGAAUCCAACUUUGAACUGAUGUGAGUACACUUCUUUUAUUGACUUUGAAUAAGCUUGUGGCAUCUUUAUUCUUUUAAGAGGGAUUCAAGGGAACUUACCAGGAAUGUACAAUUCAAUCUAUCUUAGGUUGAAUUGUACAAUAGUGAGAGGCUCACACAAGCCUGCAACCAGCUAUCUGCUGAGCAUGUAAAAAGGGGAAUGUAAACUCUGCUAAAUAAAGGAACUUGCUAGCGCAAGUUAGGAAGGAUAUUAAUAAACAAUGUAUCAUCUCCUGCCUCCCUGAACAUUCCCACAGCCUCCAGGAGUGAAAUCAAACCGGUGGAGAAUCACAGCGCCUGCUGUGGCUGCAGAGACCGGUAACACAUAACUGCUGCCUCCUGCGUUGUUUUUAGCAGCACCAAAGUAACGACUCUGGGGCUCUCUUGCCAAAUGCCAGGUGGUUCUUCUCAGAUGAGAUUCAGAGGCAAUACAAAACAUAAGUGAGUGAGAAGAUUAAAGAUUAAAGCAUUAUAUACAUUACCAAGCAAGCGCUUCGAUUUGCUACUUGGAAGCCCUCAAGAUGCGGCAAAGUGACUCCCCCAGGUAGCCUUUGGUUUGCACGACCCUCGAUCGAUCAUCUGAUUUCUAGGUAGAUAGCCUGUUAGCCUGCGUAGUUUGCCUGGCUGGCUAUGUGCUACUAGCUACGUGCAAAUUAUUUAUUAGCCACCCUCUCCCAAUGCCUCACUUUCUUCAAACAAUGUCCAGCAUCAAAAGAAUGUACCCACCAAUAUCCACUUCCUUCCAACAGAUUAGGACUAGGACAUUAAUGGCUGUUCUCAGCCAUCAAAGAGCUUAACAAAAUAUAGGAAAAGGAAGGAACAAGGUGGCAGGAAGAGGGCAACCGAGUUAGAUCGCUAACUCCUCAGAAAUACAAAUAUCUUCUGGAUAGAUUGCCCAUACAGGGGCACAAGCCUGGGCAAUGUGUCUGGAGGUCCUGGGCUGCCCAGAUGACAAGGCCUCACGGAUCUGGUCCACAGGAAAGCAGAACUGUAGCUAUAUUGGGGGAGAGACAGGCUAGGCAGGUUUUUUGCCCUGUGUGAAGCCUCCAGAGUCAUUGAGGCUCCCAGCCUGACGAGAGAGAGAGAGAGAGAGAGAGAGAGAGAGAGAGAGAGAGAGAAAGAAAGAAAGAAAGAAAGAAAGAAAGCCUGUUUUCACCCUUGUCUACUAUCCCUGAUGGCUCAGCUCAGCUUCCACAGUCAGGUGCAAGUGAUUGUAAUAAACAAAAAUCUGCCCUUAUUCCCUUAUGGGGAACACAAGAGCCCUUAUAGAGUCCUUUGUAGGUUCUCCAUCAGUCGGAGAAAAUAACAGAGGCCAAGCAGAGAAUAUUGAGAAGCAAAGCAGCUCGUAAGCCUGAUCUUUAUUGAUCUGUUGCAACAGGGUGCUCCCCUCACACGCAAGAGAAGGAGGAGGACCCCGAACAAAGGUGUGCCCGCCCCUAUAUAAACAUUUUAAAUUGCCUGCCCUGGAGCUCAAGACCACCCCUCCAUACAUCAUACAUACAUCACAGAAGGGGUGUAGCUCAAGACCACCCCCCAGACACAUACCUACAUCACAGAAAGGGCGGUCUACAACAGAAAUUUGAAUGCUAUUGUUUUUCUUGUCUGCCAGGUUAUCUGAUAAUGCCUUAUCCGAUUGCCUUUCCUGGUAGUCUGCCCAUUGCUUUGAGAUGGCGAUUCCCCAAUUCCCGAGACAAUGGGAAAAUUCCCUCACCCCCUCCCUCCUUGCAGAGAAAACAUUUGGUCAGUUUGGGAGUCAAAAUGGUUUCAGGACGGUCUUCCUGUGCUGGUCCAGACAUGUGGUCCACACAUCUAUGUAUGUGCUUGGUUGGUACAUUUAUUAUAUAUAUAUAAGACCUUAAUUUUUUUAUGUCACAAUGCUUCUGAAACCAAGAGGGGAGAGGGCUAUUGUGUUCGAAUCCUGCUUGCAGGUUUCCCACAAUGGGCAUCUGGUCAGCCACUGUGACAACAGGAUGUUGGACUAGAUGGACCACUGGCCUGAUCCAGCAGGUGAUUCUUAUGUUCGUGUGUGUGUGUGUGUGUGUGUGUGUGUGUGUGUCUUUCCAUUUUUGGGAGGCUUGAUGUCUUUGGAGACCUGUCGGAUUCCUCUAGGUGCUUUGAGCCGGCCUUGCUAUUUCGCACCAAGGUGUGACUUUUCUCACGUAGGGGGGAUCCCCAGGAGGCACAAACAGUGGUCCUGUUCAGUGGGGUCUGUGCAGCUGUCCAGACCCAUCGGAAAGCAGAGAGAAGUCAUUGGCUGCCAUCUAGAGCUCCUCACUUUUCCUUAGUGCUGCUUUUUCAUUGCAAAACCAUGGUGAAUAUUUUUUACAUUUUUAGGGGAUGAACUGUGUUAUCAAACUUUAAAACACACACACACACACACACACCCAAAAAAAAACCUCCCACAAAAUAUAUGGAGCAAAGCACUCUUCCUGGUUCAAAUUGCCUUCUGCUUUCCCCUUUUCCUCCUCCCUGAGCUUUUGAAGCCAGGAGGAGAUAUUUGCAGUGAGAGGCAAUUAGCAGCCCCAUUCGCUGCUCUGAUAAGCGCCUGGCUCAUCCUCCAGGGCUGACAAAACAAACUGUACUCAGGUUGAAGGAGCCUUGGAGUAGAGAAGUUGUGGAAAGCGGGAGAGGCUCAACAUGCAGGGCCAUGGUGUGUUUUUUAAAAAGAGGAAGGCGUAGAUCAGGCACCCCCAAACUCGGCCCUCCAGCUGUUUUGGGACUACAGUUCCCAUCAUCCCUGACCACUGGUCCUGUUAGCUAGGGAUGAUGGGUGAGGUAUAAAUAAAUUAUUAUUAUCAUUUUAUUUUAUUUUAUUAUUAUUAUUAUUAUUAUUCCCCUUUUAAAGCCAUUGAAGUUGGUGGCCAUCACUGCCUCCUGUGGCAGAGAGUUCCUUAGUAUGUGCUGCACAAAGAAGGACUUUAUUUUACCUGCCCUAAAUCUUCCAACAUGCUUUGCAUGCAGGAAUCCCAGCUUCAAUCACCAACAACAUCUCUGGGCAGUGCCAGGAAAAUAUUAUUGUCUGACAGCUCAUUCACACUUCCGCUUGACCCAGAAAGCACAGGUCUGAGUGGUUUUCCACUUUCCCCAUGAUUUCUGGGCACACGUGAGCAGUUGUGCCUUUGCCCUGCUUCUUUCAUGGAAUCAUAGAGUUGCAAGGGACCCCCAACGGCCAUCUAGUCCAACCCCCUGCAAUGCAUUUUGCAUUGGGAAAUUUUUUUGCCGUGGAAAAUUCGCUCUCUGGUGCUAAAUCAUAAUAAGAGGCAAUUCCUUUUUUAUAAUUUUUUAUUGAAUGCUUUCACAUAACAAAUUAUUCCAACAAAUCAUCUUCUAUUUCACCCUGUUUUUCCCCUCCCCUUCUCUCCUCCCUCCGACUUCCCUCAGCUCCUCUCUCUGAUUUUUUUAACACACAUUAUUCUCUGCAUGUUAUAAAAAUGUAAAGAUCCUCAGUUUAUUUAUCUAUUAUAUUAGUAACAAUAAGUUUGUGCAUGUUUAUUCAAAACCUGCCAAGGAGUCCAGUUCAUUUUGUUGUUGUUUUUUUAAAAAAAAUUGUAAAAGGUUCCCAUUCUUCUUUAAAGUCACACUUGUCCUUAUCUCGCAAUUUAUACAUCAAUUUUACCAGUUCUGCAUAAUCCAUCAAUUUCUCUUGCCACUGUUCUUUUGUUGGGGUUUCUUCAUUCUUCCAUCCUUGUGCUAUUAAGACUCUUGCCUCCGUUGUUGCAUACCUAAAUAUAUUCUUCACUUUCCUUGGCAGGUCUUUUCCUACAGUCCCUAACAAAAAUGCUUCUGGCUAGAAUAAGAGGCAAUUUCACAGAAAACCCAAUUGCUGUUUGUUCUGAUUCAGUGCUAAACUGCAGAAGGAAAGCUUUGGGGCAAACCCAAGUGUGGGUGAGCCCUAAAAUCCUGCAGAGCUGCUUCCAGUCAGUGUGGACAUUACAUAGCUAGCUGGACCAAUGGCCAGUCCCAGAUUCAGUUGCCAGCUUGCAAAAUUCUCCAUAUCCUGCCUAGUUUGUGGUUCGGUGGCAGAACACUUGCAUGGAGAAGGCAUCUCCAGGUCGGGACAGUUCUCCUUUUGAUUUGCAAUUCUCUGCUUCCAUUCAGCGCUGACAAAACUAAGCAUAGCAGAUCUAGCAUUGUGGGAUGUUACCGGAAAAAUCCGAGGGCUCCCUUGGACAAAAACAAAGACACCAACCAGGAUAACUUGGAGCAAAACAGCAGCCUGUAGGCUUGGCCUUUAUUGAACUGUUGCAACAGGGUGUUCCCUCACUUGCAGGAGAGAGGAAAGACACAGAAAAUGGUGUGCAAGACCUUAUAAAAACUUUUGAAAUUCCCACCCUGUAGAUCAAGCCCACCCCCAGAAACAUCAUGCAUAUAUUACAGAAAGGAGGGGUUGAGGGAGGAGUUGUGGUGGUAACCUGAGUGUCCUGUCACCUGGCUGGUUCCUCCUUUCCCCCUGCCCAUGAGUCACUUCCAGGAGACAAAAGGGAGUUGGCAGUUUCCUGCCCCCAGAGGGAAGAUCUGAUCAUUGUCCUUUGUUUCAGUCCAUGCUGAAUCCACUCCCAUAUGCAAGUUCUUUGUGAUCUUGAUGGUCUUCUGUCUAGGACCAUCAGGGUUGGCAUAGCAACUGGGCAGGGCUCCUGUGGAUGUGCUGGGAUGGUGACGGGAUUAUGGCUGACCAGAACCAAGCCACCCCCCUUUGAUAGUCCUUGUCAUAUGGAGUAAAAUAAAAAUGGAACCAUGCAAAUCUGAUGUAUGGUUGAUUUUUCUAUAAAUUUAUAACAGGUGUGGCAUAUGUAGUGUGUGAGUGUGAGUGUGUGAAGUUUGUACAAACUGAAUGAUUGGGGUGGGGGGUUCCUGCUACAGGGAACAGCUGCUCUAGGUGUUUUUCCUCUUCUUGCACACCUGACCAAAGAGCUGCAGAUUCUUCUGCCUUGAUACGAUGCCGGAAUAUCUGCCUGGCUCUCUUAUCCGUGUCGAGAGCUCCUUGGAUGAAUGAGCGCUAUUGAUCCUGAGUGUUGCUAUUCCUGUCAAGCUUCUCGCAGUUUGGGUUCUGUUUCUGGGCCAAGACAAAACCCAGGGGAACCGUCCCACGCUCAGGGUCUCGCUCACACUUGGGUGAUGAUGGCUCAUUAUGUUUCUCAUGGCAUCUUUUCCUUGUCAGUUAGGAAGGCCCAGCUGUGACUUUAUGGCACCAGGGUGACUCCAGCCACUGGAAAGGGGGCCUGUUAGGGAGGUCUUUGUUUUUCAGUAACCUAAAAAUGAAACGAUAGCUGUGUUGUGUAUUAAACGAAAAUCUGCCCUUAUUCCCUUAUGGAGGACACAAGAGCCCUUAUGGAGUCCUUUGCAGGUUCUCCAUCGGUCGGAGAAAAUAACAGAGGCCAAGCAGAGAAUACUGAGAAGCAAAGCAGCUAGUAAGUCUGAUCUUUAUUGAACUGUUGCAACAGGGUGCUCCCCCCACACGCAGGAAAGGAGGAGGACCUCUAACAAAGGUGUGCCCGCCCUUAUAUCGACAUUUUUAAUUGCCCGCCCUGGAGCUCAAGACCACCCCCAGAAACAUCAUACCUACAUCACAGAAAGGGUGGUCUACAACAGAAAUCUGAGUGCGUUGUUUACCUCCAGUCUGCCAGGUUACCUGUUAAUGCUUACUUGAUUGGAUACCCUGGGGAGCCUGGCCAGUCUUUUGUAAUGAUAAAUACUUAGUUCCUGAGCCAGGUCACAGGCUCACAUCCUGUUCAUACACACGACAUACCCUUAUGGUUUCAGGGGUCCUCUUCCAGCUCUACAAUUCUGUGAUAGUUCUGCUUGCCCUUAUAUACAAGGCUUAUGCCCCACUUUGCCACCCUCUUUGCCUUUGUCAGGUAUUUCCCCAAAAACGAGCUGUGAGUUCUUAUGGGUCAACUGAAAUAAAAAAUGUAAGGUCUUAUAUGUAUAAUAAAUGUUCAUAAAUGUACCAAGCAAACACAUACAUAAAUAUAUAAACCACAUGUCUGAAGCAGCACAGGAAAACAGCCCUGAAACAAUUUUGACUCCCAAACUGACCAAAUGAUUUCUCUGCAAGGUCAAGGAAAAUGGAAAAGCUUCCCCAUUGUCUUUUCCUUCACAAAGCCUGUCUUAAGGGUAUGUCUGUGUGUGAACAGGGUGAGCCUGUGAGCUCAGGAACUAAGUAUUUGUCAUUACAAAAGACUGGCCAGGCUCCCCAGGGUAUCCAAUCAAGUGACCAUUAAACAAGUAACCUGCCAGACAGGAGGUAAACAACGCACUCAGAUUUCUGCUGUAGACCGCCCUUUCAGUGAUGUAGGUAUGAUGUAUCUGGGGGGUGGGUUUAGGUUACACCCCUUCUGUGAUGUAUGUAUGAUGUUUCUGGGGGUGGUCUUGGACUCCAAGGCGGACAAUUUAAAAUGUCUAUAUAAGGGCGGGCACACUUUUGUUCGGGGUUCCUCUUCCUGCAUGUGAAGGGAGCACCCUGUUGCAACUGAUCAAUAAAGAUCAGGCUUACGAGCUGCUUUGCUUCUCAAUAUUCUCUGGCUGGCCUCUGUUCUUUUCUCCUACCAAUGGGGAACCUACGUAAGGACUCUAUAUGGGCUCUUGGAUACCCCAAAAGGGAAAAAGGGCAGUUUUUGUUUACAACACUGUACAGUCGGAGGCAGCAAGGCUUCUGAAUUGCAGUUGCUGGGAACCACAGCGGGGGAGAGUUGCCCUUGUGCUCGGAUCCUGCUUGCGGCACUGGUGCAUCUGGUCAGGCCCUGGGAGAACAUGAUGCUGGGCGAUCCAACAAGCUCUUCUUAGGUACUUCUGUUUUGAAAUGACAGGCGUGCUUUCUCUCCGCUUCCCCCGUCGAAACACCGCUUUCUCGUGAUCUCCUUGCCUGUCAAGAGGAAGUGGGGGAAAAUGCAAGCCUGCCCUGCCGUGGCAGGCUCUGCAUCCUGACCUCUGACCCAUCCCAAAGUGCUUUUCAGAGAUGUUUGUUUCCCGAAGAGAAAGGAGGUCACUGGGUCUCCUCUUCCGGCCUACACCGAAGAGUCGGAGAGCUUCUGCCUGGAGGGAGACAAAGGGCAGUGGCAGAAAUAGGGCAUUUAUUCCACGCCUUCCACACGUCAGGGGUUGCAAUGCAGAGAGGGGAGGAGGGCAUAACACAGCGUGGAGCAUUUGGGGAUGAAUGGAAAGUGCUUUUGCUGCACUCACAGAAUCAGAGAAGUGUAGGGAUGGAAGGGUCCCCUGAGUGUCUUCUAGUCCAACCCUCUGAAAUGCAGGAAGCAUCCCUGACAUGUGGCCAUCCAAGCUCUUCCUAAAAACCUCCAGCAAAGGAGAGUCUGCCACUUUCUGAAGAACUGGAAGCCCCUUUCCCAAAUGAGGUGGUGCUCCCAAUGUUGGAGAACUGGGAACUGCUAUGUUCCUUAAGAAAGCAGGCAGGCAGGCAGCCUCUAAAAAUCCUGCAGGGCUGCUGCCAGUCAGUGCAGGCUAUGCAGAGCUAAAUGAGGCAAGAGUCCGAUUCGGGAUCAGCCAGCUUUUUAUGUCCCCGUGUUAGAAUCAUGGAAUUGUACAGCUGGAUGGGACCCCAAUUUAGUCCAAACGCCUGCAAUGCAGGAAUUGUGACUAAAACUUCCAUGAGAGAUAACCAGCCAACCAAUAAUAAUAAUAAUAAUAAUAAAAUUUAUUUAUAUCCCGCCCUCCCCAGCCGAAGCCGGGGUCAGAGCAGCUAAAAACAGUAAAAAAACCACAGUUUACAUAAAAUCAUAAUUUAAUUGAAAUACAUUCUAAAAUCAAUUCAUUCUAAAAUCAAUUCAGAGUCUAAUUAAUAGCAACCAUUGGGCUAGAGUUCUGUGAGGAUUGCCAAAGGAGGGGGUCAGGCUGUGCCCCGGCCAAAGGCCUGGUGGAACAGCUCUGUCUUGCAGGCCCUGCAGAAAGAUGUCAAGUCCCUAGUCUCUUGUGACUGAGCGUUCCACCAGACUGGGGCCACAGCCGAAAAAGCCCUGGCUCUGGUUGAGGCCAGUCUAACUUCCCUGUGGCCCGGGAUCUCCAAGGUGUUUUUGUUUGAAGACCGUAAGGUCCUCUGUGGGGCAUACCAGGAGAGGCGGUCCCGUAGGUAUGAGGGUCCUAGGUCGCAUAGGGCUUUAUAGGUCAAAACCAGCACCUUAAACCUGAACUUAUACUCCAGCCAGUGCAGCUGGUAUAGCACCGGGUGAAUGUGAUCCCGCAGCGAAGACCCCAUAAGGAGUCUCGCCGCGGCAUUCUGCACCUGCUGGAGUUUCUGGGUCAGUCUCAAGGGCAGCCCCACGUAGAGUGAGUUACAAUAAUCAAGUCUGCAGGUGACCAUCACGUGGAUCUGCUUAGAAACCUCCAAUGGACAUUCCCAUGUUAACACUCGGAUGAGGAUUUUCUUGGGGUUUCAGCAAAUGCAGCCACCAGGAGUGGGUGGUGGUCUGCAGAGUGCAGACCCCUGGAGAUAAGAUUUGUUGCAUGAAGGGUGCUCACCCACCCCAUCCCAACCUGUGCAUUUCACAAAGCCUGCCUCUCUCCUCUCAUAAUUUUCAAAUCAGCUCUUUUCCUCAAAAAUACAUGGAGGGAAGAAAAGAAUAAAAAUAACGCAGGAUAAAAAAUUUCUGGCACAACCCUAACUCCAGAUGUAUCUGCUCCUCUCCAAGAUUGAGCUCCCUCACCCCUCCUCCCUCCCCACCCCCAAAAAACCUGGCAGUGGGAUGCAAGUUGCCCAGAUUCACCUCUUGAACUUCCUCUGGUUUGUUCUAAUUAAUUUUCAGCUGCUCCCCCCCCCCAACAGGGCAAGCAGCAAACGAGCAUAUCAAAUCAAUACAACAAAAUGAAUAUAUUUUUUUUAAAAAAAGACAAAAUCAAUAUUCCCCCCCCCCAAAAAAAAGACAAACAAACCAUUUUUUAAAAAAAAUCCUGACAAUGAGCAGAAAUAAAUGCACCAGGGAAACAGCUAAAUCAUCAGUGAAAAAAAAAAGGACUUUAAAAAUGCCUGUUGGGAUAAUGAAAUAAAAGUUUUCAGAACCCAUCUAAAAGCAGGAUGGGAGGUCAAGGUUCUGAAGGAUUGUUUCACAAAGGGAGUUCUAUACUGGUGGGUUGGGACGUAAUCCACUGGAGCAGUCAAGUACAUUUCCCGUUUGCCUAGAGUGAACAUGCAUGGGGAAUGUUGGUCCAGCCAGUUGAACUUCCUGUCACACCUGGCUGGAGCAUCCUUCCUUUGCAUGUGACUAGUAGGUGGGCGUGACCUUUCCAGACCUAGAAAAAGGUCAAGUCUUGUAGCUACCUCCCUUCUUUUUCGUCCUGCCUGCAUCACCUGGACCGCACUCUCAGCCAGCAGUCCCUGGGUUAUCUCCUAUAUGGGGUAAACCUGUUUGUACAUAUUUGUAACUUUAAGCCUAAAGUCUGCCUUCAGGGAUCACACUGUGCUUUGCCUGAUCGUGAGUAAAACUACUUUUUGUUGCAGGCAGGUAGCUGUGUUGUUCUGCCGUAGUCGAAACAAAAUAAAAAAAUUCCUUCCAGUAGCACCUUAGAGACCAACUAAGUUUGUUACUGUAGGGACGCGGGUGGCGCUGUGUGUUAAACCACAGAGCCUAGGACUUGCCGAUCAGAAGGUCGGCAGUUCAAAUCCCCACGACAGGGUGAGCUCCCGUUUCACGGUCCCUGCUCCUGCCAACCUAGCAGUUCGAAAGCACAUCAAAGUGCAAGUAGAUAAAUAGGUACUGCUCCAGCGGGAAGGUAAACGGCGUUUGCGUGCGCUGCUCUGGUUCGCCAGAAGUGGCUUAGUCAUGCUGGCCACAUGACCCAGAAGCUGUACGCCCGCUCCCUCGGCCAAUAAAACGAGAUGAGCACCAAAACCCCAGAGUCGGACACGACUGGACCUAACAGUCAGGGGUCCCUUUACCUUUACCUAAGUUUGUUAUUGGUAUGAGCUUUCAUGUUCAUGCACACGAAACGGUAUCUGAAGAAGUGUGCAUGCGCAUGAAAGCUCAUACCAAUAAGAAACUUAGUUGGUCUCUAAGGUGCUACCAGAAGGAUUUUUUUUUUUACUUUUUGUUACUUAUGAAUAAGGCUGUUGUGUCUUUAUUCUUUUAGGAGGGAUCAAAGGGGUCUUACCAGGAAUAAUAGAACAUAUCUCUUUCUGGGCAAGCCGGAUUGAAUUGCUUAUUGCCUUAAGAGACUCACACGAGUCUGCUGCCAGCUUCCUGGUGUGUAAUAGGUGAAUGCAGUCUGCCGUAUAAAGAAACUUGUUAGCGCGAGUUAGGAAGGAUAAUAUUAAUCAAUGUAUCCUCUCCUGUUAACCACAACAUCCCCACAGUGGGGCCACCCACGAGAUGGCAGUAGGGCAGGGGUAUUGCCUUUGGGACGUGGGUGGCGCUGUGGGUAAAACCUCAGUGCCUAGGACUUGCUGAUCGUAAGGUCAGCGGUUCGAACCCCCGCGACGGGGUGAGCUCCCGUCGUUUGGUCCCAGCUCCUGCCCACCUAGCAGUUCAAAAGCACCCCUAAGUGCAAGUAGAUAAAUAGGUACCGCUUUAUAGCGGGAAGGUAAACGGUGUUUCCGUGUGCUGAGCUGGUGCUGGCUCACCAGAGCAGCUUCGUCACGCUGGCCACGUGACCCGGAAGUGUCUUCGGACGGUGCCGGCUCCUGGCCUCUUAAGUGAGAUAAGUGCGCAACCCUAGAGUCGGACACGACUGGCCCGUACGGGCGGGGGUACCUUUACCUUUAUUGCCUUUGGUUUUUUUUUUUUAAUAAUUUUUAUUAAAAUUUUAAACAACAAAAGAAAAAAAAACAACACACACAACAAACAAUACAAAACUCAACAAUAAAAAACAAAAAACAUAACAAUUAAAAACAAACUCUCUUUUCCAUUUCCAAUUUUAAAUUAAUUAUUUUCUGGACUUCCUCAUACCUCCCUCUUUGUAUUCCAAUCCACAUUAUUUGUCCAGCAGUUUCUUUUCCACUUUUUAAUCCCAAUCUUUAAUUUAAUAAAAUGUUAAAAUAUAUAACUUCAACUUUUUAAACCUAAUCCUUGAUCUUAAUAUCAUAUAACGUUAAAAUUUUCCCUUUUAGUAUCAAAUUUCCAUUUCUUUAAACAUCUUUAAUCUUGAUCUUUAAUCUUAAUCUAUCAUUAACUUUAACCUGUGCAGCUGGAAACUUACUUUCAGUCCAACAUCCCUUUAACAUUCCUUAAUUUUGCAGUGUUUCUGAAGAUAGUCUUUGAAUUUCUUCCAGUCUUCCUCCAUCGACUCUUCUCCCUGGUCACGGAUUCUACCAGUCAUUUCCGCCAGUUCCAUAUAGUCCAUAAGUUUCAUCUGCCAUUCCUCCAGUGUGGGAAGUUCUUGUGUCUUCCAACACUUUGCGAUGAGUAUUCUUGCUGCUGUUGUUGCAUACAUAAAGAAAGUUCUAUCCCUCUUUAACACCAUUUGGCCGGCUAUGCCCAGGAGAAAGGCCUCUGGUUUCUUAGGGAAGGUAUACUUAAAUACCUUUUUUAAUUCAUUAUAUAUCAUUUCCCAGAAUGCCUUAAUCUUUGGGCACGUCCACCAAAGGUGAAAAAAUGUACCUUCAGUUUCUUUACAUUUCCAACAUUUGUUAUCGGGCAAGUGAUAGAUUUUCGCAAGCUUGACUGGGGUUAUGUACCACCUGUAUAUCAUUUUCAUAAUAUUCUCUCUUAAGGCAUUACAUGCCGUAAAUUUCAUACCUGUGGUCCAUAACUGUUCCCAGUCAGCAAACAUAAUGUUAUGUCCAACGUCCUGUGCCCAUUUAAUCAUAGCCGAUUUUACCGUUUCAUCUUGAGUAUUCCAUUUCAGCAGCAAGUUAUACGUUCUUGACAAAUUCUUAGUUUUGGGUUCUAACAGUUCUGUUUCUAAUUUGGAUCUCUCCACCUGGAAGCCAAUUUUCCUGUCCAAUUUAAAUGCCUCCAUUAUCUGAUAAUAAUGAAGCCAGUCUCGCACUUUGUUUUUUAGUUUUUCAAAACUCUGCAAUUUCAGUCUAUCUCCGUCUUGUUCCAAAAUUUCCCAAUAUUUCGGCCAUUUGACCUCCAUAUUGACCUUUUUCAAGGAAAUUACUGGGAUUUAUUUGUAAGCAAACAGAUUUAGGAUUGAGUUGUAAUUGCCAAAUUCAUGAUGAUACACUCUCUAUAGGAAAAAUAUACAUGAACUUAGCACUCUUUCGCCCCACCAUCUUUCAUCCCACCACAGUCCUUGGAAGCUCAACUCAUUUUCUUUACUGUACAUGCAGGCCAUUGGCCGGCUCUUCUUAGGUGACCUUUGAAAGGACCGACUGUGUCUCUUGGGCAAAAAGGGUUUCCACUUCUCUAGUCUAAAGCACCUUUGUGGAAUGAACUCUGCAAGGAGAUGUUAGUAGCUGUCUGCUACCUCCCCUGCCUGGUCGAACCCCUGGGGUUUUUCCCGGAGCAUCUUAAAGAUGUCUUUGUUACACGGAGCUGAGCCCUGAAUUAUGGAUCUGUUCUGCUGCCCUCAAGUCCUUGUUUUUAAUCUCUCUUCUUCUGCUUGUAUUGAUGUGCUAGCUCUUUUAGAUUUGUUUUUGUUUUUUUGGUGGGGAGCUGAUAUUUUAUAUAUGGGUUUUUUUAUACUGUGGGAAGCGAGAAUCUUAGUGGGAUGAACAGCAUGUGCAUUUAAAUAAACGAAGGGAUGGAAAUUUGCAAGUGGGCAGAGACUGCAGCAGCAGCGAUGUGUGAGAAGAGGAAGAUGAGGAACAGGGGAUUGGGGCCUGACCCAGAAGACAAACUUACCUGCAUUGUCAUUGGGUCCAGGGCUGGGCCAAUUCGUGACCAGCUUCUUUGAAAAGGUCCUGCGAUUCACAAUAUGCCACAGUCCUCAUCACAGAAUCAUAGCGUUGUAGAGUUCGAAGGGACCUCUGAGGGUCAUCCAAUCCAACCCCCGGCAACGCACGAAUCACAGCUCAAGGAUCCCUGACAGGCAGACAUCCAGCCUCUGCUUAAAAACGGCAGAGGAAGGAGAGUCCAGCAAGGAAGAACUUUCUGAAGGCAAGAGCUGUUUGAUAGCAGAAUGGACUCCCUCAGAAGGUGGUGGAGGUUUUUAAGCAGAGGUUGAUGGCUUGUGGUCAUCCAUCAGGGAAUCUUGAGCUGCGACUCCUGCAUUGCAGCGGGUUGGGCUGGAUGACCCUUAGGGGUCCCUUUCAACUCUACAAUUGUAUGAUUGAAAAGUCAUCUCAAGAAGCAGGGAUGGAGAAGAUGCUGUUUCUGCCUGAGACCCCAAGGAGGUGAGGCAGUGAUGGAGGGGAGCAAUGAACAGUCCGAUUCAGCAGACAACAACUUCAUACGUUAAGUCUUUUUUUGGCACAGUUUGGGCCCUUUCUUUCUUGGUGACUUACCCGUCUGUUUUUAUUUUCUUCCUGUUUUUCGUUCUCUCAGCCACUGUUAAGUGGGAUGGGCUUAAUCUCCUGAUACAGCAACAGGCGGCCACGUUUUAUAUAUAUUAUUGCAGGCGCAGGUUGGGAAGGAGUUAAUCGCCUUUCUUUCCAACUCAAGGGCCGCAGUUGAGCAAUUCUUCAUAUUCCUGAUGUUUUCCACCAGGCGCCUGCAUCUUCAUAAUCACUGUGAUUAAACCACCCGCGGAGAACUAGGUCCACACAGAAAUGAGUUGCGGAAAGUGAAAAUACUCUGGGCUGUGCAGUUGUUGCCAUUUGAGGAACUGGAGAAAAAAGGAGGGGGGGAGAGGUUAAGAAACACUUUAUUUUGGCAAGGAGGGCUUUGCUGGCUCCUUUUGUGACUCAGUGACACUUUGGAGAGGAAGGAAGAAGUGUUGCACUCAUGCUUGGAAGUCCCAGAGUCCCGGGAAAACCAAGUUGAUGGACUAUGCCGGGGUCAGCAAACUUUUUCAGCAGGGGGUCGGUCCACUGUCCCUCAGACCUUGUGGGGGGCCAGGUUAUAAUUUUUGGGGGGUGGGAUGAACAAAUUCCUAUGCCCCACAAAUAACCCAGAGAUGCAUUUGAAAUAAAAGGACACAUUCUACUCAUGUAAAAACACGCUCAUUCCCAGACCGUCCAUGGGCUGGAUUUAGAAGGCGAAUGGGCCGGAUCCGGCCCCUGGGCCUUAGUUUGCCUACUCAUGAACUAUGCCGAAGUGGCAAAAUUAACUGGGAAGCUCAGAAAUCAAGAAGACAAGAACUUUGACAAGGAAUGGGGAAAGUUUAUAAUUUAUUUAAGAGACCACUGCAAGCAGGUUAAAACAUUAGCAGGAUUUGAACCACACUUGUAAAGUAAUGGAAAGCAGGGAUAAUUUAGAAGGAUUACAUUUUUUGAUAAGUAAUGAUAAGUAUACCUGAAGGAGUGUCUCCACCCCCAUCGUUCAGCCCAGACCCUGAGGUCCAGCUGUGAGGGCCUUCUAGCGGUUCCCUCCCUGCAAGAAGUGAGGCUACAGGGAACCAGGUAGAGGGGCUUCUCAGUGGUGACGCCCGCCCUGUAGAAUGCCUUCCUUUCAGAUGUCAAGGAAAUAAACAACUGUCUGACUUUUAGAAGACAUCUGAAGGAGGCAGCCCUGUUUAGGGAAGUUUCUAAUGGUUGGUUCUAUUUUUAAUAUUCUGUUAGGAGCUGCCCAGAGUGAGCGGGGUAUAAAUAAUAAAUUAUUAUUAGUAGUAGUAAUAGUAGUAGUACUAAAUAAUACCUUUAGGACCCAAGGGACGAAAGGGAUAGGGGGAAAGUCAAAAGAUUCAGAGCAAUCUUGAUAUUGGGAUUCAGAACUGUUUUUGGUUGUAUGUUUAUAUAUAUACUUAAAUCAAAUAAAAAAAUUAUUUAUAUAAAAGGAAAUCCCAGGGUUCCUCCAGAUAGCCCUUCUCCUUAUGACAAAUUGUGCUCACGAUGGUGUCAGAGCAAUUACACACAACACCACUUUCAGUAGUAUUUGCAGCUGCAAAAGUUUUAGGGAAGAUAUAUCACCCCAAAAAGGAUAUUAUAGAGUUGGAAAUUUUUCAGUAAAGGGCAAGUCAAGUGACCCAGGGGAAGGAGCGACUCCCCUGUGAAGAAUGGGGAGUAUUUGAGGCUUUUCAGUUCUGAGAACAGCCAAGGAAGAUGCAACAUGGUAGAAGUUUAAAAAAAUAAUGCAAAGUAGUGUAGCACCCUGCUUGUGGUUAACGCUUAGCUGGAAUGAAACAUUCAACGCAGCAAUAGAGAAAUUAAAAUAAUAAUUUAUUUGUCAGACAAAUAAAUGAGAGACACAGUGGUAUAUGGUUACCAAAGCUCUGCCUACUCCAGCCCUGAUGGCCAGCACUUAUAUUUCCUCAGCCCAGCCCCCUUGCUCCUCCUUUGGCUGCCUCUGUCCAAUCAGCCUGGUUGAAAUUCCUAUUGGCUGUUUGCUAGAACCAAUCAUAAAAGAUACACCCAUUUCCUAUUACCUUUUAUGGGAGACAAAGAGCUAUAUUUCCUUCUAUCCAUAAAUGGCAGACAAGUAGCCAUAUAUCUUACAUUUGCCUCGACCAGGCACCUCAAUUACCAGAUCACCUUUUGCCCUAUUGCCCUAUUACCCUAUUGCCCUAUUCACUCCAAAACAGAUGGCUAAAACAGAGAUCUUGGGUUCACCUUCUCACACACCAUCAAUGAAAUAAGAAUCUAACAUAAGAAUCUAACAUUUCUUACUUUCUAAAUCCUUUGCAUAAUUACAUUUAAGCCAAUAUAUUUCAUACAUUAACAUAUAUAGCUUUUUAGAAGGAAAGGAACUUAGUAAAAACAGUUUCCAAAAGCAACCCCUUAAAUUUACACCCCCCUUUCAAGCCAGCUGCUGUUUCUAUUAGCUCUUGCCCUUUAACCUUAGGAAGAUGUGGCUCAAGUCUAAUGGGAGGCACAUGGGAUUAUUUUCUGUUAAACAAUAAAUUUCACUAUUUACCAACUCUUAAUUAGUAUUUUUGCAGCUUGAUUGUAUUCUGUAAUUUGUAUGGUCAAUAUGACCUUUUGCUCCCAGCCUGUAAUUUCCUUUUACAACCCUGAGGCACUGCUAUAGAUCAGAGGGGCCCUGUUCAAGGAGAUAAACAUCUGCCAAAGUACUCAGCCAGCUGCUUUAUGCCUGGCAUAAAACAUACAAACAUUUGCAAAUAUAUUUUUUAAGCUCAUUUUAAAAUGCAGGCCUUGAUCUGAUGCCUCAGUAGGGAGAAAGCAGAGAGAGAAAAGUUUUUUCUCUUCCUCGCUCAUAGCGCUAGAACUUGUGGACAUGCAAUGAAGCUGAAUGUUGAAAGACUGAGGACAAAAGAAGAAGUCCCUCUUAAAGCUAUGGAACUCCCUGUCACUGGAGGCAGGGAGGGCCAGCAAUCUUGAUGGCAUUAAAAGAGGACUGGACAAAUUCACGGGGGGUGAGGCUUUCAAAGGCUACAGGCCACGAUGGCUAAGCUUUGCCUUCAGAGUUGGCGGCUGCAAUUUUUCUGAAUACUAGUGGCUGGAAACAGCAAGAGGGGAGAAGUGCUCUUGUGUUCGAAUCCUGCUUGCGGGUUUCCCACAGGCAUCCGCUUGGCUACCAUGAGAACAGGAUGCUGGCCUGGGUGGGCCAUUGGCCUGAUCCAGCAGGCUCUUCUGACAUUAAUGUCCAGUUUUUCUAAAGUGAUGCUGCGUAUUUACUUACAGAGAGCACCCGUCCGCGGCAGCUAAAAAAAGCCAAUGCAAUUCUGGGCUGCAUCAAUAGGAGUAUAGCAUCUAGAUCAAGGGAAGUAAUAGUGCCACUGUAUUCUGCUCUGGUCAGACCUCACCUGGAGUACUGUGUCCAGUUCUGGGCACCACAGUUCAAGAAGGACACGGACAAACUGGAACGUGUCCAGAGGAGGGCAACCAAAAUGGUCAAAGGCCUGGAAACGAUGCCUUAUGAGGAACGGCUAAGGGAGCUGGGCAUGUUUAGCCUGGAGAAGAGGAGGUUAAGGGGUGAUAUGAUAGCCAUGUUCAAAUAUAUAAAAGGAUGUCACAUAGAGGAGGGAGAAAGGUUGUUUUCUGCUGCUCCAGAGAAGCGGACACGGAGCAAUGGAUCCAAACUACAAGAAAGAAGAUUCCACCUAAACAUUAGGAAGAACUUCCACAGAUAAUGGAGGCAUACAAUUUGGACAAGAAAACUGGCUUCCAGGUGGAAAAAUCAAAAUUAGAAACAGAACUGUUAGAACCCAAAACUAAGAUUUUGUCAAAGAUGUAUAACUUGCUGUUGAAAUGGAAUACUCAGGAUGAAACGGUGAAAUCUGCUAUGAUUAAAUGGGCACAAGAUGUUGGACAUAACAUAAUGAUGGCUGACUGGGAACAGUUAUGGACCACAGGUAUGAAGUUUACGGCAUGUAAUGCCUUAAGAGAGAAUAUUAUGAAAAUGAUAUACAGGUGGUACAUGACACCAGUCAGGCUUGCAAAAAUCUAUCAUUUGCCCGAUAAUAAAUGUUGGAAAUGUAAGGAAACUGAAGGUACAUUCUUUCACCUUUGGUGGACAUGCCCAAGGAUUAAGGCUUUCUGGGAGAUGAUCUAUAAUGAAAUGAAAAAGGUAUAUAAAUAUACCUUCUAGAAGAAACCAGAGGCCUUUCUCCUGGGCAUGGUCGGCCAAUUGGUGCCAAAGAAGGACAGAACUUUCUUUAUGUAUGCCACAACAGCAGCAAGAAUACUUAUUACAAAGUAUUGGAAGACACAAGAUUUACCCACUCUGGAAGAAUGGCAGAUGAAGGUGAUGGACUAUAUGGAACUGGCGGAAAUGACUGGCAGAAUCCGAGACCAGGGAGAAGAGUCGGUGGAAGAAGAUUGGAAGAAAUUUAAAGACUAUUUACAGAAAUACUGCAAAAUUAAUGAAUGUCAGAAUGAUGUCAGAAUGAAGUUAAGUGGUUUAGCAGCAAUGUUAUAAAUGUGUAUGUAAAAAUGGAUUGUUAACAGGUGAAAAUCCAAAGUUAUAAUAUAUUAAGUUAAAGGAUUAAGACAAAAACAAAGAGGGAAAGGAAUUGCUGAAUUAACUAAUAGAACUGGAACACAAAAAAGGGAGGUGUGAGGAGGUCAGGGAAGCAAGGAAAUGAAAUGUAAGGCAUGGAAAGAUUUUUAUCUUUUUUCUGUAUUUUGUAUUUUUUCUUUUUUAUUUCUUUCUCUUUCUUUCUCUUUUUAUUUAUGUAAUCUUUUCUUUGAAACUUUAAUAAAUAUCAUUAAAAAUAAUAAUAAUAAACAUUAGGAAGAACUUCCUGACAGUAAGAGCUGUUCGACAAUGGAAUUUGCUGCCAAGGAGUGUGGUGGAGUCUCCUUCUUUGGAGGUCUUUAAGCAGAGGCUUGACAACCAUAUGUCAGGAGUGCUCUGAUGGUGUUUCCUGCUUGGCAGGGGGUUGGACUCGAUGGCCCUUGUGGUCUCUUCCAACUCUUCUAUGAUUCUAUNNNNNNNNNNNNNNNNNNNNNNNNNNNNNNNNNNNNNNNNNNNNNNNNNNNNNNNNNNNNNNNNNNNNNNNNNNNNNNNNNNNNNNNNNNNNNNNNNNNNUGAUUCUAUGAUUCCUCUUAAGAAUAUAUAGAAAAAGCUAAGGUAGCUGGACCGACCUUUCUUCUCCCCUCCUCUUCACUGAAAAAAACAAACCCAUUUCAGUUGCAGGAGGUGAUCAAAUUAAAUCCCAUUCAGCUCCCAGUAAUGAGCGGAGGAGGCAGGGGAAUAUUGAGGGACCACUUCUUCACUCUCAUUAUUCGCAUGAAGAGAAGCAUGAGGUAUUUUAUUCUGUUCUCCAGAGAUGCUGAGGGUGGACUUGUCUUUUCUGGCUACAAGUGGAUGUGGGAAUGUUCAAGGUGGCAGGAGAGAUAUAUUGUUUAUUAAUAUCCUUCCUUACUUGCACUAACAAGUUCCCUUAUGUAGCAGAAUUUACAUUCCCCCUUUUACAUGCACAACAGAGAGCUGCUUGCAGGCUCGUGUGAGCCUCUCGCUAUUAUACAAUUCAAUCUGUCUCAGAUUGAAUUGUACGUUCCUGGUAAAUUCCCUUGAAUCCCUCUUAAAGGAAUAAAGAUGCCACAAUCUUAUUCAAAGCCAAUAAAAGAAGUUUACUUAUGACAGUUCACAGUUGGGUCCCUGAUGGCAGACUUAGUUACAGCUAUGUGCAUGUGGAUCUACCCCAUAUGGGGAAUAAUCCCAGUUACUGCAGGCUAGCAGUCCAGCAGUUCACAUGACGAAAGGAAGAUGGAAGAGGAGGUGGUGUGCUGGUCACGCCCACCUUCUAUCACAUGCGAAAGGAAGGAUGCUCCAGCCAGGAGGAACAGGAAGUUUUGACUGGCUAGACCAAACAUUCCCUUGCAUAUCUUCUCUAGCAUUACAGGGAAUGUUGGACUUGACUGCCUCUCAUGGGUCACAUCCCAGAGUGGAGAGUGAGACUUCGCUUUCUGCCUGCCUCUUGUAGCACAGGGUUGAUCAAUACCGGUGAUUACCUGCAGAUCUGGGAGAGAUCAAGCCACCGCUUUUGCAGAUAUUCCUGGUGGGGGGGUCCGACCAAGGCAGAACCCUAAAAUGCUAGAAUUGCACAGCUGGAAGGGACUCCAAGCGUCAUCUAGUCCAACCCCUGCAAUUCAGGAGUCCCAGCUAAAGCCUCCGUGACAGAGGGCCACCCAUCCCCUGUUUAAAACCUUCCAAUGAAGGAGAGUCCAGCAUCUUCUGUGGCGGUGCAAGGCGCUGUUCCUUCCCCCAAUACUUUUGUUGAUGCCGGCCAGAAUUGGACUCGCUUUUCUUUCGUGGCUGAGCAAUGAGCUCGGCUUUAUCGCUUUGCAGCCAGACUAGGGUGGUGGUGGUGGUGGGGGGGUAGAAGCAAGGAAGGCAAAAUGCUUAAAUGGGGGGGGGGGGUUGUUGCUGCUUUCCCCAGACACAGAACAAUCCAGCCUGUCCGGCGAAGAUCUAAUAAAAGAUAACUUGGCGACUCAUUCCCUCGAAGCAGAUGGAGAGCCUAGCAACCGUCAUCGACAGUCGCUGAUAAUUACUUUUAAUCAAGGCAGAUUCAUUCUUGUAGGGGUUUCAUUUAAAACCACACACAAAAACAGCCCACAUCGGUCCGCUUUUCCCUGUUCUCCGCAGCCCUUUCUGUCUUGUUUUCACAGGGUGGCUUCUAAGGACUAGAAACUUUGCCCAGUUUGUGCCACCCCACCCUCUGCCGCGCUGGGCCACAGCUUGAGUAUCUACUGCCCCACCUCCUUAUUCCGAUGGAGCCAAGCAUUUGCGAGACCCUUCUCUCCAGCACUGCCAAGCCCCCCUUCCCUUUCCCCACUGGUCCCUCCCUGCCUUUCUGUCAAGGAGUCAAGGAUCUGGUCUCUUCUCUUCCUCCUCCUCUCUCUGUCCAUUUUCAGUUUGCCCAGGAGGGCUAGGGGUGGAGUAGAAUGGCAGCAAGCUUUUAUGAGCCCCCUACCCACUCGAGAACCUUCCGAAUGAAGUGAGUAAACCUUGUGUUCGAAUCCUGCUUGCAGGUUUCCUUUGGGGGCAUCUGGUCGGCCACUAUGACAACAUAAUGUUGGACUAGAUGUGACAUUGGCCUGAUCCAGCAGACGCUUCUCACAUCUCCUCCAACAUUUCUCCGAUGAAAAUAGAGACAUCCUAUCGCAUAAUAAUAAUAAUAAUAAUAAUAAUAAUAAUAAUUUUAUUAUUUAUACCCUGCCCAUCUGACUGGAUUGUCCCAGCCACUCUGGGCAGCUUCCAACAUAGAAAAACAUGUUGCUGUUUAGUCGUUUAGUCGUGUCCGCCUCUUCGUGACCCCCUGGACCAGAGCAUGCCAGGCACUCCUGUCUUCCACUGCCUCCCGCAGUUUGGUCAAACUCAUGCUGGUAGCUUCGAGAACACCGUUCAGCCAUCUCGUCCUCCGUCGUCCCCUUCUCCUUGCGCCCUCCAUCUUUCCCAACAUCAGAGUCUUUUCCAGGGAGUCUUCUCUUCUCAUGAGGUGGCCAAAGUCUUGGAGUCUCAGCUUCACGAUCUGUCCUUCCAGUGAGCACUCAGGGCUGAUUUCCUUCAGAAUGGAGAGGUUUGAUCUUCUUGCAGUCCAUGGGACUCUCAAGAGUCUCCUCCAGCACCAACACCAGAAAAACAUAACAACACAUUUAAAC
RNAcentral lists this long non-coding RNA (98546 nucleotides) under Podarcis lilfordi (Lilford's wall lizard). Lineage: Eukaryota; Metazoa; Chordata; Lepidosauria; Squamata; Lacertidae. The record is from RNAcentral.